UUUUUUUUUUUUUUUUUUUGUAUUUUCUAUAGAUUUUUCCACGAAAAUAUCAAUUUAUCUUUUAUAUUAAACUUAAAAAUAUGGAUGAAAAUAUGAAAAUGUCAAUAGAAAUUUAAUAUUAUGGGCUUAGCUUAGGUUUCAAUUUCUCGAGUAAAAAAAUCAUGUUUUUCUCAUUAAUAUAAAAUCUAUACCUUUUUAACCAUUUUUUUUUUUAAUUUUCACCAACCUUUUAUAGUGGUUAAGCAAAUACUUUUAAUUUCGUUCUCAAUUUUUUAACCUAAAGCAACGAGUCUCACUCUUUGUUCAUUGUUCAUUAGAAAAUCAGAAACGUACCUACAUAAGUAAAAGAAUCACGGUUAAAGAUUAAGGACAACACAUUACUAAGACCACCCAGGUUAAAAUAACAACUUUUCAAGGAAUUACUACUACCCUCCCUUAAGAAUUGGAUGUUCAAAAUGUUCAGAUCAAUGACAUAUAAUGCAUACAAUAAAUGAGAGAGAAAGAAGAGCUGAUGUACUAAAACAAAUAGAAUAAAUUAUCUGCUUCUUCAGGAACAUCAAUAUGCACUCUCACUAACAACAGGAUGUACAAUUGACUAUAUGUGUAAAAAGCUGAACUGAACAAACCCAGGUUUGUAUAAAUCAAAUCCCAUAAGUUAAAAAGAAGAAAAUAGAAGGGUAACCGUAAUCUAACUCCUUAAUCCUUCCUUACCAGUAAUAGCCACUUUUCAUCUAUGACACGAACCGAUGCAGAAGCUAUGUACAUGAUUUAAUGCUUGAGAUCGAACUCGGUGAAGAAUUCAUGUUAAGAUCAAACCAACAUCAAUCUUUGACAGUCACCUUCUUGUUUUUGUUUCGGUUGCUUGUAUUUGCUGUGGUGGUGGCUGUGAUCCCCCACCAAGUGCAGCGGCUGCAGACUCGACGUGCAUGAGAAGAUAUUCAUAGAUCUUCUUCCUCAGCCUGUCGAUUGUUUCAGUUGAAAUGUGAGUGGUGUCUCCUUCGUCCUUGUUAGAAGCUAUGCCAUCUAACCAGUCGUUUACACUCUUCAGCUGUGUCAAUAUUCCUGCUAAUUGUCCAUUAUCUGACAAGGCUGCGGUGUCGACCCCGGCAUCCAAAAACCUUUCCAUGAAUGUCAAGAACCAGUCCUGGGAUUGCAGCCGUAACAUCUCGGCCAAGUCGACUGCUUCGUUGAGGCCGUUUCCUCUGAUCCAUUCUGGUGGAGGUUGGGGCUGCACCUUCUGACCGAGUGUCGCUCCGUCCUUCGUUCGACUUGGAUUUCCUGAUCCAAUAGGUUUAGAGCUUAUCAUUUGGCGGAUUUUCCCUUGGGAUUUUGACGAGCUGUUCUUAGAUGAGUUUUCUAAAACCACAAUAGGCUGAUUUGCAGAAGCACUCUUUUGGUUUUGAGAUAGAGAUAAGGGCAGGUUUAGAGCCGAGGGUGGAUCACGGCUGUAUACUGCAAAAGAUGAAAGGUUAGUGGCUAAAGCCGCCUGGACCCAAGCAGAUGCCUGUUUUCUCGCCAUUGAUGUGACCUUCAAUGUUUCUUCUGAAGCGGUUUCUUCGCUCUCAUUGGUUGAACCAGAGAGACAAGUUUUCGAAAGAGAUUCAGCUACCAUGUGAGCAUUGGUAAGGCUCGCAUGAAGGGUCAAAAACUGUUCUACUGCAGGCUGUGGAUUGUCUUCUUUGGCAGCAGUAUUUAACUCGGAAAAUAUACUGCAAAAGAAAGAACGUAAGCCAACAGAAGAGUGUUCCAACAAAAUAAAAUAAAAUAAAACUGAACACAGCUGAAAUCAUGGAGAAAACUUAAGAUAAAAUCAGUGGGAAAGUAUCUAAUUUUCAAGCACCUGACUAAUUGCUUACAAUCAGACCCAUCCAUCUACCGGAACUUUUCUUCUUAUUGAAAAAAUACAAGGAGAUGGACACAUACAACAUGUCCGGCCAAGAAACCGAGCAUGCAUUGAAAAGAAGUUCUUAAGUUAAACCAUAUGACAAUGCUCAGCAUCUGGAUGUGACUUUUUUACCAAUACUUAUCUACUUCCUUCCCCCCCCCAAAAAAAAAAUAAUUAGGAAUUGUUAGUGCUAUAACUUGGGACAUGCUCUUUGGGUCAGAACUUGAAAGUUAUUGACGCAUUGCUCUAACUAUGAAAUUUAAUCAGAGACCAAAGACCAAACAACUUCAGAUCAACAUAACCAUGUAGUUGGUAAAAAUGAUAUUUAGGAGCCUUUGGCCCCAGCCAGCAUUCACCACCCCACUAUUGUUGCCAUCGGCAUUGCUAACUGACAGUGGUUGCUUCCACCUUCUGACAACUAAUUAUAAAGAAAUAUCUUUCCAUAGUUUUCCACAUCCAUUUCUUGGGUAAAGAAAGUAAAAAUUACACACAAUUUCCAUCCAUUUCUAGUGGAAGUAUUUCCAAUAUUAAAAAAAUUGACAUUUAGAUAUCAGUAUACAAUCAGAAUAGAAAAAAUUGAAAAGCGUAAGACAAAAUAAAAUUUUAAAGCUUUUGUAACCACUAACCAUAUAAGACUCCUUUGAAUUUAUUCAUUAGUAUUACUAACCAGAUAGAACUCCUUUGAAUUUAAUCAGUCAUUCAUUAUUGUUAUAAUUAUUUUUAAGAAACCGACUUUCAUGGAGAGAAAUAAAAGAAUAUAUGAGGACAUACAAAAAACAAGUCCAGAAAAGGGGUCCACAUACUAAUUACAGAAACGGACUCCAAACCAAGAAGAUCAAAGCAAGUUCAUAAUUAAUAAAAUGUUGGGUAAUAGACACCCAUAAUGAUGCAUCCUAUGGGACUGAAAGUAAUUUUUAAGACAGGAAACCAAGUCAAAGUUAAUUGCAAUUCACGCUUAAUAUGUCCAAACAAGAAAUAAGUCCAACUUCAGUCACCAGAAAGAUAUUGCGGUUAAUUUCAUGUAUUUUCGUGCCUCAUUCUAUAAAAAACAAAUAUUUACUCUUAAAAAUGAAGUAAUGGGGAGAAGAACCAUACAGACUCAUUAGAGCAAGAGCUCCAACUGAAGGUGAAAAAAAAACUAUAUUACCCAAAAGCUCUCUAUAAACGCUGGUAAGUUCUUCAAAUCCUUUCUAACCAAACGUCCUAUAAAUACCACUGCAGCUUUCAGCAAAAGAACUUUAGCUUGCAUUUCUACAAUAGAACUACAGAUCAGAAAGAGAUACAAGUCUUGCACUGGGUAAGCUUUCAUACCUUAAACAUCGUAGACAGCUCUCUGCCACUGAAGCUUCUUGAAUGGCCUCUAUUGCUGCUGCUUGUGCAGCAUCUCUGUGUCUCAUUACUUCCUAUAGCGGCAGAUACAGAAGAACAAUGGGACGGAAUAAGACAAACAGAAGACAUAAAGUAACACUUGCCAAUACUUUGAAAUGCAAAAGGAGAUCCUCCCCCUCCUCCUUCUUCUACUAUUUUUCAUUUUUUUCUUGUAUAAGAAACUAAGUUUUCAUUAAGAGAAAUGAGAGGAUUUUUCUAGAUUCUGAAAUAAUGGUUGCGCUAUAUUGCAGAAAUGUUUCUAGUUGCAAUUUGUACUAAGUUGCUUAUACAUUGCCAUACUCCUCUACUAGGGGUGUCAUUGGAUAUAGAGGAGCUUUAAAUUUCAGACAUGGCUUUUGUGCUUAAUUUAUUGACACUUUCAAUUUUAAGAAAGAAAGGGAAAAUAUGCUGCAGCAUCAACAAUGUGCAAUAGAGUCAAAAUUUUGAGAAAAUAAGUGAUUAAUACAAAAAGAGAAUAAAUAAAGCUCAUAUAAACUCCCAAAACUAUCUAUUUGGCAGAAGAGUAACUACCAGUUAAACGAGAUAUAUUUGGUUAUCAAAUAUCAGAUCAAAGGUUCCAUACCUUUCCAAGCUUGGCGAGAGAUGAUGGAAGCGAAGCCCAUGAAACACUCCCUUCAUUCAAUCUUUUAUUACUAAGAGGAAUCUUCACCAAGUUUCCGGGGAAUCCAGCUGCAUCACUUGAGGAGGAUUUCCUUCCACUAGAAGAUUUUUGUCUGCUUGACCUUUCCUGAUUAUCUAAUUCUCCAUUAAUGGCAUUCUUCUUUGAAGACGCCUGCACGCUAUGAUCAUCUUUGGAUGUCUUUCCAGGUACCUGAAUCCUACUCUCCUCUCUUGAUGGCAACUUGUCACUUGAUGUACUUCUUCUAGGAGUCUGAAAAAUAUAAAUAAGUUAUUGACAUACAUAAGAGAAAGGAGAAUAGGUUGAGAGGUAAACUCUGGUGAACAAAUUAACAGUAGGACCGGUCCAACAAAGUAAUAUGUUCAUUUGCUCUUUAUAGAAGAAAUACAAUACUAUACAAAAAAGAACAAUAAGGCAGUAGAUUUAGUAGGAUCUUUUAAGCUCAUCCACGUUAAGGAUUUGAAUUACACGCAUCAUUUUGCUAUUCAAAUACCUCAAAGGGGAUUCAUGGUUACAACUUACAAGCAUAAAUGUAUGUAUAUGACAUUUUAGCAGGACAAAUAAAUAUUUGCCACGUAAAUACAAAUCAAAUCCGGAACAUACGAUCAUAUUGGGAAUGAUAAAACUUACAGUAACCCGAGCUUCAGGCUUGGGAUCAAGUUUGCUUGCUCUUAACAUUGAAUUAUCUCUUCUUUUUGUCUCCAUAUUCCCUUCCCAACUCUUCCUCAGAGCCUUGGCCCCAACCUCAAUGCCCUGAACUAAAUGUUUGAUCUGAUGUCCCACUCCCAUCUUCUUGGUUACAGGACUGGCUGAACGAACAGGAUUCGACUUUUCAACUGCUCCUAACUUGGUUGUUCCAUUAGACAAUGCCUUAACCUUCCCCUGCUGCUUAAUGCUAUUGGCAAACUUCUCAAAUGAAGAAGGCAACGAAUAACAGCUCGUUGGAGAUGAGGGUAUCGACCGUGAAUUCAAUGACUUUAGUCUCGUCAGAGGCUCCUUCUUCACAUCUACAUUCACUGUCAAUUUUGACAUCUGAGACUUGGAUCUACUCAAGGGAGAGGCUCUCUUAUCAAUCUUAUCCUCCUUGACAUUGCCAUUGAGUCUCACAGGCGCAGAUUUCUCCUUCUCCCCACCAAUGCCAAGGCCUAAAACUUUUGGGGUCGGCUUCAAUUUGUCCAAAGAUUUUAAAUUAGGAUUAUUGUUGAGAAACCCAGGAGAAUGAGUAGCAACAAUAUCUUCAGGGCUCCCCACACAAGGGUGUCGACCGGGCACCGGUCGAACUCCGUGAAGAAUGGGGACUGGGGAAGCAGCCUCAAGCCGUUCGACAUGAAUAAACUGACCCAAUUGAAUCUUGUCACUAAGAAUCAGAUCACCAUGUUCAUCAGGGAGUGAGACAUAUGUAGCAUGAGAAGAAUCAGAGACUUUGAGAUAAAAACCUUGAUUCGGUGAGAGAUCGCCCCCGGCCAAUGCCGGAACUAUGCUCACAACUUGUAACAGUGUCGACCUGUGCUCUCCAGCAACUUUCACAUCAGUGUUCAUGUGCUGCAGCAGUUUGAGAAGCACUCCAGGAACAAGAUUCGCCAUUGUUGGACACCUUCAGAAGGCAUCACUCUGAAAACCAAGCAGUAUUUAAAGAAGACCCCAGAAAUCUCAACCCUUUCUUCAAGAAAAAUGAAGAAGAGAGAGAAAGAAGGAAGAGUUUCUUCUACCAACGGCAAUGGCGAAAUGUGGGGAUCCAAAUCAAAAUAAGGAGAAAUUGCAAAAAUAGAAAAAUGGGGGAUACCCUUUAAACCCAGAUUAAAAUCUUUACCAAAUAUAAAUUCAAUCAAACAAAACUCCAGCAAGGAAAAUGCAUAGUACAGGAUUCAGAUUUGGUAGUUUUCACCAAUUGCUACCUCAAAAAUGAACACACAGUUCAUUUCAAAUCAGGAGAAAAACAAGAAAACCCCAAACGAGAUUCCUCUUAGAAGAAAAAAUGAUUCUCAAAAAUCGAUGAAGAAGCAAUAGAAAGAAAGAGGGGUACAGCUAUGAAUAGAACAGGGAAAAACAAGAAAACUCACCAACCCAGAUGAGAAAAUGACUUACACAUACAAACCCAUUAACAUUUUACACUAAAAGACACAAACAAAUACUCCACUUCUCUGCAAAAACACCAUGGAAAAGGGAAAAAAAAAAAAAAAAAAAGCAAAAGAAAAAUUGGGAAUUUCUUGAGGAAUUUAAACCCCCCUUUUUUAAAAAAAGAACAAGAGUAGCUGUGUGAAGAGGUUUAGACAAAGAACAUGGGGUGUAGGGAUGGUGAGAAAUUGAGAAAUGAAAUGGAAAUGGAAAAUCUUACAGAGAAAUCAGAAAAGUAGAGAAAGAAUAAAUGAUAGCAGGCUCAAUACAUGAUUAAGUAGAGAAGCUGUCAGUGUCUGACACCCACCAUAUACAUACAAAUUACAACAUGCAAAGUAUAAAGAUUUUACACAAAUGUUAAUCUGACCCAUUAUUGUUUUCUUCCCUUCCAUUUCUAAUGGGGGAAAUCUUAUUUUUCAAUUUUCUUCACAAAUUUGGUGUCUAAAGUUGAGUACUUACAACAUUAGUAUCCAUUUUAGCCUAGCUUCAGUUUGAUUUAGUAAUCUCAAAUCAUUUUAAAAUAGAUAGUUUUUGGCAAUGUAAAUAUAGUUCUACCGAUAAAGUAUUAAAUAUCGUCUUAAUUAUCUAAGAUUUUAUCUUUUACUUCGUGAUUAUUAAACUAAAAAGAAAGAUAGCUUUGUUUAGAAAAUGUAAGUGUCAAAUUAAUCUAUAAAGGACUAACGAUUUUAUAAGUUAAAAGAUAUAAAGUCUCUCCUCCAAUAUAAACUCCUAUAUUAUAUGUUUGAUAAAUCUCCCACUAUUAAUGUUAUAUUUUUAUUAUUGAAGAAAAAGUAUUUAACAAGUUUCGAAUUAAAUUUUAUAUAGAAUACAUACUAGAAAUAUAAAAGGAGUAUAACGAGUAUAAUAAGUUGUUGAAAUUUAAAAAGAGUAUAAUAUGUUUUUUUUUUUUACAUCUAAACAUCUCGCCUAUUCAAUAUACAAACUAUUAAACAUUAUAAUCUAUUAAAUAUACAUUUCAACCAACACUUAAAAUAAAUAAAAAGAAAAUCUCAUACGUAGGAAAAAGAAGUGAAACUAUUUUAAAAUUAUAGCAAAAGAAAAUACUUAAACGAAACACUCGAUCACACUCGUCUGGCUCUACAAUCAAUUGAACUUAUAAUCUUUUAUUUAUUAUUAAGACUACGUCUCCUUUUUUACCAUUGGGUCAAACCAUGAUAUGAUAGUAGUUGUACGAUAUUUAUCAAAAAAGUUAUUUAGUUUAGUGGUUGUUAGUAUAUAUAUAUAUGUGUGUGUAUAUCAUAAAUGGACUUUUCAAUGGUCUAUUAUUAGUACAAAUAAGACUUACUAAUGAAAUAAUAAACAUAAAAAGUAGUUGAUGACGUAGAAAGGAAAGAACCUAACAUUGAUAGGGAGAAAAAAAAAUCGUUUGCUACACUGCAACAACUUUGACUUUAGAUGUUAGUUUUGACCUGAAAUCGUUAUGGAUUACAAAUUCACAUCGUAUAAUACAAUUUCAAAGGAUCUUUGAUGACAGUUUUAAACCACCAUCGAGAUUUUCAACAUUAUAUAAAUAACGGUUGUGUAUGAUAAUGCUGUUAUUAUUGAUACUUCAACUUCUAAAUUAAACAUAUGCUCUUAAUUUCUGUUUUAAGUGCCAAAGAGAAAAAAAAGCUCAAACAUACUAUUCUUACCUAAACACUUGACAACAAAUUGUUACCUAUCAAUUAAUCACUUUUCUUACACUUUAACAUUAAAUGUUACCCAUAAGAUUGUGUAAAAAAAAGAAUAAUGGAAGAGGGAGAAAGGGAUUAUUCCUUUGGACAACUUAACCUAAAUUAGGUCUUUCUAAAUUAUUGUAUUUAAAUUAACUUUUUUUUCUCCUUUUUGUUGGAUAUUCUUAAAUUAUAAUCUUUUUUUUUUUUAAUCUUAACACACAAUCAAUAAAAUUGAUUAUACUCAAAUCAUUAUUCUCUCUUUUACCUAUUAAACAUCAAUCAAUUAAUAACUUGAAGUUUAAAAUUUUCUUACUAAUUCUACAAUAUUCUAUAAAUAUAUCUCAAUGUUUAAUCUUAAUUCUAAAUGGAAUUGAUUUUUUCAAAAGAAAGAGAAUUGAUUUAAUGCUAAUUGUUAUAAAUUUCUUGAAAAUCAAUUAUUAGCAAUUAUUUAUUUAUUUACCAAAUAUAUUGUCCACCAAUAAUAAUCUCUUGAGAUUGUAGUAGUUUAAAUGUCAACUUUCAAAACAAAUAUAAAUCCAAAUUCUUAGCAUAAUUAUUAACCAAAAAUGAAUGAUUAGAAAUAUAUUAUUAUUAUUAUUUCAAUUUCUAAUGUUUCUAAUUCUUAAAUUUUUGGAGUUCCUUAACCUCUCUUCCUCGACCACUCGACCAGAGAGGAUAACUCUUACCGACUAUAUUAAUUGUAGAGUCAUAUCCAACAAAUAUCAUAUGUAUCCUUACGAGUCGAGCGCCAAUCUUUCUAAAACUGAGAAUGUAACUCUUUUUUUUUUAAUCGUCAUAAUCUUUACCCACGAAGGAAGAUUGUGUUGUCUACUAAAAAGUUGAUUACUAUGUUGGGUGCCUUCUACUCGUAACAAGGGAAGAUUUGUUAGCUUAAUGAAGUUUUUCUUAUAUAUGUAAAAAAAAAUCUUUAUUAAAUUUGGUAUUUGUUUUCAUUUUAUCAUUAAGCGCCAAAAAUAUCUAUUCAUAGACCAAAAGAUUAAGAAAAGUAACAAAUUUUGAUUAAUGACAACGCUUUUCUAUUAAUUAUUGUUAUCAUCAAGCAAUAUAUGCUCUUAUCCUAUCAACGAAGGCAUAUGACAAAACUAUAUAGAUUUGUAGAAGUAAACAUUUUAUGAAGAUAUUAGUUGACAAAAUAGCCAUCGCCACUUAAACAAUCCUUACUACGUUCAAAUUUACUUUUUGUAUAUUAUUUCAAAUGAAGAAAAAAAAGAAAUUACUCCUUACAUUUUCCUUAAAUUUUAAAUUUCUCAAAUUUAUAUAAAAAAGUAAAUUAUAAUAUUCACACGUCCUAGAAAAAUCAAGCAUAAUAAAAUUUAUUAUUUUAGUAGUUUUUUUUUCGUGGAGUGUAAAUAGUUGUUACGAAUAAUUUAAGAUUAGUAAGAUAAAGUAGAGUGUUAUUAUUGGAAUAAUAUUUGAUUGGAUGGAGAAAAGAAAAAGGUGUGAAUGAUUAUUUAAUUGACAUUGGUAUUUGAGUAUUUUGCAUAUGGAGGCAUGUGCUAUAGUUGUUAGAGAGAAAUAGAUAAUAGGAAUAAAGAAAAGGAAAUAUUGGUGUCGGCUAAGAAGCAAAAGAGAGUCAUAUUCCCACUAUAUGUAUAUCACAUUGAGAAUUGCAUUUACAAACGCAUAUAACUAAACACACCCUUAUUCAUAUUGUUUGUAUUCAAUUGUUGUUUAUAUUAAAAUGAGUCUGAAAAAGCCAAGUGGCCAACUCAUAUGCUUCUCUUCUUCUUCUUCUUCUUCUUCUUCUUCUUCUUUAUCCUUUCACAAACUUCACUUCUUUUCUUUUAUUUGUGUAAAGGCCACAAAGGUCAUAUGCUCACCACAUCCAAACAUGUGGUGCAUCUAUUGGUGGACCCAUUCUCAACCAGCUUCUUUCACAUAAACUCUUUUCUUCUUCUUCUUCUUUUUUCUUUAACUUCUAGUUUCGGAAACGAAUUAGGAUUCGGAAUUCUAAUUUCACAGUUCACAACUAUCUAUAGUAGUUCUAUGCAACUCCUACUGACUAUGCUGUUCUUACUUGUUUUGAAUACUUUUUGUAAAAGUGAAAAUUGUUGAAUUAGGAUUUCAAGUCUUGAUUUGAAUCUUAGACAUGUGACGUUACAAAUGGUAUAACAGUGAAUCUUCUUCUAGUAAGAUGUGGUUUGGGGACGAACCAAGUAGAAGCUGAAUUUAGGAGCAAACAUAAACAAACCGAUAAUACGUUUGAAUGAGAAAGAUCAUGAGAAACAUGAAAGUAUGGUUAAGAAACACUUAAAAGAAAUAAACUAUACCAACAUGUAACUAGGUUGCACGAGAACGUUGAGUCGUCAGUUGUCGAAUUAAGAUUUUGAAUCCUAGGCCCUUUUUUACCUUCCAAUUUUAUUUAAUAUCCUUCCGUUGCAAACAAAUCUUUGGGACAACAAAAAAAGUAGGUGAAAGAGGUGUUGAGAAACGAAAUGAUGACGACAGUAAAAAAACAAAACAUAGUAAGAAUAAAGAAUACACCUUAAUAAUUCGUCUUGUAUUAUUACGUAAACUAUAUAGAAAGUUAAACGAAAGAGCAUUUAUGUUAAAAAAAAAAAACUAAACCGUAUUUGUAUUUGUAUUCGUAUUUAAAGUAAAAGAAUGUAACAUUGAAAAACGAGAAGUGAAGAAAUAAUUAAUUAAAACAAAACAUAUAUAAGCAUAAAGUGUUUCCUCUAAAAUAACAAUAACAGGAGCAAGGUCAAAGAACACAACAACAGAAAAAAAAAAGAAAAAAAGGGCAAUAAAUAUUAAGAAAACAUUGGAUUAAAAAAAUUGAUGUGACAAUGCAUCUAAAAUUUUCACAUAUUUAAACAAAUUAAAAGAACAACUCAUUAAAAGCCAUUUUGUUAAUGGCACAUCUUUAUGGUUACCACUUAAUUAACACAUUCAACACAUUAUUAAAGUGAUAUGAAAAAGUAUCGUAAGAUUUUAAUGUAAUAACUUAUUAUUCUAUAAUUAAUAAGAGUAUUUUAUUUCUAAUAAUAUAUUAGUAUUAUAUGAUACUUGAAAAAUAGGAAUAUUAAAGAGAAGUAUUAGAUGAGUUUAGAAUUAUAUAUUUUGAAUGUAAAGGAAUAUUACUCAUAAAGAAAGUAAAAAAAGAAAAUAAUUGAAAUAGAAAAGAAAAGAAAAAAAAAUGAAAAGAAAGGGUUAGUUAAGAAAAGGGACCCACUGUACUUUAAAUGUCAGGUGUAGCUGCCUCCUUCUGUGGACCCGCACACACACGAUUGAACCCUUCAUUUAUUCUAUUUUACAAUUUUACAACUUUUUCUAUUUUUCUAAUUUUAGAGAUGCACGAUUCCAAUUAUCAUUAUUAAUUCUUUUCCAACCAUUACUUUUUUCUAUCUCAUAAAUAAACAAUGUUCCAAAAAAUAACAUUCAUAAACAAUCAAUAUUAUUAUUGAGGAUUGGGCUAAAAGAAGAAAAAUAGCUAUUAUUUAUUAUUGCUUCUCUUCCUCCACAAACUUGAAAUAAAAAGGAAGUUGAUAGUUUGAACAUGAAAUUGUUUGAUUUCCAUAUUCAAAGUUGUUGAAAAAGAAGGUUCAUGUUCAUAUUGACAAGAAACACAAGUGAAACAAAUGAAACGAAGAAGGCACCGUCAAUUUUGAGGGGAAAAAAAAAUGCUAUUUUGAGGUAUUUUCUCUUCAUUUGGUGGGUGUUGUUUUAGAGUUUAGAUUGGAUUGUUACCUUUGAGACUACCUCAACAAUUUAGUUAACAAUAGAUAGAAGGAAAGCUUGGAGAAUGUUGUUAACAAUAGAUAAAUCCUUCUUUUAAAUUGAGAUCUAAAACUGAUGACUCCUACAUUCUCACUCAUAUCUAGAGGUAUUUCAACAAACUUGGUUCUCACUCACAUGUUUAUGUUUUCAAAAGAAGGUAAAAAAUAUUUGAAAAGGUGAGCAAACUAGGAUUGCUUGAAGACAAAUCCACUCAACAUUGGAGUUCCUAUUACCCAAGAGUUGCACCAUGGUCGAACGUUUAAAUCUCCCCACCAUUGGACUAAAAAAAAAAAUUGUUUCAAAAACUAAACGAGGAAUAAAAGGGUGCAUGAAGAAAUUUUCCUUUUGUUGAAGAUAUAUUUGGUGAAACAUCAACUGCAUAGAUGAAAAACUCUGACAUCCAAUCUCUACCCGAAAAUGAAGAUAGUGUGUGGAUUACUACAAGCUCAAAAAUGAAAUUUAAACAUAUGCUAAAUAGUUGGAAAAAAAAAACUAGUCCUCAUCCCUGUGAUCACGAGAAAACUUCAACCAUUCUUUCACAGAUCUUGUACACUCAAACCUGCAAAAGUUGAGAAGUAAAUGUCAGGUUUCGCUGUCAAUAUCAAUUUAUACUCGGGACCAAACCCAUCCUCAUCCCAUUUUACAAAACUUAUUGAGGAAAGGAUUAUAGAGACCUUUUUGUUGAAAAAGGUGACCAUAAACAAAAACAAAGACAGGUGUUUUUAUGUAUACAGAACCCGCCUUUCAAUGAAAAGACAUGGAAGAACACACCAUGAUCCAGAAUACUGACCCACAAAAGGUAACGCGACAGAAGGAAAGGGUGUCAGGCUGUCAGCAAAGCAGAGAAACCUAAAGAAUAAUUACGAAAGACUAGACCAAACUCACAUCUCUACAAGAUAUGAUCCAACUCUUCCUCCAAUUUCUGACGAAGGUUGAUAAAAAAACAGGGCAAUAAGAAGACAACUUCCUCGAAAGCCUAUCAAGAGCAUUAACUUUUCAACGGAUAUCCUACUAGAUAAAGAACGUGACCUUUUAGGUAUGGUCCCAUCCAAUCAAAGAUAAGAGAGCCAUGAAAUUCGUUGGUUCCCAGUUCAACAAAUUACGACCCAACCCAAGUAAAAGAGAGUAGACCACUCAGAAAACACCACAGCAAUUUAGCCAAUAGGCUUUGUUUCUAGCUUUUAAAAUAUCUAAUUCUAAACCCCAGGCUCGCUAGUUUUCCCACAUUAACUACUUGCCACAAAAAAAUCCCUCAAGAAGCAAGUCUUUUAUGCAUCGAAUCCACCACACAAGGUCCCAAGACGGGAGGUUUCUUGGGUCAUAAUCUAAGGAAAAACAAACAUGGGAGGAAGGGAGAUAACCAACCUCACAGCCCACUAGUCAGAAAUCUCUGAUCUCUAAACUCCUAAAAAGUCUAAACGUCCUCUCAAGUCAAAUCCCCCAAAGAAAGGUGCGUUUUAGGGACAAACACUCACCCAAAUGAUUUUGCCCGUCUACAGAGUCAUCGAAAGCAAUUUAUUUUUAUAGCUAAGCAGAUUGAGACUAAGUAAGUGCAACAGAGAUACGCAAAUUUUUGUCACGAAACGUAUGCGAGGAAGUAAGAUGAAAAUGCGAAGUUGUAGGAAAAAAAAUUCACUAGGGAGAGAUUAGUGAGAAGGUCUAUUAAUACUAAUAGAGAAUUUAGUAAAAGAAAAGGUGCGUUUUAGGAGAUUAAAGUCAAGUUCCUUUCAGUCAAAAUCAGAUGAUGGAAGCACAUGUGAGCGCUGAUAGUCGCCACAAACAAAAAAUGGAACACUUCUAAUCUAUCAAACCAUUUAAAAACACUUAAACAACAUACAUAGCCACUUCCAAUAUAGCGUUCCAAUGUUUGUUAUUAAGAGUGAAACCUAACCUGGUGGAAGGGAUUGCUUCAACUUGUCUGCCUUCUCAGAGUCGAAAACACAAAGAGUAUAAAGAUAUUUGGAGCAUCGAACUUUGAACUUCACAACAUCCUUGCUCCUCUUAAUUUUCACAGAACGAGCAUCCUUCCUUCUAGCAGUGAGAAGGAAAUCUUUGAUCUCAUGAAUUUGUUUCGGCUGCAAAUCCAAAUAUGGAACAAGAAGACACAAUUUGAUUAAUUUCAAAAUAACCUAAAGCAUAAGAUAUCCAAACGAGAUGAAAACAUGUACAUUACGGUUAUUAAAUCCGCAUAAACGUUUACCAACAAAAACACAAGAAACCCAUAGAAUUGCAACGAGAAUAGAAAAUUAAAUGAUGAUAUGCACCCUCACAACGUUCAACUAAAUAGAACAGAAGCUAAUUCAGGGCAGAUAAAAAAUCGGCGACAGCAAACAUAAGAAUUCAAAAGUAGGUUGAAUCCGAAAUGCAUUAAGAAAAUGAACAAUAGAAAAAAAAUUCAAUCAAGGAUUAGAAAUUGAGAGGUACCAUUUUGGUGGCAGAACAGAGACUGCCGCGUAGUUGCUGAUUAUGGAGGGUCAAAACCCUAACUUUGAAAGUUGUUAUUUAUGUAGGGAUUCAAUGGGAAACGAAGAAGAAGAUGAAGCUGGCUUGUUCCGAACCCUAGAUGGGCCGAGAAUUCAAUUAAGCCCAAUCUAAGAAGGCCCAUUUACCCAUUUUAUUGAAAAGAAACACGAAAUUAAAUAAACUUAAUUGUUAUCAUAAAAAAUAGUUAAAUAAUACAUAAUGAACGACGUCGUUCAAAGGUUUGAGAACAACAUAUUAAUAAAAACCAAAUAAUAUUUCAUGUGUGUAUAUCAAAGUAAGGUUAUUAUAAAAAAAAUGUAGCUAAUAAAUACACUUGUUUUUCAUAUAUUUUGUGAAAUCUUCUACUUGUUCUUUAUUUUCUAUAUGUCAUCUCUUAGUUUUUUCCUCACAGAGUAAUUUAAAAUUUAAUGUUACGUUCAAUUUUGUUAAAAUAAUUUUCCUCUACCUUUUUUUCUCUAAUACCCUAUACAUUUUAUAAAAUAUAAACGUUAUAUUUUAUUUUACUCAAUAACAAUUAAAAUUAUAAAGGAAAAUAUGUCAUUAUCUUUAUCUCUGUUAUUACUCUUAAACUUUUUGUCCAAUAUAUUUUAAUAUAUAUACAUGAAAAAUGAAUUUCGUGUUUCAAAUACUAAUUAACAAAUAAAACACACAAAAGAUCAUUAUUCUUCUAUGUAACAAUUUAGGCAAUCAUUUAAUUAGGUCCUCCUUAACGUAAUAAACAAGGAAAUGUUUCAUUUUUGCUUCAGUUCAUUAGAAUUCCUUUUGAUAACCAUGGUUUUGGUUAAUAUGUUGAGAUCGUUGUAACACAUCCGUUAGCUGUUUUGGACGAGAUUCAAGAUGGUGCUCAAGAACUGGUGUGUGUUCAAGAAAUCAACAUCAAAAUCCAUUUACAUUAAACAAAGACAAGCAUUGAGGAGGAUAAGAGAUUUGCAAUAAGGUUACUCAAGGCCUAGCCAAAUCAAUCAAAAUCUUGAUAAUUUUCAAAUAAAAGCUUGGGUAGCCAUGAUUUUAGUGAAACAUCAACCCAUGUAAUAAACCCAGCAUAAGAAUUCUAAAUUCCAAUCAAUCCACUCAAAACCGAAGAUAAAUAUGGAUUACUACAAGCUCAAAUCCAAUUUAAAUAUAUUCUAAAUAGUUAGGGGGAAAAAACAUCAUACAAAAAAUCUAAUUCUCAUCCUUAUGAUCCUUCGACACUUCAACCAUUCUUUCACAGAUCUUGCACACUCAAACCUGUCAAAGUGCAAACAUAAAUGUCAGUCAAUAUUCAGACCAAAUUCUUCCUCAGCUUAGCACCAAUUUUGAUUAAAGUUAAAAUAACAUUUUGGGAUUAACUAUCAAAGGUUUGGUUUUAGUCACCUUUCAUAAAUUUUGAAAUCGAAUUAGUAAUUUUAUGUUAGGUAGAGGAUAACUUUUUUUUUUUUUUAAUAUAGAACUUCAUAAAAUGAUUACAAUAAUUUAUAUUGAAGAAAAUUCAAUGUCAAAUGUUAUGAUAGUAGAGCUAGAGAUCUUACAAUUAUGAAAAAGUUGAUCAUAAACUAAAAUAAUAGACUAAAAUACAAAAACUUACUAAAAAUGCGAAGAAUAGAUUGAGACAAUAUUAAAUGUAAGUCCUAAAAUACGAGACCAAAAUGGUAUUCUAAUAUUUACCUUAACAAGAAACCAUGCGUGCAAGAAGGGCACACAAAAUAGUAGUUCAAGAAAAGGAAUCUAAAAAGCCCCAAGAAUAAACACCAAUCCAAAAUAAUAAAGGGUUAGUUAAUCGAUUGAUGCCCCAAGAUGCUAAUGGCCUACUCAGAUUGCUCAACUUCAAAAAAGGUCUAAAAUUUCUGUCAAGAGUCAAGUUAAAUUCCCUAAAGAAUGGAAAAAACAAGCCUGCCAAAGAAUCUUUGCGCGUAUCUAAAGGGGGUUGUAAGCGAUUGAUCCUUGUAGUUAAGAAGAACAAUAUUCGGGGAGUCCUAAAGAACAACAAAAACUUUUGUAAAGAAGUCAAUGUAAGGAAGCAGGAGAUUUGUAGAAGAUAAAGGAUUGUUAGUAAAAGAAAAGGUAUGUUCAAGGAGAUUAAGGAUCAUUUGAGCCAAAAUCAGUGUUCGAUAUUAGCCUCUUCAAUGGAAAUUUGUACUCGUCGCGUACAAAUUAUGAAACAGUUGUAAUCAAUCCAACCAUUGAAGAGCACUUUACCUAGCUACAGUAACAGCCAUUUCCUAUAUAUCAUACUCUAAGCACAUUGUAGUGUUGGUUAUUAAGAAAGUAAAUCUAACCUGGUGGAAGAGAUUGCUUCAACUUGUCUGCCUUCUCCGAGUCGAAAACACAAAGAGUAUAAAGAUAUUUGGAGCAUCGAACUUUGAACUUCACAACAUCUUUGCUCCUCUUAAUUUUCACAGAACGAGCAUCCUUCCUUCUAGCAGUGAGAAGGAAAUCUUUGAUCUCAUGAAUUUGUUUCGGCUGCAAAUUCAAAAAUGGAACAAAGAGACCGAAUUUGAUUACAAAAUAAUCCAAAGCAAAAAAUAUGCAAACGGCAUGGAGAUAUGUACAUAAAAGUUACUUGAAUCCGCAUAAACCUUAACAAAAAAAAAAAAACUCAAGAAACGCAUCGAAUUUCAACGUGAAUAGAAAAUUAGAUGAGGAUAUGGACCGUCACAACGCUCAAUAGACAGAACAGAAGCUAAUUCAGGGAAGAUGAAAAAUCGGCGACAGCAAACAUCAGAAAUCAAAAGUAGGUUGAGUCAUCAAUGCAUUAAGAAUAUGAACAAUAAAAAAGCAAUUCGAUUAGGGAUUAGAACUUGAGAGGUACCAUUUUGGUGGCAGAACUGAGACUGCCGCUUAGUUGCUGAUUGUGGAGGCUCAAAACCCUAAUUUUGAAAGUUGAUAUUUAUGCAGAGAUUCAAUGGGAAACAAAGAAGAAGAUGAAGCUGGGCUUGUUCCCAACCCUAGAUGGGCCGUCAAUUAAGAUAGGCCCAAUCGAAGAAGGCCCAUUUACCCAUGCUAAUAAAAACAAAAUAAUAUUUAAUGUUGUAUGUAUCAAAGUAAGAGUUAAUAAAAAAAAUGUAGCUAAUAAAUUGUCCACAAUUAUCUCUAAAACUAUGUAAAAAUCUCUAAUUGAGGAAAGAGAUGAAGAUUAAUAAAAUUUAAUUAAAUAAUAAAUUAGAAAAAAUUGGUAACUAUAUUUAACAUUCACCCAACCAACUAUAGAGAGCACUACAUUCAAUGAUUAACUUUAAUAACCAUUUUAGACAACUAACUCCAACCACCAACUCUCUCAUUCAAUAUAUGAUCGUUAGAGUUUGUUUGAAUAUAAGUUUGAAAUUAUUAGUUUAUUAUGGAUAGUAGUAAUAUUUCAUUUAUGAUAAUUUUUUUUUGUGUUUGUUCAACUAUUCCACGAUUGUUGAACUAUGUAGUAGGGUUGUUGAUUAUAAAAAAAUAAUAAUGUUUUGUCUACAUGAAAUAAAAUAACUAUAGAUAAAAGGAUGUAACAUAUAUAAUUUUAUGUACUAAGUUCAUUAAUUAAAUGAAUGUUAAAAAUAUGAGAAAAUAUAUGUGUAGUUGAAUGGUUGAAUGCAAAGUUGAGGAGAAAAAUAAAGAAGAAAAAACCUAUAAAAUUUGCAACCUUUUUAGGUUACAAAAAAAAUGUAUCAUAUAUAUAUAUACACUUGUAACUCAACUCAACUAUACAUUCCAUAUAUAGACCGACUUCAAACUCAACUAUUUUGAAGUUUUUUCAUAGGUUCUUUGAGCUCUCCUUAUAUAUCAUCUAAACCCUCUUAAAUUUUUUUUCAUUGGAUUCUCUAAACUCUCCUAGAGCUUUCCGUCCUCAUAGAUCCUCUAAGUUUUCCUAAGUUCUUUCCAUUUGUACGCUAAGCUUUUCUAGGCUAUGUGGCUAUCCCCCAUUAGUUAUUUUAGGUUUUUUCACUCAUGGGUGUUCUCUCUAAUUAGUUCUACCAUAUGAGGUGUUUGAGCUUCUAGACUCUCCUCAAGGAUCCCAUUGAACUUAUACAUUAAGCUUCUAAGCUCUCUCCAUGAGUCCUAUUUAGCUCUCCCUUAUGAGUCUUCUUAGUGUUCUCCUAAGUUCUUUGAAUUCUUUUAUGCUCUUUCCUUGGGUUCUCUAAGCUUUUUGUAUGGAUCGUCCCACUAAGCAUAAUCUAAGCUCCUAAGCUCUUUUCGCAUUGGUCUCGUUGAGCUCCUCCUUCAUAGGUCUUCUUCCUUUGAGCUCUUUUAGGCUCUCUCUCAAAUGAGUCCUUUAAGCUCUACUCCAAGCUUCUAGGUUCUCUCUAUGAGUCUUUUGAGUUUCUAGGCUCUUCUCAUGCAUAUGUCUCUCUAAGCUCUCUAUCAUGGAUUUCCUUAGCUCUUCUAGUCUUAUGAGUUCUUUAAGCUCUCCCAGGCUUUUCUCAUAGGCCCAUCAAGUGUCCAUCUUGGGUUUUCUUAACUCUCUUUACGAGUCUUUAAACUCUCUCCUAUACAUUCUUUCAUGGGUCUCGAUCUUAAGAGGCUAAUCUACCCACAACGAAUUCAACCAUAACUUAGUGUCGUGAAUUCAUUCUCUUGUAAUGCUUGGUUGACUUGUUAGAUUUUAGGAGAUUUAUUUAGAAAUUAACCAUGGUUUUUGAGCUUAAUUAAAGUUUUUUAGAUCAAUAAUGUUUUUUUGAUGUAUGAUUAGAUGAAAAUAUGAUUAGAUUUGUGUAUCAUUAUGACAACAAAAUUAGCUCUUUUCAUAAAAAAAAAAAAACGUAAGGUAUAGAUAUUUUUUGAACUCCAAACUCCCUCUUCGACCGUGAUGACAAAUUAUUUGCGGCCAAUAAUGUGGAGAAAUUUAAAGUUGAUAAUAUAGUAAUUUUCGAUCCCUUUCCUUCCAAUCACAUCAUUUAACCUUUAAAUACUUCGAUACACUCCAAGAUAUACACUUGAAACAUUUGUAAACAUAAAAUUUCUAAGAACUAAACACAAUUUAGGUAGAAAAAGAUGGCUAUUUAAGAUAGCAAUAUCACUAUCUCAAAAUCAAUGGACACUUUAAAAGAUUAUGAUCUUCCUCCAUCUUUUCAAAUAUGGAGUAAUUCUCGACUACAACUAACUCUAUCAUCAAACAUAAAUCUACGUUAAAUAUUUUUGGUGUUUAAUAAUUAAUUAAUUUCUCCAUUACUUUUCGUAUCUCUUCUUUUUCUUCCACUUCCCAGUACUUUUGUUUACCACUGGAGUUACGUUGGAAACCAAAUACAUUUAAUAUAUUUGAAAACAUGAAGGAACCAAAAUGGUAAGAAAUGAUAUUAACCCACAAAGCAAAGCAAUACAAUGUUUAUUAUUAUUAUGUAAGAUGAAAAAGGUGGAAAGUGAAACGCUAUAGUGUCCAACUAAAAAGCCAAAAGUAAAGGGUUUUGUUUUGCAGAGGGUAUAAAAGAGAAAGGAAAGAUAUAUAUAUAUAUAUAUAUAUAUAUAUAUAUAUGUAUGUAUUAUAUAUACAUAUGAUAUAAAUUGACAAAAGCAAAGGAAAGUUAGGAGAGAAAAAGGGGUAGGGUGGUAGUACCAAUCCUUAUCUAAGAGAAAGCUAGAAAAAGUUGGUUUCCCACUAAAUAAUGUUGGGUUAAAGGCAGUACAAAUGUGUGGUAAUUCAAGCAAAAAUUAUGCUAUUCCAAUCACUGGACCAAAAGGCAAACAUGGGAUCAAGUUGGUAGACUUGUGCUUCCCACAAAGCCUUCCCUUUGGGUCCAUUUCUCCCAUCUUUAUGUCAACUUAUUUUCAAUUCCCUUUUCUCACUAAUCUCUCUUCAACUUCUUCCCCUUGGACCCUAACCCUAACCCUUCCCCUCCCUUUUUUGUUCUAUCAAUGCCAUGAACAUAGUUCGACUACUUAAAAUUUGUACUAUUGUUGAAUAAGCUGAGAUUAGAAGUCCAAACAUGUUCUUUAGCUAAGAAAGAAGGGAGUACUUAAUCUAUGUUCGACCACUCGGUUAGUAAUUAAAUAUUGAAUAUGUAUGGAUUUCAACCUUCAAAUUAACAAAAAAAAAAAAAAACAAUAACAAAAGCAAACUAUAUAUAUUCCUUUUUUCUUGUUUCUUUAUGACAAUGUAGAAGGCGGAAGAAUCAAACAUUUGAUCUCGAGAUGAUCAAUAGCUCAAACUUUAUAUUAGUUAACCUAUGUUCAUGAUUUUCUUUAGUAUUUAAUGGAGUAACUUACUAAACUUAGAAUGAUUUUUUUAGUACAAGAGCGGUGGGGAAAACAUCUCGAUCAUUAUGACAUAGAUAUAUAUCUCAGUUUAAACUACGAUCAUUUUGACAACUUGAAAUGACAUGUGAGCAGCAAAUGUUGCACUCGGUUGACAAUCUCUUUUUUUAAAAAAACACAUUUCCAAAUUUACACCUCAUUUUUAUUUUUUCACUUAGAGAUAUUAAAGAUAUAAGUAUGAAGUUAACAAAAAAAAAAAAAAAAACGACAAUAUAUCAUGUAUUACAAUCCCGAAGAGAUUUGUGAUUCGAAUCGUCUCAUCUCCUAUGUAUUAAGAAAAUGUUAAUUAAAUUAUUAUUAUUGAUCUAAAAUGCUUUAAUUAAUAGAUUAUAUUAGAUUUAAUGUUAUGUCAAUAUGUUUAGCCCCAUAAAAUUACAUUCACACCUUAACAAGUUACAACCAUAUUUCAAUCACUUCCUCCAUUAACUAAAGGAAAAGGAAAUGCAAAGAAAUUCCCCCAUUUUCAUAUGUUUGGGUCCCUAAAGGAAUUGUUUUGUUGCCUUGGGCCAACUCAAGGAUUAUUGUGCCAUAAAGUGAUAAAUUAGAUAUAACCAUUCUCUCAACUAUCUUUGUCUAUAAAGGUUGCUUGUAAACCCAUUAACUUCAAAACAUUAUUUAAUCAAUCAAUAACAAUGUAAGGUGCUUCAAUAUAUAUAAAUAUAUAUAUUCAAAAUAUCAUAAAUGAUUUGAUAGGUUGAAAUCAUACUUCAUAUAGUCAUUUGGAAUUAAAGAAUAUACUAAUUUGUUAUAAGAAGAUUUUUUUUGGUUAAAGGACAAAAACAACUAGAAAUAUUUUUAAAUAUAUAACAAAAUGUAAGUCUCUCUCGAUAUUUAAACGGUGAUAAGAUUAAAAGAAAAAAUAUCACAAGAUAAAACCAAAUUAAAAUUAUAAUAAAUGUUAAAGAGAGUGAAGAAGAAUAGACUCUUGAUUAUCCAACGCGUUUUUCUCAAGGUAAAUAUGUUAGACCAAUAUGUGACAAUAUCAACUUUACUUUUAACUUAGUACACACCAUAGUAAAAUUUUGUACUAAUUUUCAAACUCACAAAUGAAAAAUGUUAAUAAUUUUAAAUGUGGUAUCAUAGGGUUUUAGAAUUCAAAAUAAUGCUUUUUAAGGAAAACAAAAAAUUCCAUCUUUCUUUUUUUGCCUCCCAAAAAUACUAAGGAAAAAAAAAAAGUGUUUCAUCUAUUAUAGGUUUGAAUCUCUUUCUUUCUCUCCAAAUGAGGAAGAAAAAGAAAAAGCUGAAUUACCAAACUGAUUUGAAACAUGCAAAAUUGAAGAACUCAAUUUUUUUGUAUGAUUAAAACCUCUGUUCCCAAACUUUCCCUUUUUAUGACAUAUCAGCAUUUACAUUUAUAUAUAUAAUUGAAGAAUUAUAUAUAUAUAUAUAUAUACACAUUACAAACACUUGAAACCCUAUUAGAUCUCUCUCUUGUUCUCUCUUAUAUAUUUGGAUAUGAAUGUUGUUUUCCCAACUCCCAAACUGAUAAAUCCAACCACAAAAAUUUCAAUGACUUUUCACUUGCUACCUAUAGCUACAAAAGAAUUAUAAAGUUUUGUGUAUGUAUGUUAAGAUUUGAACCACUAACUAUUUCAUAUAUUUUCUCUAACAUUUCCUCAGAUUAGCCUUUGCCAUGAAUGUUGUAUAUAUAGGAUUAGUUGGAUGAUGUAUCGAGAUAGCCAAACCUAGAUAUUUCAGUUUGAUAUAUAUACUUUAAGAACAACAAAUUUUGAGUUUCUUUGAUAUAUUGUUUGUUUAUUUUCUUUUUUACCUUCAUUUUUCUUUGAACAUUUGUAAUUUCUUUUAGUAAAAUCAAAAAAGAAGUUUUUCAAAAAAUACUUGUUUUAGUUAAAAAAAAAUUUAAGCUAAUUAACUGUAAUUUUGGAAACGUUUUCAAAAAAGAGAUGAGAAAAUUAAAAAAAAAGAAAGUGGGUAAAUGAGUUUAACUUUCUUUAAACACAAUGAUUAUCCCCAUUUUAGAUUUUUGCUUUAAAGAAACCAAGUGUUCUUUUGAUAGCUCCUUUCUUUUGUUUCUAUUUUUUAAGAAAAAGGAAAUUUCAAAGCCCUAGGUCAAUUUCUUUUAAUAAUAGUUAUAAUUUUUUUUUAACGUAUUGAAUAGAUAGAACUAAAAAUAAAAAAUAAAAAAAGAGUUUGGGUAAUCUUGAAGUAUUGAAGUAUUUUUGUUCUUUCAUUUUUAGAUUUGUUAUUAUAUUCUUUUUUUUAUAUAUAUAUAUAAAAGAUUAGGUUUGUUGUUCUUGAUUAAAUUUAUAUGUAUGUCUAUAUAUAAACUCCAUAGAAUAUUCCUAUUGCUAGAUAUAAGGUAUCAUAAUAUAUAAAAAGUUGCUACACAGAUGAAACUAAGCAAAGUGCAUCCAAUUUUGGGAAUAAUGUGUUUACUUUUAAAGGAAAAUUUGGAGAGAAGAGAGGGUAAAAAUAGUAAAUGGGAGAGGCAGAAACAUCCACAAACUCCAUGAAAAAAAAAAGAAGAAGAAAAAACCAAGCAAAAAUAAAUUAGGCAACAAACACAAACCACAAAAUUAAAAGCUCCCCCAAGAAAAAUUGAAGAACAAUAUUAAAAUUUGAAUACAAAAUCUACACAAAUAUAUAACAAUUUCAUGGCUUAACUCCAUACAAAAAGAAAAAGAAAACUCCUUUAUAUGAAUAUUGGUAUUAUGAUAAUAAUAAAUAUAUAAAUAAUGUGAAUUUGUUCCAUUUAAUUAGGGUUUCCAUGCUGAAACCCAAACCACUGGUUCUUCCUUCCAUGUCAAGUAAAUUCCACUUGACUCACCAUCACCAUUUUCUUCUUCGUCUCUGACAGCAGCCGUGGCCGGACGCAGCAACGCCCAACCAGGUUUGUACCGCUUGAGCAAAGCCUUAACAUCAUCCAUUACAUCUUCACUAAAAUUAGCUGAUGAAAAAAGUGCUUGUUUGAGCCUUUUUGUCCAUUGCUUUCCUUUUUCUCUUCUCUCACUCCCAAUUUCUUCCUCACUAAUUUGAUCAUGAUCACACCCCAAAAGCCUCACAAUGCUUCUUGAACAUUCUCUUUCCAAAACCAAUCUCUCAUUGCUUGUUGCCACAAAGCUCUCUUCCAACAUCUCAAAGUAAAGAGUGUAAAAUCUAAGACACUCUUCAAAGCACUUCAAAAAGUCAUUUUUAGAGCUUAUGAAAUCAGCUUCUUCCUCUACUAUUGUUAAAACUCUAGGCUUUAGUGAUUUCAACAUUGAAAUCACAUUGUUUCUUUCUUCAACUUUCACUCUUCUUAAGGCUCCAAUGCAAUUUAUGGCAAUGGCCUCACCUUCUUCUACUUUGAGGGCUUCAUUUGUGAGGUCAGUUAAGUGGUCGAUAUUUGUUAUAGGGUUGAACUCAAAGGGGACUCCCAUUAGCCUUGCAAAUUUCUCCAUUCUUUGUCCAAUUUCCUUCAUUAAACACUUCACUAUACUUGUUGUUGUCACCACCGUUAGCUUUAGAUGUGGAGUGUCAUCAUUGCGUGUGGCUAGGGAUUCCAGUAGGGUUGGCCACUGAGUGCAAAGGGUGUUGCUUAUGUCGAUGAUGUGGAGUUUCGUUUCUCCCUCGAGCGCUUCGAGAAUUGCACCGUUCGAUGCUACAUGCCCGAAUGUCGUCCAUGGACUUGCCUGAAAAAUUAAAUUAAAUUCACCACGAAGUUUAUAGUUUUGAGUUUAAUGAGAUAAUUUGUCAGCCCAUCAGUUAUAUUAGAUACAUACGUGUAUCAUAUUUUCUUAUAAAUAUAAAGCUCAAAUUUCCACCGAAAUCAUUCUUGGUUGUAUUCUCAAGAAAAAGAAAUCUAUCUACUCUUUUUAACUAAUUGAAAAUCUUUCUAUUUCAACUCUAAAAUCAAGUGUUGAAACUAAUUUCAAACUUAGGGUAAAAUAUAUAAGAUCGAAUCAAGUGCAUUGGUAUAACUCAAUUAGGUUGACACAUAUCUAGUACGCUCGUCAACAUAAUAUAUAGCAAAAAAGAACUAUUAAAUUAGAACUAGCUAACCAAGCUCUUAAUUUAUUGUAGAAAUUGUGAGGGUUGAAAUAUGGAUAAAAAAGUAAAACAAGGAAAAUCAAUUUUUUAAAAGGUUUUUGAGUUUUAGUGGUGAUUUUGACACACCUCUUGAAACUUGAGGAUGAGCCUCAGGGCGGAGUCGAAGUUAUGAUUUUUCUCGGCGACGGCGACGAGGGUUUUGUAGCAAGUGAGGCCAGUUUCUGUGGCCCGGCAGAAGAGAGCUUGCAAGAAGUAGAAAGCCAUUUUUUGAUCAGAGUCACCAUAAGGGGAAGCCAACUCAUUCAACAUCCAAAGAAAAUGGUGGAUUUUGUUGGAGUCCUUUUCAGAGAUGGCUCUAGCACACUCCUUAAGAAGGGUGGAGGCCCAUUUUCCUGUGGCAGUAGCGGUGGCAGCAGCAGCAGCAGCGGACGGAGAGUGUUCCGGUGAGUACUCGGACGAAUGACUCGUGGAGCUUUGCAUGUCUAAGUUGGAGAAGUGAAGAUGAUGAAGUUGAUGAUGAUGACGAUGAUCAUGGCUUUGGUUGAAGAAGCUUGUGGGGGCUUCUUUGGCUGUGAAAAAAGUUAUGUCCAUGCUUUCUUAUGGAGAAAAAAAAAAAUUAAAAGGGUGUGUGUUUGACAAUUUUGGUUGAGGGAGGAAGGAGCAUUCUUUUGAACCCAAAAAAUAAUUAAAAAAAAAAACAAAAAAAAAAAAUAAAAUAAAUAAAAAGAACUAUUUUUUUAAAAAAAAUAAAAACAUUAUAUUAUAUAUUUAUAUAGGCAAGCACAAAGUUUGGUUGAGAAAAAGCUUUUGUUUAAUACUUUGGCUUAUGAUUAAAUGCAUGUCUCAUUCCUAUACAUAUAUUAAAAUUCAUAUAGUAUAUGUUUUUCAUUAAUUUAUUUAAACUUUAUUUUAUAGUCUACCAAGUCUUACAUUUGUUUUUUAUUUGAAUUUUUACUAUUUAUUUAAUUUCUUGUUUUUAGUCAUUUAAUUAAAUUUUAUCUCUAGAUCUUUAGGUAUAUCAAAUUGCAUGGUUUUCUAAUAUUUAUUCUUAUCAUAUUUAAAAUAAUUUUUUUUAUUUUAUAGGUAAGUUAAAUUAAAUUUAUUGAUCUUAUUUAUAUCUUGCGUUACAAAUAUUUCUAGUGUCAAAUAAUUUUCUAGGACUAAAAUUUAAAAUAAAGUUGGUGAGAAUAUUUUUGUUUUUCCUUUGAUUUUAAUACUUUCAGAAAUAUACUAUAAUUUGUAACCUUUUUUUUCUGUGUUCUCUGUAACUUUGAAAUUCUAUCUAAAAAUUUGUAAUUUUCAAAAGUUUCUGUCUUCUUUCUUUUUCUUUUUGAAAAUUGGCUAGCUUUUCUAAAAGUAAUUUUAUGCCAAAUAUAAAUUAGAUAAUGCAUACUGUUUUUUUAAAGCUCCCUAAUUUACUUUCUUGUUUUAUUAUAAAAAAAGAGAAAUUAUUUUAAACUAUAAAAUUGUUGAAAAUAUUUUAAAAAGUUGUAGUUUCUAGGUGUGACGUGAUGGAUCCAGAUAUACAUGGUAUUUAUCACUUUACUUUUGUUUAUUACGGUCUACUAUUGCUAAAAAGUAUAUUUAUAAAUAUUUUCAACAAUUUUACUAUAUGUUUCACGAUAAGAAAUCCAAUAAUAGACUUUGGUUAAUUUUUUUUUAAAGAAAAGAAUUACUUCACUAAUAAACUAAUUAUGUGAGAAACACACAUGAUGAAACACAAAUUAUAGAAAAAUAAGUAAGUAAAGAGUUAUAGAGAAAGAAUUGAGAUAGUUUGGCAUAAUUAUUUGAUUUUUUGUUUUUAAAAAUUAAGUUUGUAAACACAACUUUUAUCUACUUAAAUGAUAGGAAAAUAGGUUUAAUUUUAAAAAAUUAAAAGAAAAAAACGAUAAAACGAUUACCAAACCGAGUUUAAAUGAUUAUCUUUUAUUUUAUUUUUCUAAUAAAGAUGUCUAUGAGUGGUAGAUAACAUUCUAAUAAAGUAGAAUGUAAUUAAUGGAUCGACCAAAGUAAUUGAAAAACAACCUAAAGAGACUAAUUAAAUAUAGAAAAAUUGUAUGAGAUGAAAAAAAUAUUAGUCAAUAAUACUUAUUGAUGAUAUCAAACGGCUAUCAGAUAAUUAUCGACUUUUAAAUUUGCUAUUUUUAGGAUUUAGAGUUUAUCGUAAAUUUUUUUUUUGCUAUUUUUAUAAGCGUAGUAUGAAAUGUACUAUACUUUUGAAAUACUAUAAACAUAUCUCAAUCAACUACGCAUAUUUAUUAGUUUAAAACUUCCUGUUCAAAGCUAAUUUAAAUACUUUCAUUUCAACUUGUAAUUUUUUUAAAAAAAAAUUAUAACAUAUAUUAAUUAAAUUUAUUUAUUUUUGAUUACAUGAUAUCAACCAUUGGUAUCAAUUCCUUUUCAAACUUCUACAAGAUAACAACCCAUUAUAAUAAUAUAGUAUUAAACAUACUAUUUGUAUCAAUACAAAAAAUAUUUAGCUAAAAGAAUAAAUUAACUCUCACACAUACACACACACACAUAUAUAUAUAUAUAAAAGAUACAAUAAGUUCAACUUAGUUAGAUAACAACAAAGGAAGCUUAGAAGAAGAAUACAAAAAAAGAUUAUAUUUUCUUUAGUCGAAAGCAAACACAAUGUGUGACAAUAAAUGCUGAUAUAAUUAAUCAAUUAAUUAAUGAUGCAUUAUGGUUUGAGAUAUGGUAUAAAAUAAGCUCUAAUUGUCACUAUAUUUGGUUGCCUUAUUGAAGUUACAUAACACCAACUCUUUGAUUUACCAUAUUAUAAAAAGAUCACAAGACAUAUUACAUUAAUUAAUAAGCUUUUAAAUUAAAAAACUCACUAUUAGAGUUUGAAUGACUAACUUGAUGUUGCCUACCAAAUUUAAAAUAUAUAUAGGGUUGAUACUAUUUAAUUUAAUUAGUGGAAUUAUUUGAAAAGUUUCAAUUUGGUUUCUACUAUGUAUUUCUUUUUAAUUUAAUUUAUAUUACAUCAUUCAAUCUUAAUUCGUUACAAUUGAAUUUCACAAAUCAUUUUCUUACUUCUUGAAUUUCAUCCACUUUAUGAAUGUAGUGUUGCAGAUUUUUGGCCCGAUCAUAGUGCUACAAAGGUGUCUAAUUAAGAUGUUGAAUCUUAAUUAUACCAAAUCAUUUUCACACAAGCAUAUGAUAAAAUAUACCACUUUUUAACCUUUUAUCCACUCCAAUUUUUCUUUUUUCUUUUUAUAAAAGAUACGUUUAGGUCAGUAGGUGCAUCAAAACAUCUCAACUCCCGUAGCACCCUCAUCAUUUUCGCUUCACUUACCCACUCCAAUCCUAUAUUAAGAUUAUUCUCAAUUUUAUAUAGACACAAGCUCUAGCUCUUACAUACAUAGAUAAAAAGCACGUUGCUAUUCAAAAUUACAAUAAUUUUGAAACUAGUAGAAAUGAUUGGUGAGGUAAGUUUUAAAAAUGAAAAUUUAAGAAAUAUAAAAAACCAAAUUGGAAAUCAAGUGCAAUAUAUAUAGUAGAAUGUUUAAAGAGAAUUACUGUCAAAGAUUAUAGUGUUCUUUUUAAAGACAUCAUUGCAACAAUUUGUGGAGUCUAAUUUUUUCUUACUUUUUAUCGCUUCCUUUAUUUUCCUAAUUGGAUGGUUUUUCUCUAAUUUUUAAUCUAAAAUUAAUUUUUAAGUUCACAAAUAGUUGUCAAAGUGAAUGAUCAAAAUAAUUGUUCUUCGAGAUCAGGAUACAUAUUGUUGUCUUAUUUUUGUUGAAAUAUGCUCAUAAUAUUGCUAAGUCUUAGAAUAGAGAUGGGAGAGAGAUGGAUUUGGUACUAUUAAAGAGAAAAUGGUAUCAAGAUCUUGAUUAUUCUUGCAUGAACAUAAGGGAAAAUGACAAACAGAAAGUACUUAGAAAGAGGAGAGGUUUUAUGGUAUAUACUUUUAAGUACACAUAACUCAAUUCAAGACAAACAUAUAAAAUGGUGUCCAAUUUUAAUAACAUAUCUUUGUUUGUUAUUUCAAGAGUUGCAAAUUAGAUUUUUCAGCUGAAGCUAAGUGCUUCCUUAUUUUAUUUUUUGUUAAAUUACACAAAACCUUAUUACAAGUUAUGUAUAUUAGCCUCAACUUACAUUUUUAAAGUUUUAACUAUACAAUGAGAGGGUUAAGAGACUUAUAAAAUUUGAUAAUAUGAUCCAUCGAUUCUAUAUAUCUUUGGUUUUUUUCAAUGUAAGAGAUUCUUCCAAUAUGUCAUCUUGAGAUCACAUUGUCUUAUUUGAGUCAUCUUUUCUCAAUUUUGAUAAGUUUAAAACCAUCCAUAUUACAAAUAAUGGAUGAUCAUCUACUAUGAAACCGUUGAUGAGUUGAGUAGACAAUGCACUUAAGAAAAUUGGUUACACAUCUCGUGGAUUUCUAUUUCUAUAACUUAUGUAGUAAGUUUUAAUAACGUAAAAUUCAUUUUUACAAUUUUUAACCUAGCUCUCUUUACACCGUUUUCAUGGUUGACGAUUCAAUUUCUAUUACCCCAUGAUUCUCUUUACACUUCAAACCCCACUCAGAUUUUUGGCGAUCCUAAUCAAUUCAGCUGUCUAAGAUCGUUCUUCAAAAUCUCAAACAGUGAAGAUAAGAGAUUAUUAAAUUCACAAAAAAAGUUGAAUAUAAUUAUAUUUGUUUUUCUGAAAAAGUUGAGGGUUGAGUUAAAGUAAGACAUGAGAAUAAUAUUUUGCAGUGUAGGUUUGAAAAGAAUGGUAUGAUGACUCAAAUGAUUGGUUCAUAAGUGGGAGAAAUUAUUAAAAAGAAAGAUGGCAUGCAGUGCAUCAAAAGUCCCUCCCCCCAAAAGAAAACCAAAAAGAAAUUAAAGUAUAUAGAAUAUAAACACUACUUUCACACUUUGAUGUUACAUUUUUCCACUAAAAUAAAAAAUAUCAUCAAAUCAUACAUUUCUCUCUUCCUUCAUAUCUUUCCCUCAUUCAUCCAAAGAAAAUGAAAAAGCCCUCAUUGGAACUUGAAAACCCUCUCCUCUCUCUCUCUCUUUCUCUUUCUCUAUCUCUAUCUCCAUUUUCACAUUUUCCAAUUUCCCCCAUUCAUCCGUUUCAAAAAUGGUUAUCAUAUGCUCUCUAAAAACUUUACAAAAUUGAAACCAAAGUUAUCAUUAUUAAACUAUAUCAUACCCAUUACAAAUAUUAUUUUAAACCAAUCGUCUUUCUCAUGACUAAUUGAGAUAUUUUCUUUGAAAUAUAAGUUACAUUAUUUGAACUUUAGAGAUAAUAUAUAUUACUACAAGACACAAUCAUUCAAAAAGAAAAAUAGGGUAUAUACCUCAAACACAUUCUAUAUAAGUUUUAGCCAACACAUAUAGAGAAAGGUACUAAAAUUGAGGAGAGAGUGAAGAAGUGAAAUUGUCCUUUGCUAUUGUAUGCUGCCUGCUUUGGAAGAAUCUUGAGAACACAAGUAAACAAUUAUAGAAGAAGAAGAAGAAGAGGGGAAAUAAUAAUAACAAUAAUAACAAGAAGAAGACCCCCAUAGUCCCCAAUGUAUAUCCCCUAUAAAAAGAAUAAAAACUAUUAUAAUAAAAUUUGUUAUAUGUUUGUAAAUAGAUGAGUGGGUCAUUUGGGUUAUAUUUAAAAAUACCAAAAAGAAAAAAGAAAACUAAUUUGAAUUUGUGGCCAAUUGUUUGGAAUCACAACAUAAGCUAAAAGUUCUAAAUAGGAGAUUGAUUUAGACUACUUCUCCAACGUUGUUUGCCCAUUUGGUGCAUUACCCUUUAGCAUUUUUCUAAUAGUUUAGUGGGCUUCAAAUGAAUUAAUGCUUAGUUUAUUUUGAAGGUUAAUAGAGUGUAAAAUUAUAUAAAAACUAAAUGAACCAAUAAAAAGUUGUUUGUAUAUAUGUGAUCGAUUUGUUAAAUAAAUAAAAAUGAUAGUGAUUUUUUUUAAUAAGAUAUACUAAUUGUUGAUGGAGUAGUACUUUUAAUUAAUGAAACUUUGACUAUGAUUUUACAUACUCAAUUAGGGAAAAUGAAGACUGUACUUUUAAAAUUCAAUAAAAAGAACAACCAUUCAUUACAAAUUCAAUUUAGACUUGUUUAAUUGUGUCUAAACACCACAAAUUGGUCAAAAUUGUAAUGAGAAUGGAUAUGUAUGCAAUAUUGCUAUGAAAAAGAUGGAGCUGAUGUUAGAUGAAAGACAUUUGGAUGAUCAAACCCACACUCAAUAAUCCAUUUAGAAUGCAAACAAAACAAAUAGCUUUUUCUUUUUUUUUUUGUUGGAAUUUAAUUGAUUACACUUGAAAUUUUUGGGUUUGAUUAGAUAAAGAAAUUCAAGUAAUCUCUCAUUUAUAUAUCUGCAUAUAUAUAUAUAUAUAUAUCAUUGACAAUAACUAUAAAGGAGGUGAAGAUGAUAGCAUAUAAUAAUCAAAACAACCAUAGUUUUUAUUGUAGGGUUUGGAAACAUGCAUACCAAGGGGUAAUAUUGUCAUUAUCAACAAUAUAAUAUUGUGUAAGACUUACAAUGUUAUCAAAUAAACCAAAAUCAUCUAUGAUACCAAAUUGAUGCAUCUAAGUAACAUAACUUUCCUCCUUAACACUUCUAGAUUCUUCAAUUUGACUCCCACCGUAUAGUUGUUGUACUAGAAAAAAGCACAUAUACUCGAUUUGGACGACGUCUAAUCUAAUGACACACGUAGUUUUCUAUUUUAUACGGUUGAUUUGGCAUAGAUUAAUGGAUAUAGAUGAAGUUAUUGUUCCCCACAAACAAAAUUUAGGUUAUGUGUAAAGAAGGUAAGUGAUGUAAAUAUUUUCUUCCAUACUUAUGUUUUGGCUUGUAGUGUAUGUCAUAUAUUUAGAGGGCUUUUCCUUACUUUAUUUCCUUUGGGAUUAGAUUAGAUAUAUGGUCCUUGUUCUUUUUUGGUAUACAAGCCCAUUACUCUAGUAAAAAUAAAAUAAAAUUAAUGUUCACAUGCUUUAUAAUAUAUAUAUAUAUAUAUAUGUAUAUGUAUAUUAUAUUACAAAGUGUGUAUGGAGGGCUUUUCCCUUUGGGAUUGAGUUCAUUUUGUUCUUUUUCAAUAUUAGUACAACUAACAAGAGUCCAAUAGUUAGUUGUAGUUGUGCAUCUUGUUCAUGUUUCUUUCUUUAUUUCUACUAAAUAAUUUAAUUUUUGAUAUUCACCCACCUGUGCAUGUGUAAUAAUCUUACCCUACCACUUAAUCAUUCCAUAUAUAGGUAUAUAUAUAUACAUAUAUAUGUCGAGAGAGACGAGACUCUAAUUACUUAGUUCAAACAUAUUGCCAAUUUAGCUAUGUUUUCAUUUUGAGUUAUGUAUAACGUAGGAAAGUUUUAUCCGCCUCUAUUUGUAUGAAAAAGAUAAUUAUCCAUUUAAACCUAAAAUUCAUAAUUUAAAUGUAAUAAUAAAUACGUAAAAUGAGAAGUAAGGUCUUAUACUAGCUGAUAGAUAUAUGGUGAUUGAGCGCCAAAGACUACAGUAGAAAUUAUUUUUUCAAUAAACAUAGAGUUCUAUCUAAAAAAUUAUCAACAAUAUUGAGAGGUAUCUAUGUAUUUAAUUAAGAUUAUUGUAAUGUAUACGAUUAUUUUUAACGUGAGAUUAUAAACUUGUUGAUGAAGAUAUGACUCUUAAUACUCAUAAUUUUUUUAAACUAUAAUGAAUAACUCAGAUAUCAUAGCUUAAAAGUAAUUUUGAAUUGUUUUACAAAUACGAUAACUUUUACGACGGUUUAAAUUAACAUAUUUUAACUAAUUUAUAAGAUUGUUCAAUCACUCGAUUGACGUAGAAAAAUGUUAAUUUAUGACUCGACUUGAAUAUAUAUAUAUACUACAAAAAGUUAGUCAUCCUCACCAUUAUUGUAAUUAUAUGCCCAAUGCACAAUUAUAAGCUGCAAUGUCAAUUGCAAAGUUAAUCAUGGUAAGCAAUGAAAGAAAAAUGACAAAAAAGUUAGAUUUAUUGCUAAAUAUUAUUAUUCAAACAUUGAAUUAGAAGCCAAUAUAUAUUAUUUAGGGAAGUCUAAUUGCUUUCAUCCAUGGUUGGAUUAAUGUUUGUUAAAGUUAUUACAGACUAAAAAUACAUCACAUCAGCGUGUUAAUUAAACACCAACUUGUUUCCUUACUAAUAAUCCAUUGUUUAUAAGUUGUUUGUUUGACUGGACCCGUAAUUAACGAUUUUUCACUUAAAAAGAAAAGGACAAAAUUUCACACUAAUCUCGAUCUCGUUUUUUUUCUCUCAUUCCAUGUACAUUGUUUUCGAGUAGUUUUGAGUCUAGAGAAUUAAAGAAUGAGAGUUAAAUGGAGAAAAAAUGGAGAAAGUAACCUCAUCCCUAGAUAAGAUACUGAACGGACUAGAAACAAACCUAGAAGAGACUCGUGUGGAAGACUAAGCAAGACAAUUGGGCCCUAACAGAGAGGGUCGAGGCCACCCUCUCUUCUCCUUGGAGCCUACAGUUUUGCAGGCUUCUAUUUGGUUCUCCCGUAGACCUAGUUUGACCUCUUAGAUGUCCUAUUCAUAGAAGGAUGAAGGAAACCCUAAGUUUAGCCUUACUAUAUAAUUGAUCUUAAUGAUUCACAGAAAAGUAAGUUUGUUUUCUUAAGAUCAAAGUGUCUAUGACAAACAAUACUACAUCAAUAUUAAACUUUUCCUUUGUGCAUGUUGUUUUAUCUGAAGUCACAUUGAAUUUCUUCGGUCAUCUCAUCUCGAGUUUCCUAUAGUCAUCUCAUUUCAUAUUGUUUUGUUAGGAGUUACCUUAUUUCAAGUUACCUAUUUCCUAAAUUUUAGAAAAAUUUUGCUAUCAACACCUAUAUAUAUACGUUAGAUUAUUUAUCAAAUUUUCUAUUCUUAUCCCCUUUUUCUCAUUAAUUAAAUUGAACUAUUACAAAAGUGGAUAAUCAAACUAUCGACAUUAGUAUUUUUGUGUAUAUAUAUAUAUGCACAUUUUCUUACAAAAACAAUAUAAUUAUGUGGGAUAAUAGAUUCAAACUUUUUACCGCUUAAGAUGAGUAAUAAUAUUUUUUUGCUAUCAAAUUAUGGUUAAGUUGACAUGUUUAUAAAGUUAUAAAUGAAUCAUUUAUGUAGAUUAUUAAUGAAAAUGCCACGUAUGGUCGAUCUAUUGCAUUUAUUUUUACCUACAACCCUAUUUUCAUAUAAGACUUCAACUCUAGUGCCUCUAGUGCCUCAUUUUUAUACUGUACUCGAUCCUGAUAAUUUCUUUUAUAUAUAUAUAUAUAUAUAUAUAUAAAUACAUAUUCAUAUUCAUGUUUAUGAUUGGCUAUGAUAGAUAUUGAAUCCAAAAAGUUAAAUUAACAAAGUUGAAACAUAAAGAUUAUAUGAGCUGCCUAAAACAUAACAUUAAAGGUAAUUCAUGGAAAUUUCAAAAAAAGGAAAAAGGUUGAUGCAUUAAUGAGUAAGAGUGACAUAAGAUUGAAGAGUUUAGAAUGCAAUGAGGCAAGUGCUUCAAAAAAGAAGAAAAAAAAUCUUAGAAUUUGAAGUCAAAGAUGGAGCUAUCUUUAUCACCAUUAUUUGAUACCCACAUAAGAAACAGAUUGUGACAAAUCAACUGCCUUACCCCCCACCCAUUGGACCAAAUAAGAAUUAAAUUAACUUUUCUUCACCUAUUAUCUUCAUUUAAUUUUCCUUCCAUUUCUUGUUUUUCUUUUUAAAAAAAAACAAAUAUAACAAUCAAACUCAAAUUAAGAUUCAAUUUGUUAAAAUGUAUAUAAUUGAAAAUUGAAAUUUAGAAAGUAACGUCAUUAUCGAACAUGCAAACCCUUCUGAUAGUAUUGUAUUUUGGAUAGGUAGAUUAGAUAGUAGCCGACUUAGCCGGAUAUGAAGAUGGCAAAGAUAAAUAAGUAAAGAAGUUGAAAAAACAAAAUGAGAUACAAACCAAAUGUUUUAUUUUAAAAGAAGAAACAUAUUAUCUAGUGAAGUUCAUAUUUGAUAAAUACACAAUAAAUCAAACAGAAAGAAAGAAAAAAAGAAAAAAAAAUCAACUUUAAUGGUAUAAAGAUCCAAGUCUAAAAGUAUAGAAUAGUUCAUUUUAAAUGAUUAAAGACAAGAAACAUUUUAAACAUAGGCAAAACCUUCCUAAUUCAAAAGCCUAACAAUUACAAAUGUGGUCAAAAAUCAAGAUCGCCACCACCAGAUAUUCUUUUUAUUAAAGUAUAUUUAUGAAACUGCUAACAUCUAUUUCAUCACAGUUAUAGCAAUAAAUCAUGAAUUAUUACAAUAAAAACAAUUAAAGUCAAGACAGUAUGAUGUCAAAUGGGUAUCUAAGCAUAUUUUAUUCCUCUUCAAUAAUCAAGGCUAAAAGACAAGACUAAGAUGCAGCCUGCAGAUUACAAUGACAUCCUUCUAAAAAGUUGUUUCUACAUUUUCUUUAUAGUUUUCCUUUUCUUGGAGAUUUGAAGUUUGUUUCUUUUCUUUUCCCUAAAGAUCUCAAACUGUCUUAAAGAGCUAGACUACUACACAUCUAGAAAUAAUUUUUGAAAAUGGUUCUAGCAUCACCCCUAUUACUUACUAGGAGAUCUAUGCUAGUGUGAUGAAAGCUUUAAUUCUAUCUCCUAAAAUUAUUGUGUGAUGGAUCCAGCCCUCGAUAUUGACAAGUCAAUGUCAGUCAAUCUUCAAAAACUACAAUAAAAUCAAACUCCAACCAUGACUGUGAUGAAGUUUAAAUUUUGAAUUGGAUGGAAGAUUGAGUUUAAUACUGAGACUAAGUUAUGAAUAUAAUAGCCACCUACUUAAAAUUUAAUAUUCUCCAGUUUCUUCGAAACAUCCUAAAUGUUGUAUGGUUAGGAGAAUUGUUUUACGAGGUUGGUUAAUGUGCGUGUGUGCUAACCCAGAAGACACUCACAGAUACCAAAAGAAACAUCCAAAGUUACAUUGAACGACACCAGCCAAAAUGCCUAUUAUUCUGAGGCCAAAAGCCAAAUCCCUACUUGAAGCUAUGAAACAACUAAAUGAAAGAUAUAUUGAAAAGAACUCUGGAAGAAAACCAAUAUAUACUCUUUGAAUGAAGUUGUGUUAAGAUCAGUAGAUUGUUUACCAUAAUGAAAGUCAUUGUACGAAAUUGAAACAGCUUCCAGAAACUCAAGAUGCAUAUGUGCAAUGAAGAGUGAGAAUGUAAUGCAUAUUAGAAUGUAAAGCGUGUUCAUAUAGUUGAGCUGAUACAAUAAUUAGUUCCCAGACAUGAAUUAUUGCAUAUAGACUGUGCUUACAAAUCUCAUCAUGUGACAUAAAGAUUCUACUUUAACCAAGUAGUUGAUCUGCUUCCUAACAAGAAUCUCCUUUUCCUGUAGCUAAAGGGACCAAAAACAGCAGUAGAACAGUGAAAAAUAUCAAAAUGUCAUUUAUGGGCUCUGAAAAGAAAUUGAAAGCCAAUAAGUUCGCUACCUAGAAAAUCAUCCUAAGAAAAAAAGAUUAGUGCUUCCAUCCUUUUAAAUGCCCGUCUUCCAUGUAUGGCUCCAGAAAUCCAAUGAACUGAAAUGUUGAAAAAAAAAGUACAGCAAGACUUUAGUCUCCUAAGUGGUCAACUUUCUCCAUGGACAAACUCAAUCAACUUUCCUCGAAGAACUGAGAACAUCCAUUUUCGUGUAGGUUUUAUAGCAUUACCAAACAUAACUGAGCUGUUAUACAUACAUAUAUAUAUAUAUAUAUAUAUAUAUAUAUAUAUAUAUAUAUCAAUAACUCCAAAACUUAUUACAUAAGAACAGGGUCUUGUAUGAAAAUGAUACCUUGUUUCCAUCUUUUGACCACCUGGCACCAUACCCUUCUGCUAUCCUUAUCUCAAAAACGAUCCCAUGUGGUGCAACAAUAUGAAUAUUCAUCCAGCAACAUUGAGCUAUCAAGUGAACAAUCGUAUUCAUAGCAUGCCUAUUCUUAUCAGAAUCUGACAAAAGAUAUUAUUGUGCAAAGGAUGAUCAGUCAAGUACACAUUAAAAAAUAAACUUCAAUCUUUUCCAUUUCUUAUAUAGAAAAUGAUUGCAAUUCUUGAAACUUCUACGGCUAGUCAUAAUCAAUCGAGGCAUUUGUGUGCACUUAGAUCCAACAUAAUUUUGGCUUCAAUGUUUGAUAAUUAUUUAGGCUUUAACAACCACAUGGUUUUUUGUUUUUGAAAGUUCAAAUUACAAAACACUACUUCCACCUACAUUUUUUUUUUUUUUUUUUUUUGUAAUUCAAUAAGGACAAUAUAACUUCUACCUAUCUCAUAUUUGUGUGAUAUUGUGAUUGUCCACUUUGGGAACACUCAUGACUUUGCUUUUCGUUUCACCCAAAAGGUCUUAUACCAAUUGAGAUAAUUGUCCUCAUUUAUGUGCUACGGAUCUCCUCUUUCUCAAACUAAUUGUUUAAAGCUAACUAUACUCUCCUCAAACAAAGUACCACCUUAGUAAAGAAAUUGGGAGGAAAGAAACGUAAGUUUAAAAAAUAAAAUAAUAAAAAAGAAAUAGUUAUUAAAUGGAACUUUUAGAUAACACUUGAAAAUUUAAUGGAAUUCACAACUUAAAGAAGGAAUAAUUUUGAUGGUAAGCAAAAUAAAACAAUGGAGUCCAUAUUGUGCAACUAAUUUUGCACCCAACUUCAUUAAACAAUUCGAUAGUUGUCCAAUGCAACAGGAAUAAAACCUCAUAUGCUAAAUCUUAGAAUUAUAUAGCAAACAUACUUCAAUUUAUCGUUAGAAAUAUAGCAGGAAAAUUCUAUUAACGAAUAUGAGUAGCAACGAGGGAAACAAUCUGGUGAACAUAAAGAUAUCGGGAAGAGAAGGGCGAAAAAUUUCUCCAACAUGCAAAGGAGUUAGCUCGUUAAUGAUUGACAAUAAUUACCUGGCUGAUGAUCAGUGUUUUGAUUUUUUCUUAGAUUUCAAGGUUGUCUUGCCGUAUGCCAGAUUCCUAAAGUGAGACAAUUUAAGCUCAGCUUGACGUUGUUUUCUCCUGGCUUUCCGAGAUAAAUUGCCCUUGUCAACAUUAUUUACUUUGUCAUUCUCAUUGUCAUCCAAAAUGUGCAUGUUGGAGCAAUUUUUCCCCCUUCUCUUCCCAAUAUCUUUCUGUUCACCAGAUUGUUUGCCUCUAAGGAGCUCCCUAGACCUCAUUUUCAGGCGCUGUCUAGUACUAUUUGGCAUCUUCCAUUCUUCCUUAUAAGGGGCCAACUUUUUCAUAGAAACAAACUGAUUCAACUCCUUGUCAUCCAUUGCUAGGAUUUCAGCAGUACUCAAUCCAUAACGAUUAGGUUGUAUUUUGGCGUACUUAAACCUCGUCUUCAAGUCUCCAACUGUAUCCUCGUAAUCUAAUUUAUAAUACUCCUCCAUCAUGGCUUCCUUAGCUUUUUGGUACAGAGAUAAUUUACGCUUCCUCUUUCUUGUGCCUUUUUCAUCCUCAUUGCCUUGUUCUUCAUCUUCUUCAUUAUCUUCAUUGCUCAUAUCAUUAUCAAUUUUAUGGCUUAAACUCCUUUCCCUAGCUGCAAAGAAGCCAUCACCUGACUCAGAGGAUGUCCACCCUUUUGGCAAUCCAAGCAACUCAUCCUCUUUGUCGAAAUCAGGUUUCUCAUGCUCACCAAUGCCUUCGUCAUCCAUAUCACUUCCAAACCCAGGAUCAAUGUCUUCUUUCUCAUAAUAAUUUUCACUAAAAGCCACUUUCAUCAUCCUGUCAUACUCUUCAGGAUCAAAAUCAUCAUCUAAAUCUUUAAUAUCCAAUAAGCAAUUCUCGUCCUCCCCAAGUCCUGCUGUCUCUCUAAUCUUCCUAAGCUUCUGUUUUACCUCCUCCUUCUUCAAAUUUUUUAAAUGCUUCAACUCCUCCUCUCUCUCUAAUCUUGCAAUCUCCAUCCUCUCUUCCUUGUUCUUUCUCUGCUCUUUCCUCGAAUUCUUCUUUUUCCUAACUGACCCCUCAAUGGUCCUACUAUGCCCCCAAAUGGUAUCUUCUGCACUUUCUUGGAACCGGUAUUCAUAUUCCUCUUGUUUUUCAAUCUCUUCCUCGUCCUCCGAUAGCAUGUUCAACUCCUCUUCCUUAACCGUUGCAUCUUCACCAAUCCACAGUUUAUUCUUAAAAUAUUGUUUCAAGAACUUAGAAUUUUCAUCCAAUUGGUCGUCCCCAUCUCCAAAAUACUCAUCCAACUUCUUCUCAAAUUCUUCAUUUUUUUCCUCUUCCACUGAACCUGUCUCCUUCACUUUUAACAAUUCCUCCUCAUCAUUUUCAUUUUGCACUUCAGCUGCCUCCAAGAAUGCCUUGCGUAUUUCUUCUUGCUCCUUAUCGUAAACCUUCACAUUUUUAGUAUUCUCAUCAUUGAAUUCAGGACCCUCUUCAAUCAAAUGCUUCGCUACCACAUCUUUCAAAUACAUACUACUUUUCUUCUUUUCUGUUAAACUACCUUUGACGUCAUCACUUUCCUUGGCAUGGCUGUCAUCAUCUGAAUCAAAAAGCUUGGCCUCUUUCUGUUUGAGUGUCGGAUCCUUCUUCUUUACCUUGAUUAAUGCAUCGAAGAACUCCAAGUCCUUCCUAAAAUUUUGGCUAUCUUCUUCCUCUGAAGAAGAUGAUUCAGAUUCAGAGCUUUCUGAUUCAGAGUCUUCAAUUAGACCCUUCUUCUUUAGCUCCUCUAAGCGCUGAAGAUCCUGUCGCUUCUGGUUAUGCUCAAACCUUUUAGCAUAAUCCUGAUUAAUUUCUAUCUUUGAGUUGUCAUUAUCAGAAUCACUUCCAUCAAAUAACCGUAGACCCAUUGUUUCUGCAACAAAAGAAUGUUCAAAUUAGGAUUUUUCAUAAAUAUUGGCAGACUUUAAAUUAGUAAGACCCUCAAUCUAUGUGGUGCAAAUUUGUUUAAAUUAGUAAGACCCAAAAUUUAAUUGAAAUUAUUCAAAUGCAAGCAUAGCCAAUUACAUACAUUCCCAUACAUUCGUUUAAAUUAAGCAUAAAUUUCAAUUGUCUAGUUACACAUGUGCGGCAUCCAUAAAAGAUGUAGUUUUGAGUAUCUCAUACGUUCCCUUAAUAACUUUUGUACAUACUGUGUAGUGUGACUUUCCAUUUUUUUUGUUUAUGUAUAUCUCAUAAAGCAAAACUUCACAAAUACAAAUUGAACAAUAUAAUGCAUCAUGAUGAACUUACUUGGAGGAGGGCAGCGGCGAGUGGUGCGUCGAGGGGUCCGGCGAGCAGAUUGGAAACUACUUGCAAGAGAGGGAGGGAGGAAGACGGCAAGACGAAAUGUGGAAAACGGGAGAGAGAGGGAGGCGGCGGGAAGGGAGUCUCGGGCAGGGGCGAAUGCGGCGAGCGUCCGGCAAGUGCGGCGAGAAGAUGAAGUGUCCGGCACGGUCAGGGGCGAGUGCUGCGAGAAAGGGGAUUAUCGGACACGGAGAGGAAAAAUCGUGGGUGGGCGGCGGUUGUUUGGGACAAAAGGGAUUGGGAAAAAGUAGAAAUUAGGGUUUUUUUAAAAAUUAAUUUUCUAACAAAUAGCAAAUACUUUUUUUAAUAAAUAAACCAUAAAUCAGUAAUGAAAAAGGAAUUAGAAUUAAUUUUAAAAAUAAUAAAAUAAAUUAAAAUAUUUACGAGUAAGAGUAAAAUUUUAAAUUCUAUUUCUAUCUUAGAAGAAUAUCAAUGUUGAUGGAUAAAAUCUAAAAAUUUUGCUAUAUAUUAUAAAUAAACAUUUCGUCAAAUUUACUAUUUUUUUUAUGAUUAUUCAUCCUAACGUUCUUUUUAAGUAAUUUUAAAUUAAGAGAUAACAAAAAAAAUAGAAACUAUCAUUCACACUUUUAGAAAAAAAUAAUGUUAUUUUAAUCACCAAAGUUAUAUUAUAUAGUUUUAUUGGUUAUUAUAAAUGUUGUCAUUAUUUGUUAAAUUAAAGUAUUUUCAUAUUGAGAAUCGUAGAUCAAUUUAAACUAAAAUUAUCCUCACAAACAAAGUAACACCGUAGUAAAGAAAUUGAGAGGAAAGAAACCUAAGUUUCAAAAAUAGAAAACUAAGAAAGGAAGUACUUAACAAAUGGAACUUUUAGAUAACACAUGAAAAUUUAAUGGAAUUCACAACUUAAAGCAGAAAUGAUUUUGAUGGUAAGCAAAAUAAAACAAUGGAGUCCAUAUAUAUUGUGCAACUAAUGCAACAGGAAUAAAACAUCAUAUCCUAAAUCUUAGAACUAUAUAGCAAACAUACUUCAAUUUAUAGUUAGAUAUAUAGCAGGAAAAUUCUAUCAACGAAUGAGUAGCAUAUACAGUUGAUUGAUGAAAUCACAUGAAUGAAAAUCUUCAUCCAAGUCAUCAUAUGCAAGAUCACAAAAUCAAGAAUUAUAGAAAUCAAGACACUGCUCACCAUUUCCAUCAAAAGUACCCCAAUGUUUGCUGCUAGAUCUAUGAUGAUGCUUUGCCAAUGCCUUAGCUCCGUGAGUUAACUUUAUGCCUUUACCCUCGAUUCAUUAAGAAAACUAACUUCCAUAAAUGGGCGACAAGUAAACCACAAAAAACAAGUAUGUAACAAACAGAACUGUAAAUGUUCAUCUUUCAAAGCUUGAUUUGAAAAGUAGUUAUACUUUUCUUAAAGUACUAUCCAAUAGUUAAGACAUACUAAAUUCAACCAUUCCAAAUUUCAAUUACUUAUUCUCUUUCAGGAUUGACAUUUUAUGCUUUCUUUUUUUUUUUAAUGGAGUGCGAUUAUUAUUUGAUGUAAAAUUUAUAAAUAAGGAGAUUAAAGUUGAAGGCAGAGCACUAUAUCCAAACUUCAGAAAAUUUGGAGUAAUUGAUUUAGAUGUCAAAAUACUAUUCAAUACCAAUAGAAUUGACUGGACAGCGCAUGCAGCAUAAUAAACUCUUUUCGCUUGGGAUAAAAAAUGAAGCAACUCAUCAUGAAUUAUAUAAUCUGACCUCGGGUUUAUAUGGAAGCACAAACGAAGAUAAAAGAGCUGAUCUUGGUGGGGGAAGAGCAUCAGCAACCGUUCCUGCGGUAUGUGCCAAGCCAAGAAGACCUUGAAGACCUUCAUAACUCAGCCCCUGGAGUAGAGAAUUUGAUAAUCAAUGCAAACUAUAUAGUAUACCAUGCACUUCUAUAUGACUAAUGUCAGCAAGUUAACACAAAAGUUUGCUGUAUGUGAGGGCCAUUGAGAAGAGGAAAAUACAGCAGGGAAAGUAAAAGAAAAUCACAAAAACGACAUUAGAUGAAAUAUACUUCCUUAUUUAAACUGAAAGCGCCAAAGAAUGAAGCAAAAUGAAAAUCGGUACAAGAGUCCAAAAUGUAAAGACAUCCAGCAGUUGAACUUUAUAGCGUUCACAACAUAUAACUGAAGGACUUCUUGAAUUGAAUUCAUACCUUAUCAUCACGAGCAUUGAUACUACUUCAAUAUUCCUCCUCAUUUAAACGGAUCUUAUGUCAAAGAUAAACGAAUAGCACAUAGGACUAACUGCUAAUAACUUCAUAUAUAUACGUAUAUAUAAACAUAAGUACACAAUUAGAAUAAACUAGAAGAUGCAGUACCACAGAUCGGACUUGUGAUCAAGGUUACAAGUCUGUUAACAACUUCAUAUUAUUAGUCCUACAAUUUUGACUGGCAUGUAGCAUUGACCUAGAACUUUAAGAUGAUUUAAUUCAAUUCAAGAUGUACUCCUAAAUAUUCAAAACUUUGACUACAUGCUGAAGUUCUUUUAAAUUUUGCUAUUCUAUCACCAUAUAUUUUAGCAACAAAGAAAACUCACUGAGAUUAUUGCAGCUAAAGAAAUGUAUGGCUGAAAUGGCACACUUGAAAUGCAUAGAGCAAGAACACUGUCAGCCAUUUCUUCGUCUUCUCUGUUCAAAGAUUUCAAUAUUUGCAAACCUGAAAAUAUGUGCAGCAUAAUUGUUUCCUAUGAAGAAAUUCACUGUUUCAAUUCAACAACUUCAACCAUCUCUAUUUACUACUUUUUAGGUUUGUUUCAUUUUUAUUUCUCUCUCGCAAAUAUUAUAUGCCCAGUUUCUCACUUCCCUAAUGUUUAUCCUUGCAAACUGGUUAAGAGUUGAAAAAAGGGCCACUCUUGCUGAUCAUAGCUUUAAUGGUUGAAUUAAAUGGACUGGUCAAUUAUCACUAUUCCAAGAAGAAUAAAAAAUGCAUCAAAGGAGCAACUCAACCAAAGUUGGUUCUUUAACUAAUUUCUUCAUCAAGUUAACAUGUUCCAUCUGAGUCAAUAAGAUUAACUGCAAAGAUGUUCCAUGAAGUAAAUUUUCUGUUUCUACAAAAACGUUGGACUGUUUGGUAUCAAACCAAUUUCUGUUUUUAUGUUUUGGUAUUACCUUCAUCGAUGCUUUCAACUCCAGGCAGGAUGCUUUGAAGAUUUUCAGACUCCAACAUAUCAGAAAAAGACACAUACCGAUGGAUAUCCUUCAAUACUCAAUCGUUUAGCAAGUUACAAAAAAUAACUUAAGCCAAAGGAAUACAAAAUGAAAAGCAACAAUACAAUAUACCAAGAUUUCAAAUACAAGACAUUUAUUGACGAUAAUCAGCAUUCCUGGUUCAAGUCUGCAGCCACAAAGAAAAGGGGGAAAUCAAAUCUAUGUAUUGGCAAUAUUAUUGUUAUUGUUAUUUUUUAAAAAAAAUAGCUUUAUAAAGAAAACCAGGAGGGCUCUAGUUCAAUUGAGACGAGAGUGCAUGACACUGACAAGGAAUCUAUGGGAUUAUAGAUCAAAUGAACAAUUAUGCACUAACUUAAUUAUAUUUAAAGUGAGACUUGAAAUGAAUUUUGUACGAUGAUGAUAUGUGUUAAAAGAAAUACCUAUCGUAUUUGCCCAAAGCAUACUUUCCUUCAACUGUUUUUUGGCCAUCUACAAACAAAUUUAUAAGGCAGUCCAUUGAGGUGGUGAAUCAACAAACUAUGGAACUUGGAUAUACCUAUUGCUCUAGACUAAUAACAUUUGACUUUCAAUUCACAAUACCUUUUAGCUGCGUAAAGAAAGGCUCGUCGAUAUAAAGUUCAAGGUUAAGAGUUCUAAGCAUCUGCUGAAACAAAAGUCUUUUAACGCAUGAUAAAAUUGAUCUUAUCAGAUAAUACAAAAAAGAAAGCUGCACCCACUACGUACCUGUACCAUUUCAGACCCUUUAUCCAUAAUCAGCUUCAACCACAUUUCCUCUUUCUGCUUUAAAGAACUUUCUCCAUUCUUCAUUAACAUUUUCUCAUACAUUGGACAGAAAGUGCCGGAACAGAGAGAUUCCCACAAAGCCAACGAUAAACGUUCGUAUAAAGGAUAUGGAGGAACACCUUCAUUAAAAAGAACCAUACAAUUUUAUAUUGAUGCCCUUGAGCUAAAUCAAAAAGUCAUCCUAAUGUGUUGUAGACAAAAAUUAAACUAGACAUGAACUAAACAAAGACUAGCUACUUCAAUAAAGAAAACCCUUUUCGGUGAGAUGGGUCCAAAUUAAAGCAUAUAAUGCAACGAGUGAGCUGCCCUUGACAUUCAGUUACAAAAAGCUUCUCAACGAUCUUUCUACCAAAAACCUUACAAUUAUUGGAACAACAGUUGGAGGGAAAAUUUAAAAAAACAGAGAACACAAAAAAAUUGAACAAGGGAGUUUCCCAUUUUCACCUGCUUUGGAGUAUGGCAAGGGAUUGGAAGUGGAAGGAUCAUGUUUAAAGAGAGAAGAGCAGAAGGCACUGGAGAGACCCAAAUCAAAGUCUGGGGUUCCGUUAGUGGAUGAUUGCAGAACAAACUUGAGCAGCUCCUGCACACAAUCCUCGAGUUUGAUGAUCAUAAUCGGAGACGGAGAGCCUUCUGGAGAAGAUGAAGAUCGAUGAUGGCUACUCACAUAUUUGUUGUUUAGUUUACAAAAAUGACUAAAACGAAUGAUAUCAUAUGAUUUGAUCGUUGAUGAUAUAUAAUCAUGAACAUUUAAUUCAUGGUAUUACUUACUAGGGAUCCAAUCAUACUUAAUUAAAUAUAAAUGCCAUAGAAAUCUCAAAGAAUUAAUUUAGUUUGAUAAUUCAACCACAUGACUUUUAUUUUAGUUAUUGUUAUAUGAAUUAAACUUAUAGUUAUAAUAAUACAUUAUGUGGAUAUUCAAUUUUUUGAGGAAAAGAGAAACCUAAUAAGUAUUUUAGGAUUAUAAAAAAUUAUAUAAUUGAGAAAUUGAGAAUACUUUGCAUUUAGAAAUAAAAAAAUUGUUUUUUAAUAUAGUAAAAUAAACUAAAAUAUUUAGCAGUAUAGCAAAACAUUACUUAUAGAUAUUGAUAGGUACAACAAAUCUAUCGACAUGUUUAUCAUCGUUAUACUAUAAAAUUUUUGUUAUAAUUAUAAAUAAUUUCAACUAUUUUAUUAUUUACAACAAAUUUUCAAAAAUAAAUAUAUUACUUAUUUGUGAAUUCUACGUGAUUUUUGUUUGAAUCUAUGAUAUUUCUUUUCAAUCAACUAUAAGUCUUAUAAUAUAUUUUAUUAUUAUUUAGUUCAUGAUCAUGUAUCAAGUAUAAAAGAUUUUGGUAUACCAUAUUGGAAAAAAAUUGUUGAAUGUUGACUGAGCCAUCAUGGACAGAGUUUUUUCAUUUUCGAAAUUGUUCAAUAAAUAUUUUAUUGAUUUUUUAUAUUUUUAAAAAAUUCCAUUUAAAUAACCUAUUAACUAUUAUGCAUUAAAUGGUAGAAAACUGCAUUAAGAAUUUUAAGGGUGAAUUGUCAUUAAUCACAAAAAUAGUAAAUUUUUUAAAUAAAAUGUGGAUGGUGGAUGAAUUUUGUUAUAAUUUGUAAUUAGUUUUAAUAUUUUGUAAUUUGAGUCCAAAUCUAAAAUCUAUAUAAAGAAAAAAUUAAUAUGCAUCCAACUUGGAAUAUAUCACAUAUAAAAUAUAUAUGUUAAUAGAAAAGAGAUUAGAAUUAAAAUAUAUAUAACUUUUAGUAUAUAUGUUGCAUUGUAGUGCAUUAUUUGAUAGGUAAUACUUUUUGGUAGCAUAGUAAUAAGAUAGAUCAUCACAUUUUGAUUUAUUUCAAGCUUUAUCCAAGACAAGAGAUAAAGCUAUACACACAAUCAAAAGUAUAUAAAAGAAAAAUUAAGAAACGCACACAAAUGACAUAGGAGUGGCUGAUGGAUAACAUAGUGUGGUAUAGUGAUGAUGAAUUAUAUAGAUCAGAGAGGGAGAGACUUGCUUUGAUAAUUAAAAUUAAAGGUAUAGACUCCAGUGUAAAGACCAUCAUCACACACUCUCUCAACUUUUCUUCCAUUCCGAAGAAGAUCUCGUUGCGUGUACGAAAAUGGAAUAUCACAUUUGGCCUUAGUUGCAAGAAGAGUAACUUUCAUCUUUGUGUUUGGUGGUACAAUAACAGUAUAUGUUCCAGUUACUUCUUUACUUUCUUGAAUAGUUUCUCCCCAUUUGUAACUACCUUCAAAAGUGUAGUUGACUUUAAUCUCAGUUUCAAAAAGUGAAGGAACCCCGGCUUUAAUGGAAGUCUCUAUACCCACACCUAUGGUUAGUGAAGAUUCCCAAGUUUUAGAUUUUUCUUCUUGGUACCUCAAACUUACGGUCAUAAUCGCCUCUUUUGGGCUCGUGUUGAUAGCCUCCUCCGCGGCCAUUGUUAGUACUUGUGCGUCAUAUUUCCUCGCAUCCAUAGUUCGGUAUUGAAUAUUGUAGAUUUCCCUUGAAAUAAUUGGCUCAACGAUCUCCAAUUCUGCAUCCUGUGUGAUAGAAUCAAUAUUAGAGUUCAAAAAGUUCGACUUACCAUCAGCACUUAAAUUCCUACAGAACAUGCCAUUGGCAACGUUUCGAAGCGCGACUUUAUUUUUAGCAAUCUUGAUUGGCCAAAACAAGGUGUUUUUGUCGUUCUCCGUCUGGUCGUCUGAGUCAGCCUUGAUCCAGUUUGGGUCACGUCUCCAAAACAUCUUCGUAGAUUCAUUCUUAAUUCUUAUAGUUCCAUCGCCGACGUUGAAAACUUCUUGGCUCACCCUAGGGUCUCCAACGUCGUGGGCAUUGAAUUGCAAAUAUGUGGUGUAAUUAUAAGGAUAGGCAGCGAGAAACUUGUCACCGUUCUUAAAGGUGACGUAUUUAGGGAGUCGGAUGAUGUUUUCAAAAUCGACUAACAAAAGUAAUUUGUCGCCAUGAUGUUUUUCAUCUUGUUUAUAUCUAGUUGUGAGAACAUUGGGAUGAUUCUUGCAACUAGUACAUCGACAUGCAUAGGUUUGAAGCAAUACAUCAAAUAAAUAGUAAGUCCCUACAGUAGGACCUUGGAUGAUAUUAAACAAUGUGCAUGGCCAUGAGGUAUCGUUUUCACUCGGCUUGCUAACAAAGGGACGAACAAAGCGAUUGUAGUCAUUGGAAGAGGCUAAGUACUUGUUGUUGUAGCAACAUUUAAUGUGCCAAUAUUUACCAUUCUUGUCGGGCUCAAUCUCGAACUUUGUAAACGGGGUCAAAGCUUGAUCAGAAGAGAAGUAUAGAUUGCCCUUAAAAAAACCAUGGGUAAGGUAUUGAAGGUACUUCCUUUCUGUGUGGUUCUGAAAUCCUACAUACUUAGGGAGAAACGACAUUAUUAUAGAUAUGAUCAACAGAUACAAAGAGAGAGAGAGAGAUGAGCUUGAGUGUACGUGUAUGUAUGUAUAAGUUUUCUUCUUCUUAAUUACACACUUAAUUCUCUAAGGUGUGAGUACUAAUACCCAAUAUCCAAACCUCUUCUCUUUAUAUAUACAUGUAUGGAUAACUAAUAUUAACUAUUAUCUUCUGCAUGAUCGUAGGACGAUACAUCACUUAUAAUAUGGAUAACAAGGAAUCCUUACUUUACUUUUUUUCUUUAUUGACUAAAUAAUUUAAACUUUAUACUUUGUGUCAAUCAAAAAUAUCUCUCAACCCUAAAUAUAUAUAUUUUUAAAAAUAAUUUAAAGCAGCAUUUUCAAAAAUAGCAAAAUAAAAUAAAAUAUUUACAAGCUAUAACAAAAUUUUAGAUUUUAUGAGUGAUAAAAAUGUAGCAUAUCAAUGAUUAUCAGUUAUAGAAUUGAUUGUAAAUAUUUUGUAAAAUCUACUGCUUUUUUAAAUUUCCCUAAUUUAAAAGUAUUUACAUUGCAUUGCACAUGUUAUGUAAAAAGAAAAUAUUUAAAAGUUGUAGAUUCAUGGUACGGUGAUAGAAAACUACUAGCUAUAGAAUCCAAGAUUUUGCUAUAGUUUUUAAAUAUUUUAAUUAAUUUAUUUUGCUAUUUUAAAAAAUAGUCAUAAGACCAUAAAUUAGUUAUUUAAGAUUUUUUUCGAAAACUCAUUCUUAUGUUUUAGAUUUGGGAAAUUGUCAAAUAUUCAUUUACACUUUAUAGAAAAAUAAAAUUGAAUCACUCUCGAGAAAAUAUAAUUUUUGUUUGUUUUUUUGGAUGAAGUGAAAAUAGUUUGUCAAAUUUUUUUAUAUUUUUUUAAAAAAAUUGAAGAUUUGGUUAGCUUAAAUUAUUAUUUAUUAUUAAAAACCAUUAUAUAUAUUUUAAAAUUUUGUGAAUAUUUAGAAAUCUAAUUUUUUUAAAAACAUUGUUCACUUUUGGUUGUAGUGAAUAUAUAUCAAAAUCUAUUAGAUUUUCAAAAAAAAAUUAUCUCCAACCUAAUAUCUAUUAUUAUUUUCUAAAAAUUGUUCCGAUAGAAAUAUAUAAAAAAAUAUUAAUUUUUAUAUGUGGUGAUAGACUCUUAUCGCUGAUAUAGUCUAUAUUAUUGAUAGAUUUCCAAAUAUUGAUCUAAAUUUUGUUAUAUCAAAAAAGAAAAAAUAAAAACCAAAGUUUUUUACUACCGACACCUUUUUCCACUCUCCAACACUAGAGUCACCCACCUUUCUACAACAUAAUGGAUGUGAGACAAACACUUUUAAUAUUUUGCCAAAAAUUCUUACAAAAAUGAUAUUUUCAGUACGUGGAACCCUCCGUUUAAAAUUUGCAGAACUAGGAAGAUUUAGAAAAAGUCGUUUUAGAAAAGAGGUUAAUAUAAUUGCUAACCUGAGUAGUUAUCUCAAGGACAAGAGAUCUCGAAUUCAAAUCUUUCCACGCUUCCGUAUUGUAUUAUUUAAACAUAUCUUUAAAAAAACUUAAUUAAUUUGUAACCUAAAAAUAAAUAACAUUAUCUUUUUGUUUUCUUUUCAUACGAAGAUUAUAUUGCUGCUUAAGAACAAUAUACUUUACUAAAUUCUUUUGUUUGAGCAGACUAGAACAUACUGAUAUAUUCCAUGUUUCACAUUGUUGAACGACUUUAACUUUUACAUUCAUACAACUUUUGUACGAGCAUCUUAUUUUUGUUUCGAGUCAUUGACAUUCAACCUCGCCAGUUCCAAAAUAUGGGGCUGUUUAUUAAUUCUCUCUCUUUAGUUAGGAGGGUCUCUAUCUCUAAAUAAAAAGUUGUUUAAAUAAUUGAUCCUCAAUCUGCUUUUAAUAUACAUGUUAUUGACCAAGGUUAUAUAAAUGUUAUUAGUACAUAUUAAUCAAGAGUUCAAAAAUGUUAUGUAUUUUUUUCUUAAACUAAUAUUAUUUAAGGUAAUGUGAUCCCAAACCUUAAGUUACUUAAUGAAGCAAUGAAGAAGAAUAUAGCUAAAUAUAGUAGAUGCCUUUAUCUUUCUUUCUUUGAUCAUUUCGUCUUCAUCUUAUUCCAUUGCUAGAUUAGAUCUUGUUGAACUUAUAUCUAAUACCAUAAAUCUUUCUUCAUUUAUGCUUGAAUUAUUAAACUACAUUCUAUUUCCUUACCCGAACUUUGAAUACUUUAAAGAAAAAUAUUUAAAAAAGUAGAUUUUACAAAAUAUUUACGAACAUAUACCAAAUUCUAUCAUAUCAGUCAUAGAAUCUAAAAUUUUGCUAGUAAAUACUUUAUUUUAUUUUGUUAUUUUUAAAAAUGUUUUAUAUAUAAAACAUCGAUAUAAAAACAGUAAAAAGACUUUUAAAGACAGAUUUGUCCGGUUUUAAAUUAAAUGUAUUGAAUUAAAAAAUUAUUAGGUAAAUUGAUUUUUAAAAAGAGAAAUUUUUAGAAAUAGUAGAUUUUACAAAAUAUUUACAACUUAUAGCAAAUUCUAUCACUGAUAGUCAUUGAUAUGCUAUCGUGAUAGAAGACUAUCAUUGAUGGAAUCUAAAAUUUUGGUAUAGCUUGUAAAUAUUUUAAUUUAUUUUGCUAUUUUAAAAAAUGUUCCUCCCCAACCUAAAAGUUUUGUUUAAUUAAAUAAUUAGAGUAAUAAUAAGAAUUUAGCUUUAAUGAUUGGAAUAAAAAAACGGUUAAUAACUAAUUGAGUCCAAACUUACCGUAUAAACACACACAAGAUUGAAGAUCGAAAAUUGCUCGAAGAUGAAGAUGAAAAUUGAAAUUGUUCAUAGUAAAACAUUAUUUGUUAAUUUAUAAUUUUUUUUGUUAUAGUUUAUACUGUUUUUUUUGUUAAUAAUUCAACCGUUUAUAAUAUUUUUUGUGCAUAGAAACGUACAAAACUUUAUUUUCAUAAACUUUUAAUUUAUCCAAAAAAAAAUGAGAUGUGUUAUUUUGAUUUAAUUAUUUAGUUCAUUUUCUAUAAGAUAGAUGAAAAAAGGUGUGAUUAAUAAAGUUAGAAGUUUUUCUAAAAUCGUGAAUAAAAGUAAUUACAAUUGUUUACAAAUUUAAUUAUAUUAUAGCAAAUCAAAAAUAAAAAUAGAAAACCUGUUAGCAUUUAAAAUUUUAUAGUUUGUUACAUUUAUUAUAUAAAUGUGUUUGAAAUCGUAUUCAAAUAUACAUUUUCUUUCACAGAAAUUUGUUCAAAAUAAUAUUAUGUAGAUUUAUUGUAGCAGAGAUUUAUAGAGAAAAUGUCAAUAAAGCUGAUAAAUAAAAAAAGGGAUAAAAGUUCUAUUUUUUAAAAAAUGGAUCAUACUCGUUCACCCAUCGUUGUAUUGCAUAAAUUUACGAGCAUUUCCAAUCUUAUAAGUAUUUUUUUGAAGACUAAAUGUACAAUUGUAUUGAUACAAAAGCAUACAUGUAUGGUAAUACUUAGUGAAUUAAAAUUAUAGUUAUAAUACAUUGUGUGGACAUUUAAUUUUUUUUUAAGGAAAGGAGAAAUCUAAUUAGUAAUUUAAGAUAAUUAUCCAAAAUUAUAUAACUGUGAAUGCUUUGUAAUUAAAAUAAUAAAUAAAUUAGUUAUUUUCUAAUAUCAAAAUAAACUAAAAUAUUUAAAGUAUAGGAAAGUAUCACUUAUAGGUGUUGAUAGAUACAAUAAAUUUAUGAAUGUUUAUCAUUGAUUUACUAUGAAAAUUCUCUUAUAAUUAAAAAUAAUUUCAACCAUUUUAUUAUUGGGACACUUGCAAAAAUGACAAAACAAGUUAUAAUAAUUAAGUCCAUAACACACAAGUUUUAUUAUUUUCGAAGAUGGCAAAAACGAAGUCCAACCCACACAUCAAGAGGUAAAAUAUCACUAAUGUCUUUGUUACUAAUAUACAUCUGAUACACCUUAUACACGUCUGAUACACCUAAUACACCCCUUGAUACACCUAAUAUACCCCUUGAUACACCUGAUACUUCUUGAUACACCCGAUAUAUUUGAUUGAUACACUUGAUGCACCUAAUACUUUUUGAUACAUUCGAUACCUUUUGAUACACACCUGAAACAUUACUAAUAUAUGUUUGAUACACUGCAGAUACAUUUAGUAUUCUUCACUUAUACAAUUGAUUGAUUAAAUGCACUUGAUAUGCUUGAAGUCCUACUUAUAUACUUGAUAUAAUAUUGAUAUACACUUGUAAACUUGAUUCAUAUACUUGAUAAUGAUUCACUUUACUAAUAUGUUUUAACAAUAUAUUGUUAAUAUACUUGAUAAUGAUACACUGAGUUACAUCAUUCAUAUACUUAAUAAUACUCUAACGAACUACGUAAAGUUUGAAAAAACGAAAAUCAUGUAGUAAGUAUAUUAACCAACUAAUACAUAUAAUAUAAGUAUAUCACAACACUAUAUACGAAACUGAGAAAAAGUAAAACAAAAAAAUUAAUGUAAAAAAAUAAAACAAAAUCAUUUGGAAUCUAAUUCAACUCAAAAUACAUAUCGAAGGAAGUAAAAAAAAAAUCACAAAUGAAGUUAAUUACUCCGAUCAACAACCAUUAUAUUAUAUUUCAUAUUGCAAUUAUUGUACUAUUGAUAUUUUAAAAUUAAGAUUAAGACAAAAAGAAUAAAUUAUUUUUUUAGUAUAAGAAUAAACAAAUAAUUAGGGUCUUAGAAAGUGAGAGAAUAAAUAAAUAAUAAGUAGACAUUAAAUAGAGGAAGAGAAAUAAGUUAUUGAACGGUAAUUUAGGAAUAAUAACAAACUUAAGAUGAAGAAGUAAAAAUUUUGCCAUAUUUACAAAAUUCUAAAACAAUGUGCUAUAAUUGCUAUAUUAUAUUCUCGAAAUGUUAUCAUAAGGAAUUUUUAAAUAUUAUUUACAACUAUUUUUUAAAAUUAUAAUAUAUUACUUAUUUGUAAAUUCCCACCUAAAAGUUAACAUAGCUAGAUUAGGAGAUGAUUGCAAAUAUGAUUUUAGCAUUAUGGUUAUAAAAAUUUGAAGCAUACAUUUACAAAAUCACCAACUUUAUGUGUGUAUAUAUAUAUGACAAAUUAUGUGCAAUAGAAUCUUUAGAAUUUGAGUCUAAAAUCAAAAAUUUAUAAUAUAUAUGUGUGUAAAUUUUAAAAUAACUAAAUAUGCAUCUCAACUUCAAAUAUAUAUAUGUGACACAUAGAUAAAAUAUAUAUGUUAAUAGAAAAGAGAUUAGAAUUAAAAUAUGUAUAAUUUUUAGUAUUAUCUUUUUUUGCAUUGAACUGCAUUAUUUGUUAGGUAAUACUUUUUGUAGCAUAGUAAUAAGAUAGAUCACAUUUUGAUUUAUUAAAAGCUUUAUCCAACACAACAGAUAAAGCUAUACACACACUCAAGAGUAAGUAAAAGAAAAAUUAAGAAACACAAACACAAAUGACAUAAUAGUGGAUGAUGGAUAAUAUAGUGUGGUAUAGUGAUGAUGAAUUAUAUAAAUCAGAGAGGAAGAGGCUUGUUUUGAUAAUCAAACUUAAAGGUAUAGACUCCAGUGUAAAGGCCAUCAUCAUACUCUGUCUCAACUCUUCUUCCAUUUCGGAGAAGAUCUCGUUGCGUGUACGAAAACGGAAUAUCACAUUUGGCCUUAGUUGCAAGAAGAGUAACUUUCAUCCUUGUGUUUGGUGGUACAGGAACAGUAUAUGUUGCCGUUACUUCUCUACUUUCUGAAAUAGUUUCUCCCCAUGUGUAACUCGCUUCAAAAUUGUAGCUGACUUUAAUCUCAGUAUCUAAAAUUUCAGGAAUCCCAGCUUUAAUGGAAGUCUCUAUACCCACACCUACGGUGAGUGAAGAUUCCCAAGUUUUGGAUUUUUCUUCGAGGUACCUCAAACUUACAGCCAUAACCGUCUCCUUCGAGCUCGAGUUAACAGCCUCCUCCGUUGCCAUUGUUAGUACCUGUUCAUCGUAUAUCUUUGCAUCCAUAGUCCGAUACCGAAUAUUGUAGAUUUCCCUUGAAAUAAUUGGCUCAACGAUCUCCAAUUCUGCCUCCUUAGUGAUAGUUUCACUACUAGCAUUCAGAAAAUCCACCUUACCAUCACCAGUGUAUCUCGUAACAAACCUGCCAUUGGCAACGUUUCGAAGUGCGACUUUGUUUUUAGCAAUCUUGACGGGCCAGAACAAGGUGUUCUUGUCGUUCUUCGUCUGGUCGUUUGAGUCAGCCAGGAUCCAGUUUGGGUCACGUCUCCAAAACUUCUUCGUAGAUUCGUUCUUGAUUCUAACAGUUCCAUCACCAACGUUGAAAAUUUCGUGGCUCACCUGAGGGUUUCCAAUGUCAUUGGCAUUGAACUGCAGAUAUGGGGAAUUACGAUACGUAUAGGUAGCGAGAAACUUGUCAUUGUUCUUAAAGGAGAGGUAUUUAGGGAGUCGGAUGAUGUUUUCAAAGUCGACUAGCACAACUAAUUUGUCGUCGUGUCGUUUUUCAUCGCGUCUAUAUCUAGUUGUGAGAACAUCAGGAUGAAUUCUGCUACUGGUACAUCGACGUGCAUAGGUUUGAAGCAAGACAUCAAAUAAAUAGUAAGUCCCUGUAGUAGGACCAGGGAUGAAAUUAAACAAUGUGCAUGGCCAUGAGGAUUCAUUUUCACUCGGCUUGCUAACGAAGGGAGUAACGAAGCGAUUGUGGUCGUUGGAAGAGGCCAAGUACUUGUCGUUGUAGCAACAUUUUAUGUGCCAAUAUUUACCAUCCUUGUCGGGCACAAUCUCAAACUUUGUAAAUGGGGUCAAAGCUUGAUCGGAAGAGUAUUGUAGGUUACCCCUAAGAAAACCAUCAGAAAGGUAUUGAAGGUACUUUCCUUCUACGUGGUUCUGGAAUCCUGCAUAUUUGGGGAGAAACGACAUUGUUAACGGAGAGAGAUGGUAAAUAUGAGUUUUCUUCUUCUCAAUUACACACUUCUCAAGGUGGUGAGGAACUGAUGCCCAGUCCCCAAACCUCUUCUCUUUAUAUACAUAUAUGGAUAACUAAUAUUAAUUAUUAUAUUUUGCAUGAAUGGGACGAUACAUCGCUUAUAUGGAUAAAUCAGAAUAUAUACUUACUUCACUUUUUUGUUUGUUGACUAGAUAAUCUCAACUUUUUACUUUGUGUCAUUCAUAAAUAUCUCUAAAGUACCGUAAAAAAGUUCAAAAAAAUAAUCUUGCUGCUUUUUAGUGUGUCCAAAAGUUUUCGAUUUUUUUAGUUGUAGUAUUUCUUCUAUACCGCUUAGUUUUUUAGUUGUAGUAUUACUUCUAUACCGCUUAGUUACUUACGUGUGUUUUUAUAAUCUGUGCAUAACUUUUCGAGUUUCUUUCUAGCAUGUUUUGUACUUUUCCAUUGAUUAUUGAUAUCGUAUUUGGUCUUAAGAUGGAAUGAAGGGUGUUAUAGAGAUGUUAACCGAGUUGAAAUAUCUUGGUAUAUUCCAUGAUCCCUCUCUCUAGUUGGAUACUAAGUGCAUUGUAGUACAAUUUAAAAAGAUAACUUAAAUAUAAAUGGUUAAUAAAAUAACUCGUGAAAUUAAAAAAAAAUCAUUAAAAAAAUGAGUUAUUUAUAAAAGAAAAUUAAAAAGAAUCUUUUGAAUAAAAUAAUAACAAGAUUUGAAAUCAAAAUAUUUGUGUACUAUUAUAUGUUAAAUAUAUUAUCACAUAUUAAAUAAAAUAUAAUAUUUUAUGAUAGCAAAUUAAGUAUGAUUAAGUGUUUGUAUUUACAUCUAUGGAUAUAACUAUUAUUUUGGAAAGUUAGUGUAAUACGUAAUUAAGGGUGGAGGGAUAGUUUGAACCCACGGGGAUACACGUUCCUGUAUUAUUGUUAUUGUUAUUAAUUUAAAUAAGUCAAUCAACUAGCAAUGGAAUAAUUAAGAUCAAAAGGAAAUGAUGAAAGAAGGAUAAAGGCAUCCAUCAACUCAAUAAACUUAAAAGAAAUGCUCGUAUAAAAAGUUAAAGUCAUUAAACAGUGUGGAAUAUGAUUGAUUCGUAUAGAGUUGAUGGAUGCAAAGAUAUAGAGAACCAAUCAGCUUAUCUAUAGGUUUUGAUGGUUACACACUGCAAAAUUAAUUUUCACUAACCAAAAUGUUGCAAAUUUUUAAGUAUUAGAAAUAUAUUAUUAUAUACUUUUAAGUUUAUUCAUUUUGUAGUUGGAGAGAAUGGAAAAAAAAAAGUGAGUAGUCAAUAAAGUUUUGGGAGAUUUUUUUUUUAAUUACUGUGUUUUUGUUAGCUUUUUGUUUUCUAUUUUUUGUUUUUCUUUCAGUUAUUAUAUCGUUAAUUUUUUUUGAAAUAUACAAAAAAAAAAAAAAAACUAAAAUAUUUACAAAAUCAAAUUAAAAAGUCCAUGAACCCAACCGUAUAUUUCUUUUAUAAAAUAUUUCAUGUUUGUCUAGCCACUUUCAUUCUACUUUUCUAUCUUCUCUUCGGAUCUAUGUUUCCAAUCAAUCAUAAAUUUUGUAUUUUUUUUUCCAAAGUGUUAUUUGAUUCAAGAUCGUGUACCAAGGUACACAAUCUUGAACAAAAAUCUUUGAGAUAUUGGUACAUGAUAACUUAGAUUUAGCUACACGAUCGUGUAACAAAUCUAAAAGAUAUUGGUACAAGAUCGUGUGCCAAAUAUAAAAUAUAUUGAAAAAAAUCGUUCGAAUAUUGGUGUCGUCACGUGCACGAGACGACACAGAGAGACCGACAUCCUAACAAUGUGUUAGUUUUAAAACAAAAUAAAAAAAAAAAAAAGUUGCCACCAAUUUUUUUUACGAGGUGAUUGAACACCAAAAUAAAAUAAACAAAAUUUAAAUAAAAUCAUAAAAAAAUGGUUGACAAACAUUAGACUUGAGUUUGUGAGUCAAUUGUGCAUGAGGAAAGUGUCACACCCAAAACACCCAUUCAGAAAACGGUGGCAAAAUUGUAAAUAUUGAAUUGAAAAUAUUCUUUAAUUUCUUUUAAAAUUAAUAUCUUAUUUUACCCCCGACUACUCUCAUAUUUGAAGUAACGAUCUCAUAAAAUAAGUGGAAAGCAUUCCACCACACUAUAUUCAUGAAAAAAAAUUUCUCAUCCUCAAAAAUUAGUACAAUUUCUCAAAAUCUAUCCUAGGCAUUGUCUUCUAAUUAUAAAGUGAUUUUUUUCUAGGACAUUAAUUAAAAGUAAUUUUUCUUGGAUCAAAUCUCGAACUCCCAAAAAUUCCAAGAGUUUUAUGAUUUUGUUUAAGAAAAACGGUAUAAGUUAUUAUAAAAGAUUGAUUAGAAAAUUUUAUGAAAUCACAAAUUAAAUUUUGAAGGUUCGAACAACAUAAAAAAAAAAUGAUAACUUGAAAAGAUUUUUUUUUUUCUAAAAUCACUUUUAGAAAAAGAGUUUUGUGAAAGAUUUUUAAACCUAUAAAAAUUUAAAGUAGAAGGAUUUUAAAAUAUUGAAAAUUUUAAAUAGAAAGAUAUAUCAAUUUUGAAUGGAAAUGAAAAUGAGGCUUAAUAGAAAAAUUAGAUAAGUAAAAACAAAAGUAAAGAAACGUCAUAAUAAAUUAAGCAAACAUAUUAAAAUAGCUUAAUGAGAUUUUAGUAAAAACAUUGUUGAGCAAGAAAUUUCGGCCAAUUAAAUUCUGCCACAUCAUCCCAACAAAUAUUUGUCAAAUAAGUAGAUUAGCCAAGUCUAAGCUCAACAAGUAGAUGGGCCUAAGCCCAAUAAAGCAAAUGGGCCCAAGCUCAAGUUUAAGCUUAAGUCCAAGCCCAACAGCCCCACAAGCAAAUGAGUCCAAGCCCACCUAAAGCCCACAAAUUUUCUCUAUAAAUAGAAACCUUUGUCAUUCAUUUGAGAGGUCUUUUUUGUUGAAGGAAGAAUUGAAGCUCUGAAGUACUGAAAUUGUGAAGAAUUGAAGAUUCAAACUUCUAUAAAAAAUUGAAGAUUCAAACUUCUAUAAAAAAUUGAAGAUUCAAACUUCUAUAAAGCUCUCAAGACGUGCAAGUUCUUAUCAACUUCGAGAUCAUCAUCUUCUGAAAGAUUGAAGACUUGGAAGAUCAAACUUUCCUUGAAUUCCAGAAGAUUGAAGCUUAAAUAGACUUGCAACUACAACAUCCUAAAGACCGAAGAUCAAUAAAUUCUAAAUUUUUAACUUGUAUUCGAGAGAAAGCAUCAAAUGAGUAAAUACUAGAGAUUGUAUUUACAAUAUUCAUCAAUAUACAAAUUUCAAUUCCCCGAAAUACAUUUUUUCGAAAUCUCGUGUGAACAAACAUAUUGGAGAUCGACCUCAAACUUUCAAAUAAUCGAUUUUCUCAUCUCAAGAAUUCUAGAAAAACGAACUCUCUAAUUUUUUAGAUUCCAUCGUUGAGUGUUUUUUAAAAGAAAACUAAUUAAAAAUAUUAAAAUAUUAAACAGCGAAAAUGUAAAAUAAACAAUAAUCUAUAAAUAAAAUAAAAUAUAAUGCAAAACUAUUAGAAAAAGAAAGAAGAAAGUAAGAAUAAAUAAUGAUUAAAAAAAUUGAUAAACAAGGUAUGAAAUAACGUACAUCAACAAAUAAAUUUAUUAUAUAAAAAAGAAAAUGUAGAAAUAAGGUAAUAAAGAAAUAAUUAUAAGAGUAGAAAAAUGGAGAAAUAAGAAUUAGAAAAAUAAACAAAUAUGGAGAGAAAAAAUAAACGUAUAUAAAAAUAAGAAAAUAUUAAAAAAACAAUAAUCAACUUUAUGAAAAGAGAAUAAAAGAACUAGAUAUAAAAUGCUAAUUAAAAAGAAAUAAAUAUAAUAUAGAAAGAAGAAGAAGAUAUACAACAAAAUGUAUAAUAAAAAAAAUUAUAUAUAAAAGAGAAGUUCAAAAGAUAAUAUAAAAAAAAAUAGGAAAAUUAGAAAAACAAUAACUAAAAAAUACAAAAGAAAAAAUUAAAAAAAAAGAAUUAAAACAAUGAACCCUCUUGCUGUUUAAAGCGUAGAUUAUUGAGAAUUAAAUCAUACCAUACACAUCUAAUGAUUAAGUUAGAGAUUUUACUGUAUGUUGGUUUUUCGACACUUUUAGAAAAAUAUGAUAUUUAGGGGUUUGUUACGCGAGAAAACAAAAUAGAUGUUGUAGAUUUUUGUUUCUUAAAGAAGAGAUUAAGGGUAAGAGAAGUAGUGACUAUGAAAGUUAGAGGUUUUGAUGAAGAAGAGAGAACGGUACCGAUAUCUCUAGGGUUUUUUUUGUGUGACCUUCUCCAUUGGUGGUGUUUUUUUCAUGAAAGAAGAAUAAGAGAAUAUUUAUAUAUAGCAAAAAAUAAAAAAGCUUAUUCAAAAAGGCUAAAUAUUUCAAAAUUAUUUCUCCACGUAACUUAAUUAUGCUAAUUAAUUGAUUUAGUUAUUCUAAUGACCAAGCAACCACAUAACACAUAACUUUUAAAAUGAGAGGAUCUAAAUUUCUAUUAUAUCACACUGCAUUUGCUAAUACUUUUAAGUCUUACAGAGUGGCAUAGUAAUAAGAUAGAUAUUUUUAUUUAUUUCAAGCUUUAUCAAAGACAAGUGAUAAUAAAGCUACACACUCAAAAGUCAAAAGAAAAGUUAAGAAACACACAAGAUGACAUAGUGGACGAUGGAUACAGUGGUAAGCGGUAUGGUGAUGGUGAAUUAUUUAGAAUGAAGAGGGUAAGGCUUGUUUUGAUAAUCAAACUUAAAGGUAUAGACUCCAGUGUAAAGACCAUCAUCACACUCUAUCUCAACUCUUCUUCCGUUUCGGAGAAGAUCUCGUUGCGUGUACGAAAACGGAAUAUCACAUUUGGCCUUUGUUGCAAGAAGAGUAACUUUCAUCCUUGUGUUUGGUGGUACAGGAACAGUAUAUGUUGCCGUUACUUCUCUACUUUCUGAAAUAGUUUCUCCCCAUGUGUAAUUCGCUUCAAAAUUGUAGCUGACUUUAAUCUCAGCAUCUAAAAUUUCAGGAAUCCCAGCUUUAAUGGAAGUCUCUAUACCCACACCUACGGUGAGUGAAGAUUCCCAAGUUUUGGAUUUUUCUUCUAGGUACUUCAAACUUACAGCCAUAACCGUCUCCUUCGAGCUCGAGUUAACAGCCUCCUCCGUUGCCAUUGUUAGUACCUGUUCAUCGUAUAUCUUUGCAUCCAUAGUCCGGUACCGAAUAUUGUAGAUUUCCCUUGAAAUAAUUGGCUCAACGAUCUCCAAUUCUGCCUCUUUAGUGAUAGUUUCACUACUAGCGUUCAGAAAAUCCACCUUACCAUCACCAGUGUAUCUCGUAACGAACCUGCCAUUGGCAACGUUUCGAAGCGCGACUUUGUUUUUAGCAAUCUUGACUGGCCAGAACAAGGUGUUCUUAUCGUUCUUCGUCUGGUCGUUUGAGUCAGCCAGGAUCCAGUUUGGGUCACGUCUCCAAAACUUCUUCGUAGAUUCGUUCUUGAUUUUAACAGUUCCAUCGCCGACGUUGAAAAUUUCAUGGCUCACCUGAGGGUUUCCAAUGUCGUUGGCAUUGAACUGCAGAUAUGGGGAAUUACGAUACGUAUAGGCAGCGAGAAACUUGUCAUUGUUCUUAAAGGAGAGGUAUUUGGGGAGUCGAAUGAUGUUUUCAAAGUCGACUAGCACAACUAAUUUGUCGUCGUGUCGUUUUUCAUCUCGUCUAUAUCUAGUUGUGAGAACAUCGGGAUGAAUUCUGCUACUGGUACAUCGACGUGCAUAGGUUUGAAGCAAGACAUCAAAUAAAUAGUAAGUCCCUGUAGUAGGACCAGGGAUGAAAUUAAACAAUGUGCAUGGCGAUGAGGAUUCGUUUUCACUCGGCUUGCUAACGAAGGGAGUAACGAAGCGAUUGUGGUCGUUGGAAGAGGCCAAGUACUUGUCGUUGUAGCAACAUUUUAUGUGCCAAUAUUUACCAUCCUUGUCGGGCACAAUCUCGAACUUUGUAAAUGGAGUCAAAGCUUGAUCAGAAGAGUAUUGUAGGUUACCGAAAAGAAAACCAUCAGAAAGGUAUUGAAGGUACUUUCCUUCUGUGUGGUUCUGGAAUCCUGCAAACUUAGGAAGAAACGACAUUAUUAACCGAGAGAGAUGGUAAAUAUGGGUUUUCGUCUUCUUAAUUACACACUUCUGAUGCCCAAUACCCAAAUCUCUUCUCUAUAUAUACACAUAUGGAUAACUAAUAUUAAUUAUUAUACUAUGCAUGAAUGGGACAAUACAUCACCUAUAUGGAUAAAUGGGAAUCUAUACUUACUUCACUUUUUUGUUUGUUGUCUAAAUACUUUAAAUCAAAAGUAUUUCUAAAGUACUUUAAAAAGUUCAAAAAAAUAAAUUUACUAGCUUUUUGGUGGGAACUUUUUUUUCCUUCUUUUCAUUUUGUUUGAAUGGUAGAAUUUCUUCUAUAUCACUUAACUGGCAUGCGUCUUUGUAAUCUAUGCAUAACUUUUCGAGUUUCUUUCUAGCUUUCUUUGUACUUUUUCAUUUAUUAACGACAUUGCUUUUGAUCGUAUGAUGGGAUGAAGGAUGGUAUAGAGAUUGUCAAGCCAGUUUAGAUUUAGAUUUGGUGCACCCAUGAUCCUUCUUGCCUAAAUUUUUUAAAAAAUAUUACUAGUUUCAUACCAUGUAAAAUUUAUAAAGAUAAUUUAAAUAUAAAUGUUUAAUAACAUAACUAUUAAAAAAGUUAUCAUAAAAAUAAUAUAUUCACAAAGAGAUUUUUUAAAAUAAAAUAAUAAUCAAGUUUUUAAAUGAAAGGUAACGAAAAUAAAAAUAUCAUUUACAACCCCACAAAACCAUAAUAAUUUUGAAAACGAAAAAAUUGUAUACUGUUAUAUGUUAAAUAUAUUAUUACAUGUUAAAUAAAAUAAAUAUUAAAUUUUUUACCGUAACAAACCAAGUAUGAUUCAUUUUUAAUAUUUAAAUGUAUCAAUAUAACUAAUUAACCUAUCUUGAAACUAAUAAUAUCUCAUUCAAAAUUUUACUUAACAAUAAUUUUAUAUGAAUGAUUUUAUAAAUAUUAAUUUCAAAUUCUUAUCUAAAUAAAAAAUAUUAAUUCUUUUAUCUUUUUAUACAAAAAAUGAUAAUCCUCCUCUCUUAAAGAAAAAAGAAAAAUUAAGAUGCUCGUACAAAAGUUGUAUGAAUGUAAACGUUAAAGUCAUUCAACAGACACCAUUUAUUCAUAUGAAGUUGAUGGAUAUAAGAUAUAGAGAACCAAUCACUCUAUCCAUAGGGUUUAUGGGUACACAAAACUCCAAAUUAAUUUUCACAUACUAAAAUGUUGCAAAUUUUAAAGUAUAUGAAUAUAUUAUAUACUUUAAGUUUAUUCCUUUUAUAUUCCCCUUAUUGGAGAUAGGGUAAAAACAAAUGUAAGCAGUCAAAAGUUUGGGAGAGUUUUAUUUAUUAUUAUUAUUUUAAUAAUUAGAGUGGGAGAGGAAAAUUAUUGAGUGUGAUUAAGGAUUGUUUUAUAAAUAGAAGAGAUUGAAAUGAUAAUUUUGUUAUAUGCAACCAUUUAUUUGGUUGUGAAUUUAAGAAUGCAUGUAAUGUUUAUAAUUUUUUACAACAAAAUUUAAUGGGAAAUGAAGAAAAUAACAAUUUAUUGAUUUGUUUUUGUUUUUGAAAAGAUAAAAAGAAAAAUAAAUCACAAAUGAAUGGAUAGGUUGAAGUGGUGGAUAAUUGUUUGAUAUUUUGUUCCACAUUUUUGGCUUUAAUUCCAACCACUUGUAAUUCCGCUUGCACUUUUACUACUAAAAAAAUAAAGAAAAAAAGUUGAUGUUAAUGAGUUGAUAGAGGUCUUUAUCUUUCUUCCAUCAUUUCAUUUUGAUCUUUAAUUAUUCCAUGACUAAAUUUGGUUCCAUUUUUUUUUCAACUUAUUUAAAUUAAUAACAAUAAUAUAAAAAAUAACAAUAAUUUGCAACCUUGAGAUCGAUUGAAUUGACAGAUGUUUACCAAUUAUAAAAAAAAUUGAGAAAUUAUUUACCAAUUAUAGACAAAAAUUUAUUGGGUAAAUAUUUUGUUAAAUAUUCUAUUUUCGAAAAACUUUUGAAAAAGAAAAUCUAUCUAAAUUCACAUUUUUUUUAAAUAAGGUAAAAUUUGAAACAUAUUUCUAAAAUAGGUUGUUGCAAAACUACUUUUAAAAAUAGGUGAUUUGAGUCCCAUGAAAUGGAUCCCACCUCUUCUAUUUUUUCUUAUUUUUAUAUAUAUACUACAUUGGGUCCCACAUGUUUUUAUUUUCUAAUUAUUUGUAUAUACGGGUCUCACACAUUUCAUUUUUCUCUGAUAGUAAUAAUAAUAAUGAGAAGAAGUUAUUGUUAAACAAAAUAAUAAUAAUAAUAAUAAAUCAACAAUGCACAUUACUAAUUGAAUAAAUUUUUUUUAAUAUAUAUAUAUUAAAUAUUUCAAUCUUUAAUUUUUCUUAUUAAUUCAUCUUUUUUAAUUUAAUUAAUUAUUACUUAACCAAAAUUAUAUAUCUUUUUCUUAUUUUGUGUUUAAAAAAACACAUAAAUUAACAAAAUAUGUUAUUAAAAAAUAUAUUAAACAAAAUAAUAAUAAUUAAAAGAAGUGGAAGCUUACUCUAAAAAUAAUAAUAAUAACAAAUUUGCAAUAGAAAAUUAUUCGUUAAGUUUUUAAUUUGUAAUCGAACCAAUUCUUGUUUUUUUCUUUUGACAUGAACUUUUUUUUUAUUCAAUUACCAAUGUGCAUUGGUGGCUACAAGUGUUAUUAUUUUUUUUAGUAACUUCAACUUCUCUCCAUUAUUAUUACUACUUUUAUUUGUUUAAUAUAUUUUUAAUAACAUAUUUUUUUGUUAGUAUAUGAGUUUUUUUAAAAAAUAUUAAAAAUUGGAAAAAAAAAUGUAUAAUUUUGAUUAAGAAAUAAUUAAAUUAAAUUAGAAAAAUGAAUUUAAUAAGAAAAGUUGAAGAUUGUGAUAUUUAAAUAUAAAUAAAGAAAUAAAUAAAAAAUAAAGAAAUAAAUUAAUUUAAUAAAGAAAUAUAUUUUUAGAAUUUGAAUGUUUAAUAUAUAUAUUAUUAUAUGUGGGUAUAUAUAUAUAAAUAAUAAGAAAAAGUGAAAUGUGUGGGACCCACAUAUAUAAAUAAUUAAAAAUAUAAAAAAUGUGAGGCCCAGUGUAGUAUAUAUAUAAAAAUAAGAAAAAAAUACAAGAAGUGGGGUCCACUUCAUGGAAGUCUGUAUACAGGGUAUACGACUUCACCUAUUUUAAAAAAUAGUUUUGCAACAACUUAUUUUUGAAAUAUGUUUCAAACUUUACAUUAUUUUUAAAAAUGAUCCUUAAAAUAACAAAGCACAUUCUAUUACUUUGUCUCUCGUCUUUGAUAAAGCUUAAAAUAAAUAAAAAUGUGGUAUAUCGAUGAUGAAUAUGGAUGAGAGAGGGAGAGACUUGUUAUGAUAAUCAAACUUAAAGGCAUAGACUCCAGUGUAAAAGACCAUCAUAACACUCUGUAACAACUUUUCUUCCAUCCCGAAGAAGAUCUCGUUGCAUAUGAAAACGAAAUAUCACAUUUGGCCUUAGUUUAGUUGCAAGAAGCGUAAAUUCUCCCUAUAAGUAAUUCAUCUCACUUUCUAAAAUAUCAGGAAUAAUCCCCCGCUUUAAUGGAAGUCUCUCUACCCAUACCUACCCUUACCUAGUGCUUUUGAACUUUUAGCUCCUUAGGAAUAUUUUGUGGAUAUAAGCCCAUUUGAAAGUGUGGGAAUAACUCUUUUCUAAAAGAGUUAUCUCUUUGUAAAAGACAUAUAGUUAAAUCUGUAAGUUUUAAUUUCUUGUCUAACUAGAGUUUAGCUAAAGGUGAUAGGGUAGUCUAUAAAUACUCUUGUAUCUCUUUGAUAUUUUGCACACACAAAAAAUUGAAAAGAAAUAAUACCUUGCUCUCUAAAGCACAGUGGACGUAGGCCUUGUCGAACCACUUUAAAACAUCGUGUGUUCAUCUUCUCCCUCUUACUCUCUUCAUCUUCUCUUCAUCUCACCAUAAUCCAAAACAAGAGAAAUAAGAAAACAAGAAAUACAGUAUAGAAAGAAAAAACAAGAAAAUCUUGAGAGUUUUUUCAAUCCUCUGUAAACGUAGAUCUAUAUGCAAGUGAAAUGAGAGGGAAAAGUAAAACACAAGUUAUGCAAUUAGGUGGCUUUCCUGUGUUCAUACAAGUGGCUAUCCCUUGAGAAAGGGUUAAUCUUUUUAAUCUUCAAUGGAAAUUAUCCUUUAUAAAGAAUUUUCAUGGACAACUUGGGUCCAUUUACUUGACGGAUUUGUGUAUGGGCUCAUUUUGCUUAUUGGACUUGAACGAACUUUGACUUUGAGUUACACUAUUUUAUUUGGUCCAAAUUUCUAUCAUGGGCCUGAAUUGAAUUGGAUCUAAAUAUUGUCAAAUUUGAGAGUGGCCACAAUCUAGUUGGGGUUAAAAAACCCGAACCAAAUCGAAGAACUUACCUGACUUGAUUCGGUUCGGUUCGGGUUGGAUUGGACUUCAACAGUAUUGUUACCGAAUUGAAUUGGGUCGGUUCGGUUCAAAUGUAAAACAAAACUUUAAAUUGAAAUUAAACCCUAGUUUGCCAUUCGUGCGACUUCCUCCAUCUGCGCCAUUCUUCGUUCCUGGCCGUUCUUCGUUCGUGGGUCUUCUAUCUUCCGUCUUAUGCUCACGUGGGUCUGAAAAAAGAGGAAGAAAAGUUUUGUCUUUCGCUCACAUGGUUCUAAAAAAAGGGAAAAAAGUUCUGUCUUUUCUAUGAUCUGACAUCUGUUAAAAAUAAUACAAAGUUGAAGAAGUUGUUGAUUGUUCUCUUGGUCAAAAGAAGAAGGGGAGGAAACAGAAGAGGAGAAGGGGGGAGAAAACAGAGGAGAAGGGGGAAGAAAACAGGAGAGAAGGAGGAGGAAAGAGGAGAAGAGAAGAAGAGAAGAGAAGAGAAGGGAAGGGGGAAGAAAGAGAGGGAAAAAUGAAAGAGAAGGAUGAAGAGAAAAGAGAGAAUGAAAGAGAAGGAUGAAAGAGAAAGAAUGAAAGAGAAGGAUGAAAAUAAAGAAGAAGAAAACAGUUGAGAAGGGGAAGAAAGAGGGAAGAGAUAGUGUCAAGAGUGUUUUUAAUUUAUUUUUUAAAAUCAAUUGAAUAAACAAAUUUAUCAUUUUAAAAAAAACCCAACCUGGUUUGGGUCGGGUUGAUUCCUAAUAUUGAAAGAUCUGCAUAUUUUGGGUCGGGUUUUAAGGAAAAUCGACCCGGCCCAGUCUAAUUACACCCCUACUAUCUAGGCUAUUUGAUUGAAGAGAAACAACAGAAUUUUCAACAAUAAAUAUGCAAGCACUAUAAAUAUAUGGGAGAAUAUAUGCAAUUUCACUAGCUCUUGGUCAUCGAGAAACAAUUUUUUUAUGAUUAUUCCCACGGCUAUUUCGCUAAAUUGCACUGCUUUUACUUUGACUUAUUCUAUUUAUUUUGUUCAGGGCUUACUUCGAGCCCUUAUUUUGAUCACCAUCAUGUACCUUGUGCUUCAAUGAAUGAAAUAUUUAUGGAGAUGACAAGGGUAUUAAAAGAGUGUCCACCAAGUGGGAUGCUUUGGUGCACCUAUUGACCCAAGUCGUAUCCUUAAAAAAAAAGAAUUAGAUCUAAAAAUUUUAAUUACCUAAACCAAAUAAAAUUAUAAUUAUCAUACAAGAACCUGUUUUUUAUGAGAUAAUGUGGCAAAAUUUAAUUGAUCAAAAUUUUCGUCCUAACAAAUCCUUGAUUUGGUGGUAUGAGUUAUUUGAUGUAAUUUUACUUUAAAAAUUAAAUUAAAAAUCCUCCAUUAAUCUUCACCUUGGUUUUAAAAAAUUACAAAAAAGAUUUAUGUUUAUAUUCAUAUACUAAAUAAUUUAGAGUUUCUCAUAUUCGAAAAAAAACAAUAUUGUUUUAGGAGCAUUAUUAAAAUUAAAAAAAUAAAUUAAAAUAUUUACAAGCUAUAGUAAAAUUUUAAAUUCUUUGAAUAAUAAUCUUCUUGACUAUCCGCGAUAAAAUUUUGUUGAUUAUAAAUAUUUUAUAAAUUUUUUCAUUUUUUUUAAAUUUCCAUUUUUUAUUGCAAUAAACUUCAAAAUUAAAAAAAAAAUAUAUAUGAUUGCAAAUGUAAACCCACGAAAAUAAGAUUUUAGGGUUUCUCAAAUAGACAAAAUAAUAUUUUGGUUUAAAAUUAGAAUAAAUUUUAACAAAAUAAUGUUUUUUUUUGAAAAAAUCAUGCUAUCUAAAAGACAUAUGAAAGAAGAUUUUAAAAAACAUAGACAUUUUAGAAAGGACCCUUCCAAAAUUAGGAAAAAAAUUAUGACAAUAGGACUCAUGUCACCACACUUUCUAAAUUGUAAAAUUGGCAAAUAUAAAAGUUGAUAACCAUAGGAUUACCGUGUGAUAGCCCUAUGAUUACUGUCUGAUAGCCGUCUAAUAUCCUAUAUGCGCAAUAUAAAGAAGAAAAAAAAGUGUCAUUAACUAUUUUUUUCUAAAUGUUUUUUGUGAUUUGAUGUAAUUUUUUUUAAAAAAAUAACAAAAUAGCAAAACUAUUUAUAAAAUGUAACAAAAUUUAUCAAACUAUCUAUACUUUGUUUAACUUUUCUUUUGCUAUUUUUGAAAACGGUACCUUCUAUUAAGAAUUUAAGCAUAAGAGAAAAAAAAGUAGAAAAAAUAACUUUUACCCUCUCUUUCAUCUUAUUCCAUUAAUUAGAUUUGAUUAAGUUGAACUUAUCUAAUACUAUAAAUCUUUUUCAUGUAUGCUACUUUAAAAUAUUAAAUUAGAUUCUAUUUCUCUAAACUUUUAACAUUUUAAAUCAUGAGAAAAUUACAAACGUGCGUGAAGUAUCUGUCUAAUGAAGAUGUUCUGAUGCACCUAUUGAUCCAACUAUAUCAUUUUAAAGAAAAACAAUCAUGCCUAUAUAUUAUUAAUAUAUUUUUUCCCAUAUAACAAAAUUUGGAUUCAACUUUCUAAGUCUACCAAUAAUAUAGACCACCGAUAAAAGUCUAUCAUCUCUAAUAAAUUUAGCUAUAUUUACAAUUCUAUAUACUCAAACAAAAUUUUGAUGGACAUAUAUACUCACUUUCUACUAUUGUUCAUGUGCUUUUAAAUUGCUAUCUUUGUUCUUAUUUUUCUAUGCUCUCUAAUUUUUAUUGGCUAGUAGUGUGAGUGUGUAGUACUCCAUUUAAUAGCAAACAUUCUCAUCUCACGUAAUGUAGAAUUUUCUUUUUGGUCUGAGUAAUUUUGUUUAAAGCAUUAGAUAAAGAAUGAGAUACCAUAUGUAUUUAUUUAUAAUUUAUUUUAUAUAUUGUAUGUAAUCAAAUCAUCACAUAAAUAUUUUGCAUUUUUGGAGAAAAAAAAACUAUUUACAAUUCAUACAAAUUUAUAGAAUAAAUACUUUGUUAAUUUUUUUUUUAUUUUCAACAAAUUUUCUAAAUAAAUUUUAUAUUAUCAUGAUAUUUUUAGAUAUUGGUUUAAAUCAAAUAUUACAAUUAAAAGCAAAUCAUCACAACAAAAAAAAAAAACAAUUAUUUUUUAUUUUGUUUUUGUGUGCAAAAGUAAAAGAAAUUAAUAUUUGUUAGGGAAAACUAUUCAUUUAGAUCUAAGUUUGCAUGAAUAUAUGUUUUUGAUGGUAAGUUUUAAAAAUGAACAUUUUUAGUCUCACGUUUAUAACAAUAGUCUCAUUUCGUUUUCAAGUUUUAAAAAAUACCUCUUUGAUUAUUGAGUUUUAAAAAUUAGGUUUAUAAGGUUUUAAAAUAUUUUGUGCUUGAUUUUUUUAAAAGUAAUUAUCUUAUAUUUAAAAUUUUAAAAAAUAGUUUUAGGAAUGAUAUGAUUUUUAGAAGUGAUGCUUAUAAUUUAAAAUAUCAUAUAAUUAUUAAAAAUAAAAGUAUAUUUGAGAUGCUCUACUAAAAAUGUACAUUUUCAAAACUAAGGACUAGAUGAAUCUAUUAUUUAUAAACAUUAAAAAAAAAAACUUACUUUUAAGACUUAGGGCUCAAACAGACAUAUUCAUACAAAACAUAGGACUAAAAAAAUAAUUUUUCCUAUUUUUUAUUUAGAUAAAAAGUUGAAAUUAAAUUUUUUUAAAAUCAUUCAAAUAUAAUUAUUCUUUAACUUAAAAGAUAAAUUUGAAUUAGAUGUUAUUAUUUUGAAAAUAGAUUAGUUAGUUACUAUAUUAAUAGAUUUAAUACUAAAAAAAUGAUUUUGAAUUACAUUUUCAAGUAUUUAAUUUAGAAAAUAAGUUAUUUUGAAAAAAAUAACUCAAAAUAGAUUUUUAAUUGUAUUCUAAACAAUAAAAAUGAGUUUGUCGAUAAAUAUUUUUUUAAUUUAAUCAACUGUAAAAAUUUAUACGUUAUUUAAAUAUUUAUUUUAUUGGGAGAUUUUCGAUGAUAGAAAAUAAAUUAAAAUAUCUACCAUUAUAAUAAAAUUUUGGAUUAUAUUAAUGAUAAAAAUUAAUAGGAGCAUAUUCGUGUCCAUCAACAAAUAUAAAACUUUGUUAUAUAUGUUUAAAUAUUUUGUCAAAUUUGUUAUUUUUGACGAUUUUCAGGUAUCUGGUUGUACAUAAUAAUUUUAUUGUUGUAUUCAAAAGAUUUUCUUUUUUUUUUAAAAAAACAAUUCUUAAAAAAAUUGUGUAUAAUUAUUUUUUAACUUCACGAGUUUCGUUAUUAAUAAUUUAUAUUUAAGAUAUUUUUUUGAAUUUUACCUAACAUGUAUGCCAUGCACUUAGUAUCAAACUAGUAUAUUUUUUUAAAAAAUAAAGCAAGAAGGGUCAUUGAGUGCACGAAGACAUCUCAACUGAAUUGACACUUCUAGAAUACUCUUCAUCCUACACCAAGACCAAAAGCGAGGUCAUUCCUCACGAAAAAAAGUAAAAACUGAGUCAGAGAGAAACUAAAAAAAUUAUGCAUAGAUUACAAACAUGCAUGCAAGUUAAGCAAUAUAGAAGUAAUGCUACAAAAAAAAUUUAAAAAGGAAAGUUUUUUACACACCAAAGAGCAGCAAGAUUAAGAAUAUCAAACAAAUUAUCCUUAAAAGUGUUAAACAAUCUAAAUACUUUUAAAUCUUUUUUAUAGUUUAGAGAUAUUUUUUAAAAAAACUGUAUGAAAUGACAAACAUUUAGAAAAAAAGUAGCCUAUGACAUUUCUUUUUAUAUAUUGCGAAUAUGACAAAUAUGACGACAAAAAGCUAUCAGAGAGUUAUCGACCUUUAAUUUUGUUAGUUUUGCAAUUUAGAAAAUUGAGUAACAUGAACCAUAUCAUCAUAAAUUUUUUUUGUUAUCGUUACAAGUGCAUCUAUUUUUUUUUUUGACACAAAGUAUAAAAUUUAAAUUACUUAGUCAACAAAGAAAAAAGUAAAGUAACUAAGGAUUCUCAAUUAUCCAUAUAAGUGAUUUAUGGUUGCUUAAUCAUGAAAAAUAUAAUAGUUAAAUGAGACAUUUUGAAAAAUAGUAAAUUAAAAUAAUUUAUAAACUAUUCCAAAAUCUUUGGAUUUUAUGAAACUAUGAAAUAGUACAUGAAUAUCAUUAUCUAUUAAAUGUUUGUUAUUGAUAGAAAUUAAAAUUUUGAUAUAUGUUAUAUAUAUUUUAUAAAAUUUGCUAUUUUUAACCAUUAUGUUGAAUUACUUCUUUCUUCUAAAAAAAAUAUGUAUAUAAAUAGAAGAGGUUGGGGUAUUCGCAUCAGUACUCACACCUUGAGAAGUGUAUCUAUAUAAGAAGAAAACUUAUACAUACUCACAAAGUCAUCUCUCUCUUUGCAUCUGGUGAAUCUAUAAUAAUGUCAUUCCUCCCUAAGUAUGCAGGUUUCCAGAACCACGCAGAAAGGAAGUACCUUGAAUACGUUCGUGAUGGUUUUCUUAAGGGUAAACUAAAAUACUCUUCUGAUCAAGCUUUGACCCCGUUUACAAAGUUUGAGAUUGUGCCCGACAAGGAUGGUAAAUAUUGGCACAUAAAAUGUUGCUACAACGGCAAGUACUUAGCCUCUACCAAUGACGGCAAUCGCUUCGUUGCUCCCUUCGUUAGCAAGCCAAGUGAAAACGAAUCCUCAUGGCCAUGCACAUUGUUUAAUAUCAUCCCUGGUCCUACUAUAGGGACUUACUAUUUAUUUGAUGUCAUGAUUUACACCUAUGCAUGUCGAUGUACCGAUCGCAGAGUUCAUCACGAUGUUCUCACAACUAUAUAUAAUCUCGAGGAAGCACGAGACAGCGACAAAUUAAUUCUGUUAGUCGACUUUGAAAACGUCAUCCGACUCCCCAAAUAUGUUGCCUUUAAGAACAAUGAUAAGUUACUCGCUUCCUUUUCGUAUAAUAAUUCCAUGUAUCUGCAGUUCAAUACCGAUGACAUUGGAAACCCUUGGGCGGCCCACGAAGUUUUCAAUGUCGGCGAUGGAACUAUUAGAAUCAAGAAUGAUUAUACGAAGAAGUUUUGGAGACGUGACCCAAACUGGAUCCUAGCUGACUCAAACGACCAGACGAAAAACAACAAGAACACCUUGUUUUGGCCAGUCAAGAUUGCUAAAAAUAAAAUCGCGCUUCGAAACGUUGCCAAUGGCAUGAUCUGUAGGAGAUAUAGUGCUGAUAGUAAGGUGGAUUGUCUGAAUGCUCGUGCUGAUUCUAUCAUUAAGGAUGCAGAAUUGGAGAUCGUUGAGCUAGUUAUUUCAAGGGAAAUCUACAAUAUUCGGUAUCGGACUAUGGAUGCGAAGAUAUACGACGAACAGGUACUAACAAUGGCAACAGAGGAGGCUAUUAACUCGAGCUCGAAAGAGACGGUUAUGGCUGUAAGUUUGAAGUACCUAGAAGAAAAAACUAGAAGUUGGGAAUCUUCACUUACCAUAGGUGCGGUUAUAGAGGCUUCCAUUAAAGCAGGGAUUCCUGAAAUUUUAGAAAGUGAGAUUAAAGUCACCUACAGUUUUGAAGGGAAUUACACAUGGGGAGAAACUCUUCAAGAAACUAGAGAAGUAACGUCAACAUAUACUGUUACUGUACCACCAAACAAAAAGAUGAAAGUUUCUCUCCUUGCAACUAAGGCCAAAUGUGAUAUUCCGUUUUCGUACACGCAACGAGAUCUUCUCCAAAAUGGAAAAAAAGUUGAGAUAGACUGUGAUGAUGGUCUUUACACUGGAGUCUACACCAUUAAGUUUGAUUAUCAAAACAAGACUCUACCUCUCUAAUCUAUAUAAUUCAUCAUCACUAUACCACUAUACCACUAUACCACUAUAUCCAUCAUCCAUUAUGUCAUCUUGUGUGUGUUUCUUAACUUUUAUUUUACUUACUUUUGAGUGUGUGUAGCUUUAUCUCUUGUCUUGGAUAAAGUUUGAAAUAAAUAAAAAAGUCUAUCUUAUUAUUAUAAAGUUCAGUUUGUUCGUCGUCGUCUGUCAUUGCUGCUAUUUUUCAUCAUGCACCACUGUCAUUGUCUGCUGCCAGUCCACUUCCAGUUAAAAUAAGACAGGUUUCAAAAUAGUUUUGAAAGAGUAUCAAAAUCUAGUUAAAAUAUACGUCGCUUCUAAGCAUACCAAUGAGACUUCAAAGUACUAGAAUACAGAAGAUAUAAUAAAAUUUAGAUCCACUCAAAAUUAUGUGUGAUAGAUUAUAUGUUUUACAGAGUUUGUCAAUAAUAAAUGUAUUAAAUAAAGAGUUGUCACGUAUAAAAUUUGUGAUAACUCCGAUUGCUUUAGUUUUUUUGGUUGAUUUUUGAAAAUUAAGUCUAUAUAUACCUUAAAAUAAGUCAAUAAUAGUAAUAGUGUAUAUCAUAUUUAUAACUUUCAAAAACAAAGAAAAUGAAGAAUCUAAUUGAUCUCUAUUCUCUAUCUUUAUCUUAUCUCUACUCUAUUAAAAGGGACUAUGAAGAGAGAAUCUUUACGUGUUCUUUUAUCCCUACACCUUUCAUAAAUUUUUAUAUUAUCUUUUGUUGAGUGGUUGUGAAAUUUUAGAUGACUCAAUGCAUUUGAUGUUGAUGGAAUCGAUCUUUUAAGAUACGAUGCAUUUGUUCAAGAUGGAAGCGUACUAACGUUACAUUGGUACAUUGAUUCUUGCAAUGUAGAUGUGAGAUGAAUAUGUAAAAGAAAAAAAACACGUACAUGCAUUUAUAUUCUUAAAAAAACAAAAUUAACGAGAUUAAAAAAUGAAUGAAAGUGAUCCUUAAUACAAUGAAAUAAGACAUCAUUUCAAGUUUAAAAACGUUAAAAUAAAAGUUAUUAAAUUAUAUAUAUUACAAUAGUAAAAUAUUAAUAUAUUAAUUGAAAACUUUAGUUAAUUACUUGAACACCUUUUCUCUCUCUUUGAACUAGAUAAAAUUAAGGAUACAUUUUCUUUAUAAAACGAUGUAAAAACGUUAAAAUAAAAAUUAUUACAUUAUCCAAUUUCUAAAUUUAUUUAUUAUAUGUUCAUAAGCUAUUUAUGAAGCAUGAAUGGUGAUGGUGCUAAGGGGUAUUUACUAAUGGAGAUGUCCGAGUGCACCUACUGACCAUGUAUCAUUUUCAAAUAGUUACUAUUAAAAUAUGAAACUAAUUGAAACUACAAUAUUUCACGUGCAUUCUACGUGUUUUCCCACAUAAAACAAGGGUGGUUUUGAAAAACGUUUAAUUCCAAAUAUUAUUAAAAGGAAAAAAAAUGAAAAAGAAAACAGACAACACAUUAUUUAGAAUAUAAGAUAAAGUUAUACCUUAGGGUUAUGGUUAGAAAAAUACAACACACGGUUGCCUACAAUAGAAGCAAAUUAAAUGAAUUAGAAGACCUAUGCAUGGUUUGCUCAUAAAGGUAUGUAAAGACCAGCAAAUUAAUGGCCAUUUGCUUGCUUCUUCAAACUAGUAAAGUUGUAGCCAACUAAUGUUAUAAUUAUUAAAUGAUCAAAGACUUUGAGAAUAUGUAGAUUUGAAGCUUUAAGUUAACUCCACAAAGGAUUGCUUUAAUUAAUUAAUUAUUAAAACUAUGUAUUACUUAAUUGACAUUGAUUAAUAUAUAAUGUACGGAUUAAAAAUAUAUGUUCUCCAAUACAAUCAUUCUCAUUUGUUCUAUGACAUUUAAUAAAAUAGAUACUUAAAUGUAUAUUUAACCUAUGAGUCUAAGGGUUUGGGAAGAAUUAUGGGUGAUUUUUCCACUUAAUAAUAUUAAUAUUAAUUUUCUCCUCUAUCGAUUAGUAUUAAUAAUUUCAAAGUCUAUACAUAAAAGAUCAAACAAUAAUAUGUUUAAUAUUAAAUAGUUGAAACAAUGGGAAUUAGGUAUACGUAAAUGGUGAUCAACUUAGGAUCAUUUUUCCAUGCCCACAAAUAAGCUCCAAAGUCGGUCAUUUUGUAAUAUAAUUAAAAUUAUUCUCUUUUCAAUGGAAAUGUUGUAUUCUUAAGUUAUAUUAUAUUUGGCAGCUUCGUUUCCCAUGACAAUAUGUCAAGUGGGAUAAAGUUUCAUCAACGUAGAAAUACGCAAAAUUGUGGAUCUAGGAUUCUAUCAGAGUGAAGCACACGUUCAUGUAAAUAUAAUUUUAGACAUAUCGAUAUGAUAUUAAAAUCAUAUAAUAUCACCAAAACGAGCAAAAUUAUCCGAUGGAUAGAUCAUGACAAACACUUUUUCUUAAAGAAAUAAAACUGACAUAAAAUGACACAAAAUUCGAAAUUUUAUGGAAAGAAUUUGAACCCAAGAUGAAGAUGAUAUAAGCGGAGAUGAUGUGGGUGCUAAGAGAGUGUUCAUCUAGUGGAAAUACCCGAGUACACCUCCUGACCUAUAAUAUCAUCUUCCAAAAACAAAAAAAAGAUUAGAAUGAUAGGAAGUUGCACCCUUACCACUGAAUAAAAUAAACUACACAAGUAAGACUUGAACUAUGGUUGUAAGAGUAUUGACAAACAUAGUUAUCACUAAACUGCUUACAAAAAUUAAGUAUUAAUAAGUUUUGUUUAUAUAUAUUAUAUAAAGAUAAUAAAGUUGAGGGGACUCGAAUCUCUUGAACCUAUACUAUCGUCGGUGACCGCACUACCUUAAUAUUUCAUUAAUAAAGUCGAGGGAUACAUCUGUCCCACUAACCUGUACAUAGAUGUAAUAGAUCCACAUACGGAUAUACAAGUGAUUUAGAUUGAGAAAGAGAAAAAAAAAUCCAUGCAAAAUUACUUAGAGGUAUUUUUUUAUGAUAUAUAGAGGUAAUCAUAGAAAAGGGAGGACGAUGCGAUGCAAAUAUAUAAUAAAGUAUAAUCUAUUGGGAUCUCGAAAGGACAUUAAUUGAAGGCAUCUAAUGUAAAAAUAAAAUAAUAUAUAUAUAUAUAUGUGUGUAUAUAUAAAAGUUGUAUUGAAUCUAAAAAGAGUAAUUUAAUUGCAAAAGAAGUUUUAAAUAAUUAAAGAGGGUGAGAUCGAUCAUAGAAGGUCUAAAAAGGGGAAAGAAAAAGGUUAGAAUCGAUGGAGGGUAUGUGCAUGUGCUUUUCUUCCUACGAAACGUGUGUUGACUUGCCUUUGGGAGAAUGUCAAGACUCUUCCCCAUGCAUGUGUUCACCCAAUGCCAUAACUAUUACUUUAUUUUCUUUCUACUAUCACAUUGUAUCUAUAAUAAUCAAACUCUAAAGUAUUAGGAGACAAUAUGAUAUACAUAUACAAAUUUUCUUUUUAUACCUAUAACAAGUUUGGAUCUCAUUUUUUAAGUCUACUCGUGAUGUCAAUAAUACACUCUAUCAUUUAUAAAUUCUGUUUAUUAUACAUUUUUUAAUUAUUUAUUUGUCAUAAAAAGUGCUAUCGUUACACUUACUAAAAAAAUUAGGAACAUUUUCAAAUAUAGAAAACUCAAAGUUUUGUUAUUUAUUAUUUUAAAAAUGGUUAUAUACUUACCUAUAUCUAUAUCUAUAUAUAUAAUUUGAAUAGUUUUUAAAUAUUUUUAUUCUUUUGUUUUAGAAAAGAAGAUAGUUUGACUUAUUCAAAGAUAUUUUUUUAAUAGAUUAUUUGAUUCUUACGUUCAUGAAAAAUGUAAGCAUUGAGGAGGAUGCUAAGAAGAUGUUUAUCUAGUGAAAAUAUUCGGAUGCAUCUACUGAUCCAACGUAUCUUCGAUAAAAGAAUUACGUUCGAGAUAUACAUGAAAACUUCUUCACCUUUUUAUGUUUGGUUUGAAAAAAAAAAAGCACAAAAACGAAGGAAUAAUAAAAAUGAUUCAUUCUUUUAUUUGUAUAUAACCAACAAAAAUAGAAAUGAUCGUAAAAUGAUGAAAUCUUAAAAAUUAUUUAUAGAAAGUGAAUUUUCUAAAACUCAAUAUAACUAUAGAUUAAUUUCCAAAAAAAGUAUAAAGACAAAAACGCGUUGGCGUCACUCACACAACACAUGGACUGCGAAUAAAAAAAAGUUAUCAUGUAUAAAUAACCCAAACCCAAAUCCUCCAUUGUUGAAUAUUUGGAGUAAGAGAAGCAAUACUUAGGGAAGAGAGAGAGAGAGAAGAAAGGAUGAUGAGAGAGAGAAGAAAGUGUAUGAUUGUAUCCCUUGUGGGCAUAACACUGAUGAGUUUAUGCAUUCUUGCGAAAGGUGAAAAUACAUUACAACCACCAGUUAAGCUAAUAUGGCAUUACUACAAACUCAACACAACUUGUCCAGAUGCUGAGGAAUACAUAAAACAUCAGGUCAAAUUGUUUUGGCAAGAGGAUAAAAGCAUUACUGCCAAGUUCCUUCGUUUGCUCUCUGCAGAUUGCCUUUCCAAAAAUGUACUAUAACUCUUCUCCUUCUUCUUCCAUCUCUCUCUCUCUUUUUCCUAUACUAUUCGUUUCAUUCGAUCUAAUGUUUUGUUUGUUUGGACUGAAUCCAUCCGUCUAAAUAUUUAAGAAUAUACGUACAUGUUUGUUGUUUGUAGUUUCUUAUUUCUUAUUCAUAAAAUUAUUGUAGUUAAACGUUAUAUUAAUUUUAUCUUCGUCCAUUGUGAUUUAAAAUGGUAUCAGUAGGUGGUUGUCUAGAAAAGUUUUAUGUUCAACUCCUUGCGUCUGUGAUUUAUAUUCAAACUGUCAUUUUCUUGGCUCUUCUUCAUACAAUAAGUUAAUUGAGGAGGAGGAGGAGGAGUAGGGUUAGAAAUUAUAUUAGAUUUGUUUUUGCUUAUUAGUUUUAAACCUUUGGAUUGAUGGGUGAUUCAAAGGAUGAUGUAAAAGAUAAAUAUUGAUGUAUAUUUGAUUACUUAAUACAGGGUUGUGAUGGCUCAAUUCUUCUUGAUGGUCCAAACUCGGAGAAAAAUGCACCACAAAACAAAGGCCUCAAAGGGUUUAAAGAAAUUGAUAAGAUCAAAAGUGUACUCGAAGACAGAUGUCCGGGUGUUGUUUCUUGUGCAGAUAUUUUGAACCUGGCCACUAGAGAUGCUGCCCAUUUGGUAUUCAAUACUUCUAUCGAUUUUGUGGAGACGACUUUGACAUUUUCCUAUAUUUAAAUAUAUUUACAAUAGUUUUGUUAUUUAAAAUAAAUUGACGGUAGACUGAUUGGAUGCAGGCAGGUGCGCCAUCUUAUCCUGUUUAUACAGGAAGGAGGGAUGGUUUUACAAGCAGUAUUGAUGCAGUGGAUUUGCCAUCUCCCUCCAUAUCAUUGCAACAAGGCCUUCAAUAUUUCGAAUCUAAAGGUCUUGAUGUUUUGGACAUGGCAACAUUGCUAGGUAAGUGACACAUUCUACACAUACGCUCCCUCCUAUUAUAGUUUUCUAUUUUUGAAAUUUAUGUUUCUUUAAAAAAAUUAUCAGCAAUUUUCGAAAACAAUUUGAUUUGUCGUAGUUUUCAACUUUAGAUUUUAUUUUGGUUGAACUUGUUUACUUAGAUCAAAAUUUUAUUUUAUACUCCUAAAGAAACAACAAAAUCGCUUGGAAAACCACUGAUCCAAUUUUAUUAUCUAUUAAGAACAUAACUGAAAAGAAAAGAAAAAACUUGUGUUAAUUAUAUUAUUUUUGAAUUCUUGAUAACAUUUUACAUUGUUUAAUCAUAUCAGCUGGACAUUCAAUGGGAGAAACACACUGUCGAUACAUCAAGGAUAGGCUAUACAAUUUCAAUGGCACAAAAAAGGCAGAUCCAUCAAUGAACAAAUCACUCUUAAAAGAUCUUCGAAAUAAAUGCCCAAAAAAUUCAAAAAAAGAUCCAACAGUGAACCUAACACCAAAACCUGAAAACGACUAUCAAUUCACAGGUCUUUACUACUCGAGAAUCCUCUCCAAAAAGGCGGUACUCGGUAUCGAUCAACAGCUUAUUUUUAGUGACGAAACGAAGGAAAUCAUCCAGGAGUUUGCUCCAAAAUCUGGAUUUGAAGACUUCCGUCGGUCCUUUGCUUUGUCCAUGAGUAGGAUGGGAAACAUCAAGGUUUUGACCGGAAAAGAUGGCGAGAUUCGACGAGAUUGUCGGAGAAGAAACUAGCCUUGCAACUCCCAUUUUCUUGAGGAAGAAGAAGAAUAAGAAUACGGUUUGUGUGGAUCAAGAUUAUUUAAUUUACUAUCACAUUGUGAAAUGUGAAGAAGAAGAAGAAGGAAAAAAGCUACCUAUUAAUUACAUCUUAUAUGAUAUAUGAUAAUAAGAUUAUAAACAAAAUUAUAUAUAUGUGGUAAAUAAUUAAUAUUUUUCCUCCAAGAGGCUUUCCUAUGAGAUAUGCAAAUUAUAUAUUCCUUGUUUAAUUUUGUUAGAUUUCUCAAAUAUUUAAAUCAUUAUAUUGGAUAGACAAAUUGUUUGGAGUUUAAGUUUUCGUUACGAGAUGUGUUCAUGACUUUUAGGUAGUGUUGUUCGGUACGUGGAAGCGUACGCAUUGAGUAAUAAUAUAGUUAAAUGGUCAAAGAUUGUAAUUAUUAAAUUAUAUUUAUCUUAGUUUCAAUAAUGCUUUGUUCUUUUUCUUCUAAAUUUUUACCAUUUUUUUAUGGAAAUUAGAUAAAGAAAAAUAAUUAUAAAUAACAAUAACGAAAGAUAUUUACAAAAUAUAAUAAAAUUUAAACAUAGUCAAACUUUUAUCUGUGUCUAUUAAUAUCACCCGUAGAGAUAGAUAAAAGUAAUAGAUGAAAUUGUGUUUUGGUAUUAAUAAUUAUUAUAGGAAUUAUAAUAUUUUAGAAUUAUCCAAAUGUAUAUUUGAAAAACUUGAGUGGGUCAUCGUCUUUAAUUUACACAUAUUCCUAAGAAUAAAAGCAUCCAUUUCAUACGAUGCAUCUUUAUACUUUUUUUUAAGGUUGAAAAUUAAGAUCAAGAUGAACUUUUUUUUAUUAUAAUUUAGAAAAGAUAGUAAGAAUCUUUUGGAUAUAAUUAGUACUAUAAACUUCGAUUAUUGUUCUCUUUUGAUGGUGUUGUUCUGGCAAAGAUGUGAUGUGUCAUUGUACCUUAAAUCACUUUGUUGAGAAGGCUAGAACGGAGUUUGUUUAAAGCAUCAAUUGAUAGACUUUGACUAAUUUUACUAUAUUUUACAAUACUCAUGAGAAUAAGGAGCAUUAUCAACGGUUAAAUGGUCAAAUGGUCAAUUGUUCAAGCAACCACAAAAACAAACUAAAUCCAGUCAAAUGGUCAACGAUUAUAACCCCUCUAGACAUUGGAGGCCUUGGUAUCUCUCCAGUUUCUACUACAAACUUUGUUUUGCUUACAAAGUGGCUUUGGAGGUAUUGCAAUGAACCUGAAGCUCUCUGGAGGUCCAUCACUCAUGCUACAUAUUCAACUACUUCUCUAAUUGAUUUGUCCAGUACUAUUGCGAAAUACAGCAGUCCCAAUGCGCCAUGGAGACAAAGGCGGACUACUUUAAAGCUCAUUUGGGUUGGAAAAUAAACAAUGACAAGUUGUUAUUUAUUUGGCACAGUUACGGAGCUCAUUUGGACCUCUUUACAGUUCUUUCCUUAGAUUGUAUGCUCUCUCAUCUCAGCAAAAUGGUUCCCUCAAAGGCAUGUGGAACUUUGAACACAAUGGAUGAGGUUUACACAAUAUGAGGCCCCUACGAGAAAGAGAAGUUUCACAGUGGAGCGACAUUUUAACAAGUCCCCUCCCUUCCAGAUAACAAUCAAAUAGAUUGCCCCUUUUGGAAGCCAAAUAGAAAUUUUUCUUUCUCUCCUAAAUAUGUCAUCCUUGCCUCUACCCCUCUUCAUCUACCUUGGAUGGAAUUUGUCGACAUCUAAGGUUUCCAAAAAAUACAAUUUUUUCCUAUGGACACAACUAUUCACAAAGGAAUUUUUACCAAUGAGAUGAUUUAAAACAGGCUCGAAAAUCUCUGUCUCAACCCAAAUAAUUGGUGCAUUUUAUGUAAAAAUAGUAGUGAGACCAAAAAUCACAUCUUCCUCCAUUACUCACUUGUCAAUUCUUUCCGAGCAAAGCAAAGGAUCUCAAGGGAUGGACAAUUAAUGUUGACAGCCUUAGUGCUUUAUGCAAUCACAUAUGCACAAUAAAUGAUAAGUCUAAAAAAAGUUUGAUCCUUUUUAACCUUCUAAUAGUCAUCACUUGGACAACUUGGUUGGAAAGAAACAAUAGGCUAUUCAACAAUAGUCAUGCCUCCUCAAAUAAUCUAUGGGAGAAUAUAUGCAAUCUCACUGGUUCUUGGUCUAUCAAACACAAGCUCAUAAAAAAUUAUUAUGCUUCUACAGUUGCUUUAAAUAUCAAUGCUUUUUGUAAGUUUUGUGAGCUUUACAUUAUAACUUAUCUCUAGCCUAUUUGUAACUAUCUUGAACUUUGUAUUCCCCUCUGCUUUACUUAAUAUAUUUCUUGCACUUGCUGAACCUACAAGUAUCUUUUUCUAAUUCGAAUUUCAUUACUAGGGAGGCACAUUUGGAGAUCGUUGAGCCUGUUAUUGCAAGGGAAAUCUACAAUUGUAAGUAUCAUACUAUGGAUGGCAGGAUCUACGAUGAAUAAGUACCGAUGAAAUUAAAUUAAUCUAAACUUAUACAUGAAUUUGCAUUAUAUUAUUGCAUAUGCACCGAUAGUAGUUGAGAUACAAGGAAUAUUUAAUUGCUAAAAUAAUGAUGGUGCUAUGAAAGUGUCCACCUAGUGGAGAUGUCUAGAUGCAUUUACUAACCUGCAUCGUAUUUUUUAAAAAAAUAUUAUAUUCAAGUUCUUAUUUAUUAUAAAUUGUGUGGAAAGAAAAACAAAUCUUCUUAAUUCUCUUGUCUCUUAGAUUGUAUUGUGACAGUUUACUACGUUACAUGUACUAAUAAUGGCAACCAAGUAUGCUAGCAAUGGCGGCAUGAGCGAGGCAUCUAUGGCAGUAAGUUUGAAGUACGUAGUUGAAACUUCUAAAUGUUGGGAAUCUUCAAUCAUUGCGGGUUGGGGUGCGAUGGUGUCCAUUAAAGCCGGGAUUCCUGAAAUUGCAGAAUUUGGGAUUGAACUCAACUAUAAUGAAGAGAGAAGUCACACUUGGGGACAAACCAUUACAGAGUACAUGAGAGAAGUGAUGGCAACAUAUACUCUUAAUGUACCACCAAUGACAAGGAGGAAAGUGACUCUUAGUGCAACUAAGGCCAAAUGCGAUGUUCUGUUUUUGUACACGCAGCGAGACGUUCUCGUCGAUGGAAGACAAGUUAUUACAGACUGUGAUGAUGGUCUUUACUCUGAAGUUAAUACCUACAACUUUGAUUACCAGAACAAGCCUCUUCCAUUCUCAUGAACACCCAUGUGAUCAUCUUAAUGAAUCAAACCUUCCUGCCCAACAACCAUAUUUAAUUUAAAUCUAUGUAUUAUGUAUUUGGUUUUGUGCUAUAAAACAACAAAGCAAAAAAGGCAUCAUUAAAUUCAAUACCAUCUCGACUGUGUUAGGAAGGUUUGAAUAGAAAGAAAUGCUCAUAUGGGAGGAGAUAGAAAUUGUUUACCAACCAAAGAUAGAAAUUGUUCGAUCAUUAACAUAUGGGAGGAGAUCCCCUUAAUUUAUUUACCAACUACACGGCUAGCUUUAUUGCUAUCAAUCUUCAUGCUUUCUAAUUGUUUGUACUUGCUCGAUCGAGACUUAUCUCUAAUCGUUAGUAUUUUGUUUGGGUUGCUCUCUUGCUUCUUGUGUAUUUCUUUCUUAUAUAUUAAAGAACUGAGGAUGAUGAUGGUGCUAAGGGGUGUCCACCUAGUAGAGAUAUCCGAGUGCAGCUACUGAUCCAUUGUAUCUUUUUUUUUUUUAGAAAAAAAUUAAAUCUAUACAUAUGAUUAGAUUGUCAUAGUUUGUUUUAGAUUAAACAUCGUAUUUUGUGUCCUAAACUUUUGUGUAUGUAACAAUUUAGUAAAAAAAACUUCAAUUUAUACGAAUUUAGUAAAUGUACUCUCAGUUUCGUACCAACACUGGAUGAAUAAACUUAAGUAUGUAACAUGAAUAUAUAUUCCCCUAAACUUUAAAUUUGGUAAUGAAUUUGGUCAAUAUCGAAUACCCCUGCAUUUUUAAAAGGGAGACAUUUCACAUAUACGAAUAAACAACGAGAUUCCAUGCCAAUUUAAUAAAACAUGGCUCCUACGUGCAUUCUUACCACUAUCAGAAUCUUGUUUUUGUGAAUAAUUGCAUGCACUGUUAGCUCUUUAUUCAGCUAAGAAUUUAUCUAGGAUGUAAUUGAGUUGAGUUGGUAACUACUAUAAGAGACUAUACGAUGCAAUUAUUAAACGUUGGUAAUUAACUAUUAUAAAAGAGAUUAAUUAAGAGUUUAUGUAAAUAAUGAAGUAAAAACUAUAAGUUAACACAAACAAUGAGAUAAGAAACAUGAGAUAAAACGAAUAACGAGGUGAUCUCUUUGAUUGUUGGUACACCCAAACGGUGGGUGAGUUUUUUUUACUCACUCAACUCAAUUACAUGUCAGUUUAAUUUCCAAACGCCCUCUAAGUUAAAUACACUCUCGGAAAAAGUUGUUUAAAAUGAUACUUGUAGGUUAUUCCAUAUAUAUGUUAUUUGACCCAAGGUUUGUCCUUAACAACUUUUUGACAAUUUUGCUUGAUGACCAACAUCAUUAUUGUUGUUUCAUAUUUAUUGCGCUCCUUCAACUUUUUUCUUAGGGUGUUCGUCUUAAGGGUUGGGUUCAGGAUCGAUUAGACACCCUAAACUCGAAAGGAAGUUAUCCAAACCUUCCUACACUCUUACUCAUGAGAUUGAAUAGAGACGACCAAUAGGUUAGAUUUUAUUUAUUAAUUAAUAACUAGAAAGUGUACGGGUAACCUUCCUACACUCUUAUGAUUCUUGUGCCGGUUAGCCUUGGGUCUCCACUUCUGAUCCACUGACCUACUUGCAAACCACCUGUUAUAGCCAACUUCGAAAAACAUUAAUAAAAAAGAACUAAACAAACUUGUUAUUAAGAAACAUUUUCUAAAAAAGUAUCGUAAAAAACUCGUGUGUUUUUAUUAAUAUUAUAUCUUUGGAUUUUAAAAAGUAGAACUUCGAGAAGUAAACAAAAAUAUAUCAAGUGUUUGUAUGAAAAAGUAUGUGAAACAAAUUGAAGGUUAGUGUCAUCGAUCAAAACUUACGUUUGAAGCAUAGUUUGUGAAUGAACCAAUGAAAACUAAAAUGUGUAAAUUAAAAGUGAUCAGACCUUUUAAUUUUUAUUCUGUUUUAGACCAUUAUUUAUGAAUUGAAAAGAUAAUGAUAUCUUCAUUCUUCAAAUUUGAAAAGAUAACGAGAGAUUCUUUUAUAACUUCACUUUUUUUAGUCUAUAACAUGGAUUUUCAACCUUAUUUAUAGUAACGGAAUCCCCAAAGUUAGAAACUAAAAGCAACAUUAAAAUUUCAAUCAAAACCACAGUUUUGGAUUUAGUAUACAUAGGUCAGGAGUUCUCAUAUUGUAUGUACAAAACUAACAUAAUAUCAAUAAUACUGUUAGUUUCUAAUUUCUUUUCUUGAGUAAAUUUGUCUUCCAGCCCCUCUGUAGACUCAAAUUGAAGUAUUACUCUAUAUACCGAUUUUCUUUCACAUUACUUUACUGAAUUAUUAAACCCCGUCAACGGAUGUUAUAAGUGAUGGAAUAAAAAAAAAAUGGAAGCAUUACUGUACCCUCAUAUAGGAUAAUACUUUUUGCCUUUUUCAACUGCAACUAUAUUCUUUUUGAACAAGAUACUAAAGGGAGAAGAUGGGAUUAGGAGGCACACCAAAAUAUCUCUAACUUUUAGAUCGACACCUUUCUAAGAAAGAGCUUUUCAUUUGCAAUUAAAAGAAGAAUACAAAGUCUCAUUUUAACUGUAUAUGGUUCUAACUUAUCCCAAUAUACAACUAUACUUUUCUAUGAAUAAAAGGGAGAGGUUGGGAAUUGGGAGGAUUCAUCACACCUCAAAAAAAAGAAGAAGAAAUCUAUCUCUCGAGCUCCCUCUGUAGUAAUUAAUAUAAUGGGUCUCCCCAAGUACGGUGCAUUCAGAAACAAAAUAGCUGGAAAGUUCCUUCAAUACAUUCAUGAAGGUUCACUUAAGGGUUACCUACAAUACUCUUCUGAUAAUGCUAUGAGCAUGUUCUCAAAAUUCACAUUGGAGCAAUCCAAGACAACUAAUUAUUUUCACAUAAGAUGCUGCUACAACAACAAGUAUUGGGCCUCCGCCAAAGACGGCGAUCACAUGGUCAGUCCGUUCGUUAGCAAGCCCUCCGAAAACGAGUUCUCAUGGCCAUGCACAUUGUUUAGGUUUGUCCAAGCUCCUACUGAAGGAACUUACUAUUUAUUCGAUGUGUGGCGUCAAUCGUAUGUGUGUCGAUGUACCACUAGCAAAAGUCACGAGGAUUGCCUCACAACUAGAUACGGCAACCAAGACCAUUACUAUGACAGAACCCACAUAUUAAUCGACUUCGAAACCUUGAUCGUGUUACCCAAACACAUAGUGAUUAAAGGAGACCUUAAACAGUAUUUAUGUACCUAUUGGUAUGAGGAAAAUGAACAUCUGAAAUUCAAUUCCGAUGACAUUGGAUCGUCCAGGGCAGGCCACCAAGUGUUCAGCAUGGGUGAUGGAAGCAUUCGAAUCAAAUGUGACCAUUGGAAUAAGUUUUGGGUUCGUCAAUCAAACAACUGGAUCUUAGCAAAGUCAACUGACACGACCGCAAACAACAAAGACACCGUGUUCUGGCCUAUCAAGAUUUCUCAAAACACUGUCGCGCUCCGCUGCCUUGGUAAUAACAAGAUAUGCAAGAGAUUAACUGCUGAGAAUAAGGAGCAUUGUCUCAGUGCAAAUGCAGAUACCAUUACUAGGGAGGCACGUUUGGAGAUCACUGAGCCUGUUAUUUCAAGGGAAAUGUACAACUGUAAUUAUCGUACAAUGGAUAGCAGGGUCUACGAUGAACAGGUAUACGGUUGAAAUUAAAUUGAUCUAGACUUGAUACAUGAAUUUUAAUUUUGCAUAUGCAUGAUGUACUUUCCUACUCAUUUUAAUUUUGCAUAUGCAUGAUGUACUUUCCUACUCCUACUGGUAUAAAUAUGGGUAAGGUUUCUCAUUUGCAUGGAAGAAAGAAAGUAAGAAAAAUAAAUUGAUACUAAUUAAAUAUUAUUGAAGUUCUUAUUUAUUUAUUUUAAAAAAGAACUUCAAUAGGUGGACACCCGAUAAUCACUCCCGCUUCAUUAAAAGGUAAAAAAAGUAAUACAAGAAGCCAAGAGAGUACAGGGCUAGAGAUAAGCUCAAAUAGUUAUACAAAAGCAUUGAUGUUUGAAGUAAUAGAACUAGUACUAUAAUUGGAGAAGAGCUUUGAUCCCCUAGUCCAAAAACCCGUAAGAGUUUGUAUAUCGUCUCAGAUUUCAAGAGCAGUACGUUCGCAGUCUUUGAAAAUCCUCCUAUUCCUUUCAAACGAGAUAGUCCAUAAAGUAACAGCAAAGGAGUUGAAAGUAAUGGCCCUUUUUUCUGUUUUUAGUAUUGAUGUUACAUAAGUCUUUGCCGAGAGAAGCAACAUUAGAGAACUUAUGGCCCCAUUUUAAUCUGUUAACAGUUGUUUUGUGUGGAAAAGUGAAACGAUCUUCUUCUCAUGUCUCUUGAUUUCUAUUGUGGUUUACUACGUUUCCAACAGGUACUAAUAAUGGCAACCGAACAUGCUACCAACGGCGGCACGAAAGAAGCAUCUAUGGCAUUAAGUUUGAAGUAUGUAGUUGAAGCUUCUAAAUGUUGGGAAUCUUCAGUCAGUACAGCUUGGGGUGUGGUGGCAUCUGUUAAAGCCGGGGUUCCUGAAAUUUUUGAAGUUGGGGUUGAGGUCAACCAUAAUGAAGAGAAGAGUCGCAGUUGGGGAGAAACCAUUACAGACAUGAGAGAAGUGAUGGCAACAUAUACUGUUAAUGUACCACCAAUGACAAAGAUGAAAGUGACUCUUAUUGCAACUAAGGCCAAAUGCGAUGUUCCAUUUUCGUACACACAACGAGACGUUCUCAGGGACGGAACACAUGUUAUUAAAGACUGUGAUGAUGGUCUUUACACUGGAGUCCAUACCUACAACUUUGAUUACAAAAACAAGCCAUUUCCAUUCUCAUGAGCACCAUAUGUUCAUCUUAAUUAAUCAUCAAACCAUCCUACCUAUAACCAUAUCUUCUCUACGACUGAUCUACUCUCUAUCAUGGAAAUAUAUCUAUAAAUUUCCAUUUAUGUCUUAGCUUUGUGUUUACUCUGCUUUGUCUCUUGUUCUUUUGAAUAAAGCUGCAACUAAAUAAAUGUACUCUACAUUAUUGCUACAGGGUAUUGUAAAAUAUACAGCUUUGAUUUUUAUAUAUAAAACAACAACAGAAAUGUACACACGUAAUUAAGGUAAAGGAGAAACAACAAAAGGCCAUACUUUUUGGCAACAACAAAAAGCUAUAAUUUAAGGGUUUUAUCCACAUUUAUAUAGCGGUUGUGAAUAGAGUAGAGUUUGAUUGCAGCAGUUCUCAAAAGUGUUGGAAUAAAAAAAAGCAAACCGAUAUGCCAUAUAUAUCCUAAUAGAAGUAUUUUUUUUAUUUACCUCAACAAAUCAUCUUUUUUAUAAAAAAGAAAAAAACGUUUGCGCCAGAAAGUGCACCGAACAUCUCUAAUAGGUAGACACCCCUUAGCAAUAUUAACAUUCCCUAGGUAUUCAAUAAGAACAAAGGUACAUGAUGAUUAAAUAGUUUGUUAACUUUUUUUUAGGAUUCGUUUUUAUUCGUAAUUAAGUUAUGUUUAGGAAAAUUGUCAAAAAUAGCAAAUUUGACAAUUAUUUGUGGGAAACUCUUACCAAAAAUAGUUAUCUCUUAUUGUAAAAGAGAUAUAGCUAAAUUUAUUAGUUUUAACUUCUGAUCUAACUAGAGUUUUACCCCUUCGAAAUUGUGAACAUCACCAAUGGAAUAAAAUCAAGCAACAUUUCAAAUCCCCAAAUGACAGUAGAUGUAUUGACCAUCCCACUUGGAAAUUGAACAUUAAUGGUAAAUUCUCCGUUGCAUCGGUUAAGAAAGUCUUUUCUAGCUUGAACCAAAGAGAUGAUUUUAAUAUUGAUGAUAACAUUUUUUUCUCAACUUUGGAAAACCAAAAUCUCCAAGAAAUGUCAUUUUUUCAUAUGGUCUCUUUUACAUUGUUGUAUUAACACUGCUGACAUUCUUCAGAGAAAAGUUCCAACUCUCAAUCUGAGUCCAAAUCGGUGUUCUUUAUGUAAAAGACACUCAGAGGAGAUUGAUCAUAUUUUCAUAGAUUGUCAUACUGCCAAAAUUCUAUGGAACAAGCUUGAAGGACUUCUUGGAUGGAAAAACCAACAGCAGAAUGUUGUUUCCUUAUGCUCUUUCCUCUGCUCAAUAAAACAACGCAACAAAAGGGGUAUCAUCUUUUUUAAUACUAUUGCAUCCGUGUUGUGGAUCUUAUGGUUGGAGAGAAAUAAUCGCAUUUUCAAGGGCAAGGAAAAAUCUACCAUUGAUCUCUGGGAAGACAUCCUUUCUCUCUCAGGGCUGUGGGCUAGCAAAUACUCUAUGUUUGCAAAUUGUAGUGCUUCCUCUAUCGCUAUCAAUUUAAGUGUUUUCUAACUUUUUGUUGUGGGCUUAGCUCUAGCCCUUUAGCUUUUCACGCUGCCGUUUGGUUUUUGUCGUCUACUGUAAUUGUACUAAUUCUUCCUAUAUUAAUGAAAGUCGGGAUGAUGAGGGUGCUAAGGAGGUGUCCACCUAGUUGAGAUGUCCGGGUGCACCUACUAACCCAACGUAUCUUUUUCAAAAAAAAAAAAAAACUAGAGUUUUAACUAAGAGGCAUAGGAAAGUCUAUAAAUACCUUGUAUCACUUGAUAUUUCAUAUACAACAAAAACUGAAAAGAAAUAAUACCUUGUUCCCAAAGCACACUGGACGUAGGCAUUUGCCAAACUACUUUAAAACGUUGUGUGUUCAUCUUACUCUUCUUCCUCUCUUCAUCUUCUCUUCAUCUCACCAUCAUCCAAAGAAAACUCAAAAGAAGAAAUCCAGAAAACAGAGGCAAAGAAAGAAAGAGAAAAAAAAGUCUUGAGAGCUCCUUUAAUCUUAUGUAAACAUUAGAUGUACACGCAAGUGAAAUGAAAUGAAAAGUAAAACACAAGGAAUGAAAGAGAGAGUACUCUUACAUGUAAAUAAGUGACCACUUUGUGUCCAUACAAGUGACAACCCAUUCGUUAUUUACAAUAUAUAGCAAAAUUUUUAGUGAUAGACACUUAUAUACUUCUAUUAGUGACAUUGAUAGACAAUAUUAAUAGAAUCUAAAAUUUUGCUAUAUCUUGUAAAUAUUUUAAUUUAUUUUCCUAUAAGACUCUGUUAUAAACCCAAUUAAUAUUAAAAAAAAUAAAAAUAUGUAUUAUACGUAACAUAUUAUAAAUUAUACAAUAUUACAAAAUAACUAUACAAAAAUUAGUUACCAUAUAAGGUGUUAAUAAACUAAUAAUAGUUUAUUGUCAAAUAAAAUUAUUUCUUAUUUAUAACGGUAGUAUAAAAACACAUUGUUUAAAAUAUAAUCAAUUUCUAAAUAUUCUAAUUAGAGCUACCAUUAUGUGAUUUUAUUGAAUUUUUGUUUUGAGAUCCAUGCUUGUGGUUUAGGUUGCAGCAACCUGCUUUGAUGAAAGUGAAACUUUCGACACAAGCAAAAGCACUUGGAGCUCAACUGUUUCAAUGAAGCUAGAUGAGAAAACCAGCAUCAAAUCAUACAUUCCUGUUGUUUUCGAAGAUAAUUUAGCAACUGGACCGGAGUUUUUGGGAGAAAUAUCAAAUGGGGCGGAGAACCUAAGAACUUCACACCAAGUUCGUUGAUAUUGUGCACAAGGUUGUAGUGCAGCCAUUGACAAAGGUGAAAGUGAAAUUAGUGGCAACACAAGCUUCGUGUGAUAUGUGCCACUCUCUUAUAUACAAAAUGAUACUCUCCUGAUCAAUUGCUAAACCACUAUUACAUGGAUGAUGGGAUUUACAAACACUACAAGAAAAAUGGUCUACGACGACAGUUAUUUACUGUCGCGAACAAAAUUCAUGACAGUUAUUUUCAGUCAUAGAAGUGGGAGUCAUGAAAAGUCCUUCCAUGACAGUUUUCAAAAACUGUCGCAAUAACUUAUUUCAUGACAUAAAAUAAAUGUCGUUAGUUAGCAUUCUACGACAUCAAAUAACUGUCAUAUUUUAUUUUAUGACAAUAAAUAACUAUCAUCAAUUAUGUAUUAACCGCAGUUAAAUAAAUGUCGCAAAUUCGUUUAUUGUGACAUGUUUUAAAUGUCACGAAUAUGUCAAUCGCGACAGUUUUUUUUUUAAGAAAUGUCAUUAUUUUGCUAUUGAUGACAUUUUUUUUUCUGUCAAAGAUAGGACAAUCGUGAUAAUUAAUUUUGUAAAAAAAAACUGUCAUUGUUUUGGUAUCCACAACAAUUAAUAACUGUCACAAAUUCAUAUAUUACGACAUGUUUUUCCUGUUGCAAAUUACUCGACUACUACAAUUUUUUUCUGUUCUCUUUGCCACUUCGCCAUUACACGAACCAUUUGAAUGACAAUAAUGUAGCCUACAAUGACAAUUUUGAAUUUAUACUAUUGACACUCAUAUAGAAAAAAAUAGACGACACUUAAAUAUAUACGCUAUAAUACAAUUUAUAAUAUUCGUACAUUUCCAAUCAAGUUCCAACAAUUUACAAGUACGAAAUCCCGGCCCUUAAUCAAAAAAUAUUUUAAAUAGCAUCAGAAUACAUAUAACAAGAUUUUAUGCUAAAGCAUAAACGACCAACCGAGAAUGUUCGUCUCUGAAAAUUUUCUUUGAAAGUAAAGUCAUGAAGUUGUCAACUCCAGUUGAACCUACAAAGACAACAUGAAUACAAGCAUCCAUCAUAGGACAAGAGAGUACAACUCUUAUAGAAAAUUUCAACAUUGAGCAUUACCUAUCACUGCAAUUCAAUAGUUUGUUUUAGCAUAUAUAACCACUAAAAUUGAAUAUACCAUAUGAAGAACAAUGUACCAUAUUGAAACAAAAUAGUAAAAGAUGAUAGAAUGAAUUGCUAUUGUGAACUUCCAAAUAUUGAUCAGAAAGUAAAUAGAGAAGAAAAUUUAAAUGCUUAAAUUAUAUAUUAUCUCAUAAGGCCAACCAUCGAUGAUAGAAACAUUAAGAGAAACCAUCAACAGAGGAGAAAGCAUGAGCUUCUUACACAUCAAGUCCAACAUCAACAAGUAAGGAAGUCAACUGACUAAUUACUCAAUUCUUAAGUUACAUGUGAGAUUCCUAAAGAGACAUAAAUAAUUAAAUGCUUCAUUAGCUUCCUGAAGUACACUAUAAAACAGGUAUCCUAAAUUUUGUAUCUAAAUAACUAAGUAUUAUGAGAAAUCCGUGCAGAGUCUUGUAACUUAACUCAAUCCAUUUACCUUACUUGAGUGGUGGAAAUGAAACAAACCAUUUUUUAAAAGUGAUAGGCUAAAAGAAAUAAGCAAAACAUUACAACCAUUAAAGCCAUCAAAUUAACAAAACAAAUUAAAGCCAAUAAACUAAAUCAAACAAAUUAAAGACUUCACUUACAUACAACCAACAAAAUUAUUACUUCAUUUACAUGGAGAAGUAAAACGCCGUUACAAACCUGAAACUUGUCUUCAUCAGAGAGUUCAUCAAGAUCUGCUAGAAAGGAAUCAACCAAAGUAGCCUACAAACCCCAAGAAAAGAAAUUGGAAAUUAAUAAACAAGAUAAAUGACAUGUACCUAAUGUUGUAAUUCCAUGGAAAUCGAAGUCCCAAAUGAGCUUCCAUAAGUUACCUCUUUGAAAUUUCUUUUCCUUUCUAUUUUGCUGCAUUUUUUUUUUCAAUAUGGUCUUGGCACAAUGCAAUAAUUAAGUGUGUUAUAGUUUUUGCAUCAGAAUAUUACGAGUUGAGUACAUUGGCAAGAAUUUCCAAAGAAAAUGAAGAUGGAAAAGACAAUUUGAAUGAAUAAAGCAUAAACUACCUUAAUAAGUUCAUCAGAUGCAACUUAUCCUAUCACUUCUUCAAGGCUCAUCUCUGCAUUUAAGUUUAAAAUUAGAUGUUAGUGUGAGUAAUCACACUUAGGAAAAGAUACUAAAGCUUUUCAGCCUACUCUUGUCCUGACGUUCUAGAACUAAAUUCUACAUCUUGGAUACUGAAUUCACAAUAACACUAAAAUGUAUACAAUUGGAACUCAAUGUAAAAAUAACAUACAAGUCGAGGUGGAGAUAGCUUCAGGUUUUCAUCUUUGCAAGCAGAACGGAUAUUGGUAAGUUUUCUUUACUUCCUACAAGAUUAACGUGGAAAAAAAGAAAACUGCUUACCAUGUAAAUCAAGUAGAAACAACUUCGAUCCAAAGUUUAAACAUAAAGUUCUCAACUUACAUCUAGAUUUGAUUCCCUAGAAUGUUCUCCAAUAAUCAUUCCAUCAUAAGUCUGCAACAUAAAUUAUCAAGAAAACUAAGCAGAACAUUUUCGAGGACCGAUAUAUUAUCUACAAUGAAAAGAUAGUGGAUCCUUAGUCUAAUGGAGACAACAAAAUGUACAUUUAGACCAACUCAUAGCAUAAAAGAUAAUAGGUACCUAAAUGCAAUAUCCCCAAAGAAGACAGGAUGUAUGAAUGAAAAUAUUUGGCAUGAUGUGCCAGCAAAAUUAUAGUUGCUUACUAUGGAGUCAACUAAAGAUAUUCUUCAGGAGUCACCACCAUGGUAGAAUACACAUUCACAAAUGAUAGCAAACAUCUCUCACCAAGAAAUAAAGAAAAAAGAAAUAAUAUUUUGCCUAAGAUCAGUUAAAUAUGAGUCAUAUAUGUGAAGUUUAUAUAAUAUUGGCAACCGACCUUAGAGCAUGAUUAAACCUACAAAACAGAAAAACAUUGAAGAAUAGAACACCAAUAUUCUCAUGACAAAUAAACAAUAAGAAACAUUGAAGAAUAGAACACCAAGUAAUUGCAUUCACAACACACAAGACUUGUGAGUGAGGUUAUGUUAUGGAGCUGAAAAAAAAAACAGAAAUAGUAGCUAGAUACUAUAUAGUAUUGAUAAGGUAAUACAAAUAAUUAAAUGCUUCAUUAGCUUCCUAAAGUACACUGUAAAACACGUAUCCUAAAUUUUGUACCUGAAUAACUGAGUAUUAUGAGAACCUAGUAAGUAAUUGUAGAAGCUAAUAUACUUAGAUCCUAUCAUAAAAACCACAGUAGAAGUAUAUACACCAUUUACUUCUAUUUUGUUCAUUCUUUAGAGAAACGACAUAUAAAACCACAAAAAAUAGAAAUUAUUAUAUUUUCCUGUGAAAAAAAACUACCAAAUCCUGUAACUCCUUAUUCCACCUUUUUGCAAGUUAAGAUUAAAAAUUUUAGAUAAGAAAAUUAACCCAAAUUUAAGACUUUCUAUCUUCAUUGCUGGUAUUUUAUUUAUUUGUAGGAAAAUUUUUUGUUAACUCAAAAACUAUGAUUUAGAUAACUAGAGAAAAAAAAAAUGAAGCUAACAUUACAAUAUCCCAAGGCCGUGAAGCUUUGGUAGAAUCAUUGUUUCUUAAAGUGUAUUGCAAGCAACAAAACCUCCCAAACCUAGCAACAGUAAAAUAAAAUAGAUUCACUUCAAAUAUCUCAGGUAAGAAGAGUUGAACUUUAUUGGCAUAAUAAAUAGAAAAAUACCAAUGAGUAUGAUUGUUGCAUCUGAUACUCCGUAGAGCAUUACAUCCUACACAUGAAAACAAAUCAGAUACAAUAUAUCUCUUUUGAAACACUUCUCUAUUAAGCAUUUUUUUUAGGGAAAGAAGUACUCAUUUUCAGUAUGCAAGUAGAGAAAGAAAGGAAGACAGAAGAACUACUAGAGUGUUUCUACUUUACACCUUGGCUUGUACAGCUUUGAAGCCCAUCAAGCAUGCAGUAAUAUGUAAUUUCCUAUAUUUUCCAAAAUAUUCCCAAAAAAGAAUGAAUAGUUAGUUAUAAAGAAAGCUAAAGUUUAGACAAAAGAAAUGUCGUGUUUUUAACAUUUUUAAUACAUAACACAUAUAUAUACAUAUACUGAUCUAACUUUUGAAUUAGAAGAGUAUAUAUAUAACAAGAUCAAAAUAAAUUAGGAUUUGAAGUAUCACACCAUAUAUGUACAAAAUAAUCAAACAACAACAAUAUUGUAAUUAGAAUUAUAUAUUAUAUUAUGAUCACUAUCAACUUAAAUGAUUUAGCAUCUAAAUUUGUUUAUAAUAUAAAAUGAGUUUCACAAUAGAGGGGAACUAACAAUUAUUUACUCACAUGUGAAGAAUAAAUGACCCUUAAAAAGGUCAAAAUAUCCAAUUAUACGUCUUUAAAUCUUGUUCGAUCAAUCUAAUUAAAUUUAAUCUAAAUCAUAUAUACAUAUAUAAUAGGGAGAAAUUCAAAGUUUGAAACAUAAAUUUAAUUAAUUAAAACAAGAUUUUCAAAAGAGUUUAUAACAAACUUUACCUUUAAAAGGAGUUUGAUAAAGGACUUCAAGCGUGAAAGUUCAAAAUCACAAACUUAAAUAAAAUACCACCAGAUAUGUACCACAUUAGUUGAUCAAAGCAAACACACACACUAAAGAGAGGGAGUAGGGAAAUGGGAAGGAAAUGGCACCAUCACUAAGAACAUGAUUUAAGUAUCAAUAAAAAGUCAAUAUUCUCCAAGCAAAAACAUGAAAACUAAUCAUAAAGAAUUAGGAUUAUGUUUUAACCAAUCAAAAUUUUAUUCAAAGAGUCUUAUCCCCUACUUCAAAAGAAAGUUAACUAAUAAAAUUAGAACCAUUAAAAUAAAAUCUUGUUCACCAGGAUUCCACUAUAAUAACAUUCUAAAAUGAUUUCCUCCCAUGUACAUUCAAUAUAAUCAAGAUUUCCUCCCAUGGGCAUUUCAUCAAACAAUUGGUGGGCAACACAAAAGAAAGAAUAUUCAUUUACUUAGUGGCAACCAGGAAACUAGAAAAAUUAAGAAAUAAAUACAAAAAUUUGUGAAGAACAUAUCUUAGAUGCAAUGUUGAGAAUUGAGUUUCAAGUUUAAUUGAAAAAAUCGGCAGGAGAAAGAACUCGAUUCUUCUUAAAUUUCGACCAUGAGGAUUUUGUGUCCAGAAACCACUUUGCAAUCUAGCAAAUAGCCUAAAGCUUUAUUCAAAUGCCAUAAAACUAUCUUUUUUGGGAUGACUUACUCAAAGAAAAGUACAGAGAGUAACGAUUCAAAACCUUUCAACCCUUUCUCAUAAAGACCUAAACUAACAUUCAUCCUUAAUUGGAAACUAAACAAAGAACAACAGAAGAGGUAAAAAAAAAAAAAAGUAAUAAUAAGGGAUGAAGAAAUUACAAUUGCCUUCUGGAAAUGAGGAUAAGAGGUGGAACGAAUCUGGGAAAGGCGAGAUUUGGAGGCUUCAGUGGCAGACUCCAAACAGUGGUCGUAGCCCGUUCGUCGUGUAGUACAAGAGGUACGGGAGGCAUUGGAGUGGGGAGAUGACCAUGAGGGGGCAGUGCCGAUGAUGGACCUCGUCGUCGUCUGGAGAAGGGAGUUCAAGGAGUUCGGAGAUUGGGAGGCGAAAGGGGAGAAAACAGAAAGGGGAGGCAAAAGGAGAGAAAAACGAAAGAAAUGGGAAAGGGGAGAAGGGAAUAAGUUAAAAAUCCCUAAAAAAGAUUAUUUUUUAUAUAUUAAAUAUAUUGUUUUAUUAUUAUUUUAUUUCUAUUUUAUGAUCUUAAAUAAUUGUCGCGAAAAAUAUUUUCUGAAAAUUUUUAUCUUUUCACUUCAAAAACGCAUUUUUUUUUUCAUUCCGUGACAUAUUUUUUUCUCCCUCUCUUUUGUGAUAUGAAAGGAAUUAACCUUUUAUAACUUAGAAGUUCAAAAGCGAAUCAUCGCAGCUGUGAAAUGUCGAGAAUGUGCUAAAUAAUGGUAGUGGAUGAAAUUAAGACCACCAUGCAUGCAUGCACCACAUAUACUAAAAUAAAUAAUAUGUCAGCCAGAGCAGAGCAAAGGAGUAAUGAUAUUAUGUAUAUUAAUUAUCCUUUUGUUUUGGCUAUGCUUUUAAUUACCUGUACUGUUGUUUUGAGUGUUUGAUUAAAAUAAAGAUACAUCUUUUAAUUGUCAAUUUAAUUAUCUGUACUGUUGUUAUAAGGUGUUUGUUUCUCCCUCUCUCUCUUUAUAUACAUAUAUUAACCUACACAUGCAUCCUAUCUAUUAAUUGGAAAAAGUUUAAUUAGCCAUUUGGGUGCACCUACUACCGAUCUCUCAACUACUUCUAGUAUUUUAUGUUGAAAAGAGUCGAAAGGAAAUUUAAGAACACAUACAAAUAUUUAACUGUAUAUUCAAUAACCAUAACCACCUUUUCUUUCUAACUAGACAUUUAAUGCGCUAAGUUAAGUCUUUUUUUUCUUUCUUUUAAAUUACAAUACCAACAACUAUUUUUUUGUCCUGAUUCACCAAGAUCGAUAUAGAAUUUUUAACCAUAUCAAUAUUCAAAAUAUUGAUGACAUAACAUUCUAUAGUUUAAUCAUCACAAUGUGGUAGACAUUUAGAAUGCCAUGAAAAUAUUAUAGUUUAAUCAAUCCGUAAAAGUUGACCCAAAAAUUGUAUGUAUUAAAUUGAUCUAUAUAAAUAAACUGCAAUAUAAAUUAAGCUGACCUGAAUUUGCAAUAUAAAUUUAAGACGACUUACCAUUGCGUUUAUAAAAAAUUUCAAUAUAAAUUAAGAAGACCCAAUAUAUUGCAAUAUAAACUAAGUAGACCCAGAUUGCUAUAUAAGUUAUCCUGAUGAUCACUUGAGUUAGAAUUAAAUAGAAUUAAUAAGAAAAAUAUGGAACUACCAGAGUUCAUUGGGUUGCAAUGCAAAAACUAUAACAACAAAUACUUGCGCUACAUCUAUGAAGACAAUGAGGCACAUGGUUUGCAUCAAUUCUCCAGCGACACCGUGGUGAGCGGCUAUGCAAAAUUCAAGGUGGAAAAGGCAAAUAUUGGGAACGGAUACGUUCAUAUCCGAUCCCUCUACAACAACAAAUAUUGGGUUCGUCGAUCUCCAACUGAAUGGUGGAUCACUGCCAAUGCCGACGAGCCAGAUGAGAAUGAAUGCACAUGGACAUGCACAUUAUUCGAACCUAUUCAAGUGGAUAGCUGCAACAACAGUGGUCUUACAAUUCGCCUCCGCCACGUUCAACUCGGCCACUUUUUAUGUCUUUGGCGGAUCCCUCCACCCUACGAGGCUUGCUUGUUUGCAGCGUCUACAGAUCAUGACGAAUCGCACUUAGACAUCUUUACGGUCUUUGAUUGGGAUUCUCUCUUCGUUUUACCCAAACACAUUGCUAUCAAAGGUGACAAUGGCUGCUACCUUAGGAAAAAUAGGUUCCAAGGAAUGAACUAUCUUACUUUUGACUGUACCAAUAUAAGUAACAAAGACGUCGCAAUUGAGGUCUUCGACACCUCUUUUGGCGACGGUACCAUCACAAUCAAAUCUGUUUGCUUCGAUAACUUUUGGUCGCGUGAAAGAUGUGAACAUUGGGUUGUGGCUGGGUCUUGUAACUGUAACGCCAACGAUCCCAACAAUUUGUUCUUUCCCAUAAAAGUUAGCAAUAAUGUUGUUGCUUUGCGUAAUAUGGGUGACAGUUUGUUCUGCAAGAGAUAUACUGACGAGGGUGUCAUUAGCGGCCUCAGCGCCGUCAGCUCUACCAUUACUGUAGAGGCAAAACUCGAGGUGUAUGAACUUGUUGCCUAUAGAGCGAUCGAAAAUGUUCAAUUUUGCCUCUCGGACGGUCGGAUCUAUGACAAGAAAGUUAUCACUGUUGCUACUGGCUUUGCUGAAAACAGGUUAAAUAUAAUUCUGUUACCAUUCUCUUUUGCCUUCAACAUUUCAUACUUAACCAUUUUGAUGUUUUCAGCUUUAAAUUUAGUUUUGGUUCAAUAUUUUGCAAUUUUACCAUCAAACUUGUUGCCUAUAGAGCUCAUUUCUCAAAUUUGAAAGUUUUUGCAAAAAAAAAAAACUAGAUUUAACUUUUUUGGGAUUAGUGGACACUAAUCACGUGACCACUAAUUAAGGAUUGCACCAAUGACAUUUUAAUUAGUUAAACCCAUAAUGGUUGACGAGUAAUUUAUGGGCAUACAAUUCAAUUAAACUAUUCAUAAGCUCAAAUAAAAUGAAAAUUAUUAGUGCAUCUUUGUACAACUCUCCCAGUUUUAUACUUAUGAACUUAAAUAAUUAAGAAAGAUGCAUGAACAUGUGUGUAGCCGAUUAUUAAUUACUCAAAUGAUAUUUGGUUCGACGGUGGUGAAGGACAAAACAACUCGCUGUGAUAGAUGUGAAACUUUCAUACAACGACACGAGGGUAAGUGCUUGGAGCUCUACAGUUUCGGCGAAGCUCGACGUGGAAACAAGCGUCAUCAAAUCGAGCGUUCCCAUCAUUUUUGAAGAGACUCUGGCGAUUGGACCUGAGUUGUUUUCAGGAGAAUAUGAUUGGGGAGAAGAUACGAACUUGACAAAGAAGGUGGAUACUGUGCACAAGGUUUUGGUGCAGCCAUGCUCGAAUGUUAGAGUGAAUUUGGUGGCAACACAAGCUUCAUAUGAUGUGCCAUUCUCUUACACACAGAAUGAUACUCUCAUUAGUGGCGAAAAGAUUUCACUCAACAUGGAAGAUGGGAUUUACAAGGGAGUUAAUCUUUACAACUUUAAGUUUGAAACUGAAUGAUCGCGGUUUUGAAUGUUGUUGUGUGUGAUUUGUGUUAAUAAUGGUGGAGGAGUCUGCAUGUUCUUAAACAUGUUUGUUCGCCACAGCAAAGGAGCAGCGUUAUGCUUCUUAGUUUGCAUUUUCUCAUAUAUCAGUUGUGAUAUUAUGAGUGCAUGUGUGUUAAUAAGCUACUGAUCAUAUGAUGAUCUUUUCAUGUUUUUAUGGGAAUUUACCCAACGUUUAUUAUAAGAUAUAUUUUCAUUUCUAACUUUGCUAAGAGGUAGGUAUGGAUUUUUUAAGUUAUUUUUAUUAUUAUUACUACUAGCAAAAACGAGAAUAUCACAUCUUUGAAAAGAUAAUUAAGAGAUCUAAUGCAAUUUGAUCAAUUGGAUAGUUAUCUAUAAUUCAAUUAAUCCACACGUCAGUUAGAUUUUAGUCAAACGUUUACGUGAAAAAAAAAAUUGCAUGUCAAAUUCAACAAACAAUUUAGAAGUACAAAUAACUAACACUACUAGAUUUAUAAGUUUUUAAUAAUAAUUAAUUUUUAACAAGUUUAUUAUUCAUAAAUUAAAAAAUUUUAAAUACUAAAAAUAUUUUUAAAUAUAAUCAAAAUAUCAGAUCGAUAGUGUGACAUAGUUUGUGUAUAUAUAUAUAUAUAUAUAUUUGUUAUUGGAAAAUUGCAUUAGAAAAAAGCAAUUCACAAUAUUUUUUUAUAUUACAAAUAUAAUAAGUAAUCAAAUUUUAAAUUUAUUAUUUUUGUAAUUAAAAAAAAUGUAAAAAUAUGAAUUUUAUUGUUAUAAUUUUGUUUGGUUGGUGUUAUUAAACGGACCUAAAUGAACUUUUUUUAGAAGAAAAAGUAAAAUAAUUAUAGUGAGGUUUGAUAUCACAAAAUAAUGCAUGGCGUGGCUGUUUGCAAGCCUUAUGUUUUGAAGUAUCAUUCAAUAUAAUGUUGUUUACAAAGGGAAGGUCCACCGACAACCUUUAAUCCCACAGCCAAAUGACCACACAAUCAUUCAAUACCAACCCAUACCCAAAGCCUGCAUAGUUGCCACGACCCACCAUCUAUUUUCAUCAUUCCCGGAAUUCAAGACAAAGGAUAGCCAAUAAAGCAACUCAAGAGUCAAGUUUUUGUUUGCUUAAACAGCUCCAGUGACUAAAGGAUGACUAUCUUCAAUCUCAUCCACACACUUCACCUACCCCUCUGCCAUAGCUCUUAACACCCCAAAGCUUUUACUGCUCCAUCCAAACCCAAAUUAAGGUAGGAAAUAAAUUUGUAAUGAAGAAAUAAAAAGACUGUGAUAAAGGCUAUAUAUAAAGACAAGCAGAAAAUAUGACAAUCAAAAGCAUCACUUGCUUUAUCUUGUUGAGAAGAGCUGAUCUCUUGAGAAAAGAAAAUAUGACAGCUUCAAUCUCAGCCAACCAUUUCCUCUUCCUCUUCCUCUUCCUUAUUCUCUCUUCUUCCAUAGCUUAUACACAACAAGAUGAAGCUUUCUUCAUUAAUAAAUCCAUGGAUAAAAAGCUUCUAGGCCUUGAAACAGAGCAACUAAGCCAUUUGCGGGUAUACUGGCACGACGUUUUAAGUGGCAACAAUCCGACUUCGAUCGAAAUCGUGCCCCCAAUUUCAGACAAAUUCAUUUCAGGAUUUGGCUACAUUAGAAUGAUCGACAAUGCGUUGACAGAGGAACAAGAUCGAAGUUCGAAAUUAUUGGGAAGAGCUCAAGGAUUGUACGCAUCAGCUUCACAAGACAAAGUUGCAUUGUUAAUGGCUAUGAAUUUUGUGUUUACAAGUGGGAAAUACAAUGGAAGCUCCAUUUCCUUAUAUGGAAGGAAUCCAUGGAUGGAGGACGUUAGAGAGCUGUCAGUAAUCGGAGGAAGUGGUCUGUUUAGGUUCGCAAGAGGGUAUGCUAAACUUCAUACUGUUGAGCUUGAUAUUGCCAAAGGGAAUGCUGUUGUUGAGUACAACAUUUACAUAUUCCAUUAUGCCGAUUCUAUUGCGUUGUUUUAAGGUCGACAUGAAUUCGAUCUUCUAAGUGAUUAAAAAUAAUUGUUUUUCCAUUUAAGAGCACUUUUUUUUAGUCAUCCGAAUAUGUAUUCUUUAAAUUUGGUUUAUGAAAGAAAUUCUCAUUUCUUCGAGAAACUUUAAGAAACGUUUCUCAAAAAGUGCAAAAUUUGUCUAAAAUUUUGUAAAUUUAAUUUUCUUUUUAAUUUUGCAGUACAUAUAUAUUUAUAUAUUAUUUUAGUUUCAGCUCCUAUUUUUCAUUGGAAUACAAAACCAUUUAUAAUUUUGCAAUAUAUAUUUUUUAUCACUAAAACUAUCAAGCUAGAACACAAAUAAAUAUGACAAAAUAAAUACAAUUAUAUAUGAUUGUUAAGAUGAUGAUACGUACCCGAUGAAUGUCUCCUAUCAAGAACUAUAAAAUUUUGCUAUAUUUGUAAAUAUUUUCAACAACUUUGUCAUUUACAAUCAUUUUUUUAAUUUAAAUAUGAAUUAAUAGUCUUUUAAAAAUGAAACACAAUUAUUUAACAAAAAAAUUUUUGAAAAUUACCUUCUAGCAAGUGAUUUUUAUGUUAACUCAACUGAUACAUGUAUAAUGUAUGUAGUUGUAGUUGAAGACGAGACAUUUAUCAAAAGUCACUUGAAAUCAACUUGUAGGCUUACAAGCAGUGAUUGAGUGAGAAUCAGUUUGAAAUCAACUUGUAGGCUUAUAAGUGGAGUGAGAAUCACUCUUAGGGAUUUGGUUUAAAGUGUUUAUCGAUGCUUGAGAAUAAUGAACUUUAAGAAAUAUGAUACAUGCGAAUAAGAUUGUCGAGAAUCAGAAUCGACGUUGGUUUGAUUGUGUAUACAAAAUUUUGAAUCAUUUGUAAAUCAGCAAAUGAAGACCUGAACCAUAUUUUCAUUCAUUGUUCAAAAGGGCAAGAAUUAUGGAAGAGAGCUAGUGAGGAAAUAUACAAAUACAAAGGCCCUAUGUCUAACUCUAUGUAAACUCAUAUACAACAAUAUAUAUAUAAAAAGUAUCAUCAGAUUCAACAUGGGGGCCGCUAUCAUUUGGGUGUUAUCUGGUUGGACAGAAACAAUUUGAUCUUCAAUGACAAAGAAAUUAGCAUGUUAGAUACUUGAGAAAACAUUUGCAACCUGAUAGGAAUGUGGUGAUCAAGUAGACACCAAUGUUUCAAAAACUAUAGUUAGAUCACAAUCUCUCUAAAUUUAAAUGUUUUCAUUAACUAAAUUGUACUUGAUUUUAAGGGGCUUCACUCUACUCCUUUAUCUCUAACUUCCCUGAUCAAUAAAUGGGUUAUGUGUGGUCUAAAUAUAGGAUUAAACAAUAAUUAAAUUGAGAAUCAAUAAUAAUUUUAAUCACUUUUUCAUCAUUGUCACAUGAUAUAGGAUCACAAAUAAUGUUAGAAGAACAGUGGUUUUCAGUAUAUCAUAAGCAAUUUUGAUCCUUCCACAAUAACUCUUAAUGAUCAUUUUAAGACUUUGGUAGGCGAAAUCUAAAAAUAACACAACAAACAAUCAAGACUAUAUAUAUAUAUAUAUAUACAUACAUAGCCUUAAAAAACUUUAUUACACAAAACUUGACAGAAUGAAGAAAAAGGGGUAAGGAAAAAGGAAAUGAAAAGGAGAGUAAAGCUAACACACAGCUCAGCUAAUUAGUUGUGUGUUCUAUUGAUCUCCAUCACUUGUUCCUGUGAGCAUAUGCUAUUGCGUAUCCUAAACUGUCCUCAUAACAACUUUGUUUUCUGUCUUCUCCCUCAUGAGUACUGGAACAUAGAGGUCACUCAAGUCAUAUGUUUGCUUCUGAUCUUCAUAUUUCUUUGCUCCAAACAAAUUAGCAUCACCCAAAUUCUCGGUCACCUCCCUGCCCUUGAUCUCGAUCACCUUCCCCAUUCGAUCAUCGACGACUCUGCCCACUACACCACCGACGAACGACGAUCCAGGCUCAUCCCCCAAUGGUUCAAUCGCAAACCCAGACCCAUGAACUACACCUCCAAAUUUUCCAGUACUGGCUUUCCCUGGUCUCUUUACAAAAUCUAUUUUUUCUAGCUCUCUUUUAAGUGCUUAUAAAUUAAUUCCUUUGUUGUUUAAUGGCACAUUCGAGCCCAAAGGAAAAGAAGGUAAUUAUAAGACCCAAUCAAGGAGAAAUCAAUAUUUAUAUAUUGGGUAGAGAUCAUAAUUUCAAAAAAUAGCCAAAUAAAUGAAAAAUAUUUACAAAAUACGACCAAAUUUUAGAUCUUUUUAAUUCCAUAGAAACCUACCAAGGAUAUUGAUGGACACCCAUAAAAUGUAUAUUAUAUUUUAUAAAUAUUUUCAGCAUUUUUCAUUUAUAAUAAUUUCUUAUAUUUUUUCGAUUAAUAUUAUUAUUGAUAGGGGUGUAAGUCCAACCUGACUAACCCGAUAACCUGGACUACUCAACUCAUAUAUGGGUUGGGUUAGAUUAGUUUAAAAUGUGGAUUGUAUUGAAAAAUUUUGGUCUUUUUUGGGUUAGGUUGUGUCUUGAGUUGAAGUCGAAAAAUUCAGUUCAAAACAACUCAAUCCAACUCGAAUUAAUAAUAUAUAUAUUUUAUUAUUUAAUUAAUAAAAGCAAAGUUAUAAGUAUCUCGUUAAACGAUUAUGGACGAUAGUAUGAAAAGUUAGUCGAUUGUGUAAGAACUAUUCUAUUGUUAGGUAGGUUGAAAAUGAAAAAAUAAUAAUAAUUAAACCCUAAACCCAAUCCAUAUUUUACGGGUUGGGUUGAGAAAUGAAUUCGCGUUAUUUGGGUUGUCAACCUAACCAAUUUGAAAAUAUGAGUUAAACUGAAAAUGUCUCUCAACCCAACCCAACCCGUCCACAAACUUAAUUAUUGGCCCCUCCUUUUGUCAAUCAUUCUUCUUUAUUCAUUAUUACCUCCUCUCAAUAAUUCAUGCAUGUAGCUCCUCCAAAAAAAUAUCUUAGCACAACUUCUCUCCACAAUCUCAAACUACAAAAGCAAAGCAACCUUCCCGGCCUCGACAAAGCUAAGAGAAUCAUAACAAAAAAAAUAGAGAGAAAGUUAAAUUAUGGAGGAAGAAAGCCAAUUAAACACAGUGCCUAAAUACUUCACUCUCAAAUCGAGGCAAAAUGGUCGUUAUCUUCGUUACAUUAACGACGAUAAGACCAUGCAUGGGUUUCUCACAUUCUCUGGAACUCAUGUCGUGAGCCCUUUCGCAAAGUUUGAAGUUGAAAAGGCUAAAGAGAAAUCUAACAAGGGUCUUGUUCAUAUCAGGUGUGUAACAUUUAUUAAUUUUCUCUAAACAUUUCUGAAAGCUUGUUUUACAAAUUUGUAUAUAUUUUUCUGAAAAUAUGUUAGGUUUGGAUCGAGCCUCUAUCAGUUGAUAUGCUCAUUUUAAUAAUACGAGUUCAAACUUGACAUAUUCAUUGAAGAUGAUGAACCAAAUGUGUGAUGGUUUUGGGGACAAGAAUAAGAUCCAAAAGCAUAUACUGUUAUGCCAUUUGAACUAAUUGGGUAUUUGAAGCAAAAGGAAAUCUACUAAUAAAAAAGAUACAAAAGACCAAAACCUCACUCUCAAUCACACACAAAUAUAUUUGUUAUAAACUAUUGUUCUCUAAAAAAGAUUUCCUUUUAAGGUGUUGUUACAACAACAAAUACUGGGUUCGAUGGUCAGAAAAAUCCAAGUACAUUGUUGCAAAGGCGAACGAACCGAAUGAAGACAGAACAAAAUUCUCAUCGACUUUGUUCGAACCCACCGUCUUCAACAACGAUCAAAAAAUCUUCCGUUUCAAACACGUGCAACUCAACCAUUACGUUGAGCUACGAUACCACAAGGCAAAACAAUUCCAAGACGCUCUGUUCGCCAAUGGCUUAGCAUUCGGAUUCGACAAGUCAGAUCUCUUUACCAUAUUCGAUUGGUCCACCCUGUUCGUACUUCCAAAACAUGUAGCAUUCAAAGGCAACAAUGGACAUUACCUCAAAGUUCAUUCCUCAGGAACCAAAUAUUUAGAGUUUUCAGGAUCCGAUGUGGGAGGUCCAAGAGUGGGAAACCAAAUCUUCACCACGGCUGAUGGACAUGUAAGGAUUAAAAACGAUUAUUUGGGGAAGUUUUGGAUACGUGAUCCGAAUUGGAUUCUUGUAAAAGCUAGUGAGAGCGAUUUUGAUGAUCCGAACAAUCUGUUUUGGCCGGUUCGGCUUGGCGAUGGCCAAGGCAUAGCGCUGCGAAACAGAGGAAAUGAUAUGUUCUGCAAGAGUCUGAGUAAAGAUGGGAAAAAUAAUUGUUUGAAUGCUGCUGUGGACAGCAUCAGCCCUGAGGCUAAGCUCCAGAUUGAAGAACUUGUUAUUUCUAGGACCAUUUAUGAUGUCAACUUUCGAGUUUUAGAUGCUCGAUUCUACAACGAGACGCCAAUAACUAUGACAUCUAAAGAGGUUAAUUCAACAGCUUUAAUUUCGUUUUGUUUGAUAUUCAUUUUACCUUUCAUCUAAAAAGGAUGCUAAGGAGGUGUCUCAUUUAGUGAGGAUGUUGAAUGCACCUGUUAUGAACCUUCCGUAGUUUUUAAAAAAAAAAUGAAAAAAAAUCAACCAAAAAUGUCCUGCCGUUUUUAAAAAGCAGUUUAAUAUGAAACCAUAAUGAAAACUCGAGCUUAAGAAAUCUAAAUCAUCAUUUACAUAUUAUGUUAAUAGAUGGUGAACAGAAGUAGUGAACCAGAGUUGCAAAAGCUGAAACUUAGGUAUGAGGAUACGAAGUCGUCGACAUGGACAAACUCGGUGGGAAAGAAGUUAGGGAUGAAAAUGUCAAUUGAAACAGGGACUCCAGAGAUAUCAAGUCAAGAAAUAGAAGUAUCAGCUGAGUUCAAAGAGGAAUAUACAUGGGGAGAAACUAAAGAAACUAAGUCUCGAAUGGAGGUUGAGCAUCACGUCACAGUACCACCCAACAGUCGAGUGAUAGCCAAAGUUUUAUCCACUAAAGGAUUUUGUGAUAUUCCAUAUUCCUACACUCAAAGAGAUGUUCUAACCAAUGGCAAAGUUAUAAUUCAACACUUCGAUGAUGGGGUUUACAUUGGAAGCAAUUGCUAUAACUACACCUUUUCCGCAGAACAAGAAGAUCUCUGAUUCAAAACAACUAGUACUGAAUCGUCACAACUGAGAUAUAUUCCAGUGCACCGACGGAUCCCCAAUUAAUCUUGUACUAAAUAAUGAUGGUUUGAGUGUGAUUUUGUGCUAUUGUUUGUGCUUUAUGACGUGUGGUGUUGAUAAACUAUAUCUGUUCUGUGAAGCCAAUAAUAAGUGAUCCAUGCAUGUACUCAUUUCAAUUAUUCUGAGUUUGUUUACCAUUGGGAACUGUAUGUUAGAUUUAAUUUAAAUCUAAAAAAUUAUCAUUGGUGUGACUGUAUAUUGUCUGUUAUCUUAUUUCUUUAAUUAGAUCUAUUUUAGUAGGUCAAUUAAAUAAAAGGUAGUUCCCAUGAUUAAACAUUAGUAAUGCCUUGCAGUUUUUUUCUUUUGAAAUGGAUAUGAUGAAUCAGUAGGUGCAUCCGAACAUUUCUACUACGUGAACAUCCCUUAACACUUUUAUCAUUUUCGCUUCAUUAAUAUAGAAAAUAAAAAUAUACGAGAAGCAAGGGAUCAAACCAAACAAAAUACAAAGGACCAGAGACAAGUCGAAAGCAAGUAGUACAAAAAAUUAGUUAGCGUUAUAGUUGGUAAACAAAGGGGGAUCUAUUGGCUGUCCAACAACUAGAAAGAACACAUAUAUCAUCCCAGAUGUUAAUGAUCAAACAAUUUCUGUCUUUGAAGAUAGUGACAUUUCUUUCCAACCAAACCUUCCAUAACACAGUCGAGAUGGUAUUGAAUUUAAUAAUGCCUUUUUUGCUCUGUUGUUUUAUAACACACGGCUCAGAACAUAGAAAUGAAACGUUGUGAUGUUGAAGCUUCCAUGAUAAGAGGCUUAAGAGGCUUUCUAUCUUCGACCAUAACUCUUUGACAAAUCUACAGCCGAUGAAAAUGUGGUCUAGGUCUUCAGAAUGUUGGCAGCACACAGUUCUAUUGCUGUUUACUUUAAUCAAUUAUCUAACUUAUGUAUAACAGAUUCAUGCAUAAAGCAAUUAAACAUAUAUAAUCUCCAUUUGGUAUUCUUCACAUUUUCAUGGAUAUACAUUGUAAUCAAUAUAAUAGUAAAAAAAUUCAUGAAGCAUAAAAAAAAUAAACAACAAAGUGUGAAUAAUAUAAUGUAAUUAUACGUCAAUAUUGUUUUUUUUCAACAAAAAAAAAAGUCAGUAGAUGCAUCGGGACAUCUCCACUAGGUGGACACCUCCGUAGCACAAUUAUCAUUUCCACUUCAUUAAUAAUAAACGAUCGAUCAAAGAAGCAAGAAAACAAAACCAAGGGCUAGAGGAAAGCCCAAUGGGGACCCAAAGUCAUGAACCAACCCGAAAAAGUAGAUUAUACAAAACCAUUUAAAUUAAGAGCAAUAGAGUUGAGUGAGUAGUUUGAGAAAAGAAAGGAUAUGCUUUUCCAGAGACUUGAGAGAGCUUUAAUGUCUUCCCAAAUCUCAGUAUAUGAUUUUUCCGUCCCAUUAAAUAUUCUUCUAUUACUUUCGAGCCAAGUAGACCAUAGAGAGGCAGCCACCAAGUUUUUAAACGGGUGCAACACGAGAAUUUUUCAAGUGGCCACCCAACCUAGUACUACCUUCGCCAAGCAGAGUUUUGAUUGGAUUUGAUGCAAUAGUGCGUAGUUCUGAUCGUCCAAGCCACCAAGUUGAAAUUAACAAUUUUCUUAUAUUAUUGUUAAUAUUGUUUUAAAAUCAUAAAAUAUUCAUUUACUUGUUUAAAUCUUUUUUUUUAUUUGUGUUUUUAUAUUUUGGAACACUUGCAAAAAUGACAAAAUAAGUUAUAAUAAUUAAGUUCAUAUCACACACAUUUUAUUAUUUGCGAAAAUGACAAAAACGAAGCUCAGCCCACACAUCAAGAGGUAAAGUGUCAUAAAUGUCAUCGUUACUAAUAUAUGUUUGAUACACCUUAUACACGUUUGAUACACCUAAUACACCAAUUGAUACACCUGACACUUCUUGAUACACACCCGAUAAAUUUGAUUGAUACACUUGAUGCACCUGAUACUCUUUGAUACAAUCGAUACCGAAACAUUACUAAUAUAUGUUUGAUACACCUGAUACACUGCAGAUACAUUUUGUAUUCUUCACUUAUACAAUUGAUUGAUUAAAUGCACUUGAUAUGCUUGAAGUCCUAUUUAUACAUUUGAAAUACUAUUGAUAUACACUCGUAAACUCGAUUCAUAUACUUGAUAAUGAUUCAUUUUACUGAUAUUAUUUAACAAUAUAUUGUUGAUAUACUUGAUAAUGAUACAGUGAGUUGCAUCAUUCAUAUACUUAAUAAUACUCUAAUGAACGGCAUAAAAUUUGAAAAAAAAAAUCACAUAGUAAGUAUAUUAACCAACUAAAACAUAUAAUAUAAGUAUAUCACAACACUUAUAUAUGAAACUGAGACAAAGUAAAACCAAAAAAAUAAUGUAAAAAAAUAAAACAAAAUCAUUUGGAAUUAGAUUCAACUCAAAAUACACAUCGAAGAAAGUAAAAAAAAAAUCACAAAUGAAGUUAAAUUACUCCGAUCAAUAACCAUUAUAUUAUAUUUCAUAUUGCAAUUAUUGUAGUAUUGAUAUUUUUAAAUUAAAAUUAAGACAUAAAGAAUAAAUAAUUUUUCUAGUAUAAAAAUAAACAAAUAAUUAGGGCUUUAAAAAAUGAGAACAUAAAUAAAUAAUGAAUAGGACAUUAGAAAGAGGAAGAGAAAUAAGUUAUUGAAAUGUAGUUCAGGAAUAAUAUAAAAUUUAAGAUGGAGAAGUGAAAAUUUUGCCAUAUUUACAAAAUUCUAGAGCAUUGUGAUAUAAUUGCUAUAUCAUAUUCUCAAAAUACUAUUCUAUGCAAUUUUCUUUAUAUUUUUGUGAAAAUAUUAACCGAUAUGAACAUUUUGUUCUAUAGAAAUUUUCGUAAAAUUAAGAUCUUACUAUUUUUGCUUAAACCAUCCUAAUAGAAAAUGUAAAGAGAGAUUUGGAUGAAUUUGGACGUAAGAAGCAUAUACUUUAACAAUAUUAGAUGAAAUAAAUAAGACAUUAUAGGCAGAAAGUCACCUAUGUAUUUCUGUAAUAAUUAUAAGGUGACUUUAUAAAGUUUUAUCUGUCUUUUUAGCCAUAUGAUCACCGUAUGAGAAAGAAAAAAAAAAAUUUAACACCCACCAAAAAGUGAUGUUUCAAAGUAAGUUGUGUCAUAUUCAAUUGGGACCUAUAACAAUGAAAGUAUAUAUAUAAAAUGAAUCACAUGUGUAUAUGUAAUAUAGGUUUUGGUUGAUAUUUUUGUUUGUCGUGAAGCAAACACAUUAUUGUCCAAUAUUCAUAUGAUCAUUAUUGAUAUACAUAUAUACACACAUCUUUAUCCCUUUUGCAUAUUUCGAUAAAUCUUUAGCCAAAACUUUUGAAAAUAAUGUGACAAAAGAGAUAGGGUGUUUUAGUUUUUCUUCUGUCUUUGAUGUUACAUUAUUAUAUUUUAUGUGUAUGAUUGUCCUAAAUAUAUGUUGGAAUUGUACAUGUGUUCAACCUCUUUUUGGCUUAGCUCACUUUUUAAUUUCUUAAAGUCAAGAACGUGAUAUAUCUCUAUGUUUGAUAUAGUGUUUAGACGUCGAAAACUCAAUACAUGCACCGUACCCAUGUGACUAUAUAUAUAGAUAUUUGUUGAGAUGAUUCUAUAUUCUCUUUCAUCUAUUAUUGUAAUAAUAGUAUUAAAUUUCUGUCGACGAUAUUUUAUGUAUGGUUCUACGUUAAACUCGAUAGUGCAUAUCAAUAUCGAAUAUUUUAAAGUUUGAUAUAAUCUUUAGAUGUGGAAAUUAAAACUCCAUAGUUGCACUGUACAUCCAUGUGACUAUAUAGAUAUUUAUUGAGAUGAUUCGAUAUUCUCUUUUAUCUAUUAUUGCAAUCAUAGUAUUAAAUUUAUAUCGACAAUAAUUUUACGAAUGUUUCUACGUUAAACUUGAUAAUACAUAUCAAUAUCGAUAAAUUUGAUAGAGUAUUUAGAUGUCUCAACUAGUUGAAACCACUGUUGAACUCUUAUAAUCUCUCAAAGCAAUUUUCAUCCAUCAAUAAAAGAAGUGCACAAGUACUGUUAUUUAUUGCAUGAGUAUCACCUCCAUAUAUUUUCAUAUAUCAAGAUUAUUUGCUUUAGUAUAUACCCUCCAACUUUGCUACUGCAUAUUAUUACUCUCACAAUAUGCAAUAGUUUAAUUUUUUUCGACAAUAAAUCUACAAACACAUCACUAAGAUAAUAAUGAAUAAGUCGCUCAUGAUCAGGAUACAAAACGGAACUUCCCGUUCAAUGGCUAAAGAAUGAGCAACAACACCAUUGCAAAAUCAGAGAUAGAAACAACACUUAACGAAUGGGAUCUGCUUCGACCCAAAUCAUCUGUAAUCUCCUCCAGAAUAACGCCAAUAUACAGGAAUUGUGUAAUUGAAAUUGUUAUCAAUGUCAAUAAUUGUUUGUUGCAUGCGAAAAUUAUCAGUGUAGCUUUAUAGAGUACAAGGUUUGUCUUCUUUGAGUGUAGCUUUUAUAGUUUUAUCUUUAAGUUCAGACACUAAAAUUCUCAUAUUAAAAGAGGUGUCAUCUUUUUAAUUUGUAUACUAAAGAUCUUCAUAUAUAUAUUUGUGAUGGAGAUGUGAGUUUAUAUAUAUACAUACACGAUUUUUGUGGAUAUUUAUUUUGUGAAUCAAAUGUUGUACGGCAAUCUAAUUUCCAUGUGAUUGAUGUAAAGAUGCUUUUGGAGGUCUAAAAGAGCCAUUUUCUAUAUGACGUUCUUGCAAAAUCCAAAUGUAAUCCUACCAUAGAAUAAUAUCACAGAACAGGAACUAGAACUAGAAGCCCUCUUCUGUCUGUGGAUAAUUCUACCAUCUAUCCUAUUUUAAGAUCGUGUUAAAACAUCAUGGAUUUCAAAAUCCUUGAGCAGAAAGAAGACGUUUUAACAGGUGGCAUGAAUUAGACUGCUGUGACGGAGACUUCAUAUAAAUCUUCCUUCAAUGUCAUAUCAAGUUGAUCAAGACCUCUGCAGCUUUCUGCCUCAGGGGGUCUGUUCUUGAUUAGAUAUAGCAAAAUGAAGAAAAAAAAAACUUAUAUAAAAUAUAGCAAUAUAUUUCAUAAUCUUAAUUAAAUUUGGCUGGUAAAUAUUUUGAAUUCUCUUAUAAAAUAUAAAAGAAAUUUAAUCCCAUUUGAUAAUGAUAUUGAAAUUUAAACUUUGUCAAGAACUCUCAAAAUUUCAAUUCAAAUUUCCACUUUUUGUUAGAGAGAGAAUUGAAUUCAUGAUCCUAACAAACCUUUCUUAUUUUUAAUUUUCAAGUGUGUGGUUAUAAGUUGUAAUUAACAGAUUCAAAAGUUUGAGGGCCUCGUAUAUUUUAAAUAUUAGUUUUUAGUUUUCUCGUACUUCAAUAAUCACUUGUGAGGUUGGAGUCGGUUUUUCAAUCAAUUAUGGUUGAUUUAGUAAAUGUUCAAAUUAUGGAUCGAUUUUUAGUCAAUUUAAAUCUUUGAAAUUUUAAAUUUAUAAUGUCAGUUUGGAUUUAUUUCAAACCACUCCUUAAUUAUAUACGACCGUUUGAUUAAUAGAAAGAAUAUUUAAAAACCUAUAGUUUGGAUUGACAAGAUAAGUUUUUUAUUUUUUUCACGAACGAAUUAUUUUUAUUUAUUAAAAUAUACUUAGAAAACCUAUUUUCAAUUGUCAAACACUCAGAUUACUUUUUAAAAUAAUAUUUUUAAAGAAAAAUGUCCGUUUAAAUCUUAAACUAAUAAUUAUACCAUAAACUAUUAGGUGUGUGUUAAAGUAAAACACAAUAGAAUGAGUUAAGUUGAUACAUUUAUAUAAGCUAAGGUCUAACUUCACUUGAAAAUGUAUAGAUUAAUUUAAAGCAAUUCAAUUUUGGGUGAAUUGUCAAAAAUAUUAGCAAAUUUGACAAUAUUUAUAACAAUGUACCAAAAUGUUAGAUGUUUAACACAGAAUGAUAUGUUUCUAUAAGUGAUAUGAUAAAAAUAUAUUGAUUUUUAUCAUUAAUAUGAUCCAAAAUUUUGUUAUAAGUUGUAAGUUUUUUAAUUUAUUUUUGUUGUUUUUGAACCAUAAAAAAAUCUCAAGCAAAAGCAUAUUUGGUUCAUUGAUUUUCUAUAACUUAUUUAUAUAAUUUUCAUCCAAUAAACCUCCCCACAACUCUUGAUGAGAGGUUUGGAUGAAACUCUCCUAACAAAUUAUAGGUUAUAUGUUAUAUAUUGUCCAUUUUAGUGGCCUGUGUUUUUUCUUUUUUAAAAAAAGAAUUCAUGGUCGGUAGGGACAUCUGAAUAUCUCUACUAGAUGGAUAUUCCCUUAGCAUACUCGUUAUCAUUGCUACAUUAAAAUCAAACAAUCGAAGCAUGGGUCAGAAAGUAGAGGGCUAGAUUAGAAAAGCCCAACAAAUCCAACAUUAUACAAAAGCAUGUAUAUUUAAAGCAAUUGUGUACUAGCAUUGUAUUCAUAAAAGAAAUAAUAGAACUUUCAACGAGAAGGAAAAACCACCUUCUGAACUUUGGGAAGACAUAAAGGCGUUUAUCGGUUUGUGGACAAGUAGAUCGAACCAUUGCUUUAAAUCUCAAUGCUUUUGUUUAGAUUUGUAUAGUUGGAUCGUUGAUUGGGCUUCUCUUUGACCCUUUUUGUAUUUGUCUUGCUUCCUGUAAUUUAUUGUUACAGAUAAACGAAACAAGCAUGAUGAGGGUGUCCACCUAGUGGAGAUGUACAGGUGCACAUACUGAUUCAAUCGUAUCUUUUUUUGAAAAAAAAAACAUUGUGUUCAAAAAAGAGUUUCGCUCUAUUGCUUCAAAAUUCAGUAAGAGCUUUUAUGUUGUUCGAUAUUUCAUGUCCAUUGAAGAUUAUGUGAUUUCUCUCCAACCAAAUGGUCCAUAAGGAGAUGGUAAUGGUGUUGAACACGAUGCAUGGAACCCUACUUUCUAUUUUUCUGGUUUAUGUUACUUGGUUCUUUGCAAAGAGAAUGAAAAUACCAUUAUAUUUUUUGUUUCAACUACAAGAGAUAUAAAAGCUAAGUCUUCUCAUGUGACUCCAUGCAUUUAGUUUCAUACAACAUACAUAACUGUCUUUGCUUAUACUUUAUGAAUUAUUUCUCCCUUGCACUACCAAAAAAAGUUUGUGGUACUUUGUAAUUUGCAUUUAACAUAUUUCUCCAUCCACAUAAACAUAAACAUGGUUAUUCUUUUAUAGAUCUUAUUAGUAAUAGAAAUAUGGUUUAUUUAGUACAAGAUUAUUUCCAAACUCAACAUUCGCAAGUAAAAACAAACACAUACCUUUUAUUCUUUGACCCCUCCCCUCCCCUUUGAUUUAUCCUUGGCAUAACAACAUCAAAAUCACAGUCUAACUCCUUCCUCACACAUACAAACACACAAAGUGAAGCUAAAUUAACACAUCAAAUUAAACCAACAGCACACACAAUAAUAUUAUUCUUCACACAUCAUGAAACGCUAAAUCACAAUGAUUCUACUUUUUCAGUCUCAAUUUUAUAAUCAUAAGUUGUAACACCUCUAAAAAUCCCAUCGUCCAAACGAUGUGUCACUUGUCUCCCAUCUUUCAAAGUGUCCCUUCGAGUGUAGGAGAAAGGAAUAUCACAACAAGCUUGUUUUACUACUGCACUAAACUUCACCUUCGACAUUGCCGGUAUCUUUAUCUCCUCUCCUGACUCCACGAAUGAUUUUUCCUUCUCCGUUUCUUCCCUUGUCUUUUCCCCCGAAACCUCCAAUGAAAGCUCAAACUUCAGACUUCCAACCGUUGGAAUCUUGGAAUUAAACCUAGUAGCAACUCCAAAAGUCGACGACACUGAAGAACUCCAUGUUCUUUCCACCUUCUUCUCAUACCUCAACUUCAAACUUACUUUAUCAACGACUUUCGUGUUGUUAAUCGCAACCCCUUUUGACACCGUGAGAGUCUUGUUGCCAUAAACCCUUGCAUCAUUAACACGAUAGUCAACAUCUUCUAUGCUUCUUGCAACAACAAUCUCUGUUACUUCCAAACGUGCGGUUUCUGUUAUCGUUGCAACAGCCGCAUUAAGGCAGUCGGUCUUGCCUUCGGUUGUCAAGCUCUCGCAAAAAUGGUUGUUUGCUUUGUUACGAAAAGCCACAAUAUUGUUAUCAACUUUCACAGGCCAAAAUAAAGUGUUGGGGUCGUCGUUUUCAGUGUCGAUCGAUUGACACCAUAUCCAAUUUGGAUCGCGAAUCCAAUACUUACCUGAACUCACAUGUUUGAUACGAACAUAUCCAUCUUGCAUGGAUAUUAUCUGAAACACAACGGCAGGUUCCUCCGAGCUAGAACCCGAGAAUUUGAGGUAUUUUUCAGAUGGUUCUAGAUAUUUGUCGUUGUUUCCUUUGAAAGCUACAUAUCUUGGUAGUAUGAAUAUGGAGUCCCAAUCCAUGACGGCUGAGAGGGCAAGAUUCUCAUCAAUAGUUGAUAUAUCUUCUACUCUUGCAACUAAACAAUCGUUAUAAGGAAAAGGAGCUCCUUCAGCUAUGCAAAGGAAGGCGUUGAGUUGAACAUGACGAAUGUAACAGAGUCCAGGUUUCUCCGAUACAAAAAUCGGUUCGAACAAAGUGCUCGACCAUUUUGAUGUAUCAUCUUCUUCUUCAUUGGCAAUGGCUGCAAUAUAGUCAGAGUUUUCGGAUAAACGAACCCAGAAUUUGUUGUUGUAACAGCACCUUAUGUGGAAGAAACCUGGCUUAGUUUUUGAUGAGCGGAUGGCAAACUUCGAAUACGGGCCAACAAUGUUCUUGCUGGAGUAUCGAAGAAGUCCAUCCGUGUUUUCACUUUCGCUUAUAUACCGAAGGUAUUUGUUGUUGCGGACGCAUUUGAGGGAGAAGUUCUUUGGGAUUACCUUUCCUGAUUCUUCAUCUUCUUCCACUUCUUCAUAGUUUGCAUCGUUUAUAUCACUCUUCAUCAACUCUUUCUCUGCUUCAUCUAUCUCAUCGGCUUUGUCUUCUUCACCACGUUCUCGUGCCAUUUCAUCAUUAAGCAUCUUCAAUAUAUCGUCAGGGGCUUUUUCGCUUUCUUUUGAAUCGCCUUGGUCAAAAUGGAAGUCAUCACCAUAAUAAUCUUCAUUAAUUUGGUCCAAUAUAGUAUCUUUAAGAUCCUUUUUCGGCUUCUUUUCUUUGUUUUCAAAUACUUUUUCACCCAAAUUCUCAGUCGCCUUACCAACAUUUUCUAUAGCCUUUCCGGUGCCCUCCACGACAGUUCCAAUGCCACCAACGACAGGCGCCUUCUCAGCCGCAUUCCCCACUGUUUCAACAGCCUUUCCUGCUCCUUUCACAGCUCCUCCCAAAAUGUCAGUCCCAGCUUUUCCCAAUCCUUUGAAAAGAUUCAUCUUUUUUCUUUCUAUUUUGUUUUUCUUCUUCCCUCUUCUCUUCUCUUACUAAAUGUUGUGGUACAACUGAAGCUCCAUUGAAGAGGAACUAAUUUAUAUAGGAUGAUGAGAAGUAGCUUUUCACCUCUCACUUUGCUUACAUAAAUAAUUAUUUGAGGUGUAAUUUGUCCUCUUUUUUGGAGAUAUUUUUGAAGAAAAAGGAAGAUAAAGUAUGGGGACAAGUAAUAAUACACUCCAAUUAUUUACUCUCAACUCAAUCAAACAUGUGUAGAAACCUUAGGAUCAUAAAUGGUGGAUCUCUUAGCCUUUAGGUUAAAUUGGUCAAAUUGGAAAAGGAUAACACAGCUCAGACGAUAAUGGCUAUGUUUCAAUAAUUGUGUAUUCCAAUUUUGCAAAAUAGAUAACAUAGCUCAAUUAACAUAUAUACGGUAUUAGAACAAACAUUAUUCAAUUAGCAAACUAUAUACACACUGACUGUCCAUAACUCAUUUCCUUCACUGUACGAAUAAUCGACAUUAAUAUAAUAUUCAAUAUUGGUAAUGGUUAUGAUAUUGUUAUUUGGUAUUAGCAAAUACAAACAACAUUGAUAUUGGUUUAUCAUAUGACGUCUAAGUGAGAGAAAGGGGAAACUUGAAUGUUAACACAAAAGAGGCAUACGAGCUAGGUGUUACUAAUCCACAUAAUAUAAUCCAUGGUAAUCAAAUUGAUUGCUCCAACGGCAGGAAUAUGAUUGAGCAUAACUUGAAUUCCACAAAGCUUAAGAAGUGGGAUACCACAUUUUCUUAUUCCUAUGGAUCCUUUACGUUUACAAGUGCGCGGAACACAUGGUCUUAAGUAUAGGUCCAAGACUCCACACUUAUAUGGACCCAAAUGGUUUUUUCCUUACUAAAUUAAAAGCUCCAGCAUGCUAUAUAAUGUAAGUUGAAUUGAUGAUAUCCCUCAGCCAAAACAAUGAAAUAAUGGACAACCCAAUUGGGAGAUUCCCUAGCUAGCAAAAUUGCAUCAAGUUUGAGUGAAAGUAUAUGUUACGGAUAAUUUAAUGGUUUUAGUUUGAUUCCUUGAGCUGAAUAAUGGCAUAAAAAAAAGAGCUUGUCAUCUGCUUCAAAUUGGUCUUCAAGAUCCUCGUGUAUAGCUUUGCUCUAUUCACAAGUCUUUAACCACUUUUGGACCUUCCUGCUACAAAUGUAAAUUUUUCCAGAAAAACACACUAAGAUAUGGAAUGCCCCAGCCUGCUGAAAUGUUAAUUUUCUAUUCUAUUUGUACCAACAUAAAACUUUCAGGGUAUCAGGUAUCGGUAUCGGGCACGCUAUCCUUUUAUGGGAGGUUUGAAAGUGAUUCGAAAAUAGAUGAUCACUUUUGUGAAUUUUAAAGCAUUCUAAUACAUGUCUUGAAGAAUCAAUGAAAACCGAAGUGUAAAAUUAAAUACUAAAAAUUGUAGUGAUUUUAGGUAUACUUUGACUUGAAUUGGGCCUCCAAAUUUAACCAAUGAUAAUAUAGGUAAAGCAAUAGAAAUGGACUUCAAAAUUUUGGGCUCCAAGUUCUAUCUCCACAAAUGACAAAACCCAACUACUAUAAUAUCUCCUCUGUGUUAUUGCCCUCAAUUGGAAAGCCUCUCUCUACCCUCUCCACUAUAGCCUUUGAACUGAUCUCUACUGCCUUGACAGUGGCGUGGCGCUGUAAGGCAGAAUGGUGCCUUUUCGUGAAAAGCUCACAACUAACCCCACGGUGAUAUAUAUUAAUUAAGGAAUACCAUUCUCAUCACAUUACAUAAAUAAGUUAGAUGUAAAUUGAUUUAAUAGAGUUAGUUAAAACGUUAGAGUUAAUUUAGUAAGAGUUUCAUAUUUAUUUAAGGGUAAGUUUUAAAUUGUUGUGUCUAAUUUGUGGUAUAAGUUAUGCUCAUGACAAUCAUAUAAAUAGGAUUGAAAUAUUAUAAUUCUAUAUAAUCCAAGUGAGAAGUAGAAUACACACAAAAAAAGUUAAAGUCUUCUAAUAAGUGUGUUUUAUUUCCUCUCAAAAUAUUCUAUUUGGUGAUUAUCUAUUUCGGGUGUUUAUCACGCGGUUCCAACAAAGUGGUAUCAGAGCUUGAGUUUGUAGUAUAAUUUUUUUUUUUUUUCAAAUGGCAAACAAUAAUUUAGUUCCCCUCCAAGUACCUCGACUUACGAAAGAAAAUUAUAGCACCUGGUGUAUUAGAAUGAAAGUUUACUUGGUUCACAAGAUGUGUGGGACACUGUUAAUAAUGGUUAUGAAGAACCAGAAAGUGAUACGGUUUUAAGUCAAGCUCAAUGAGAAAAUUUACAAAAUACAUAGAAAAGAGAUAAAAAUGCUCUCACCAUCAUCCAUCAAGCCAUAGAUGAUUCAAAUUUUGAGAAAAUUUUUAGAGCAACUACUGCACAUCAAGCAUGAGAAAUUUGGGAGAGUACGUAUAAAGAAGUAAAUCAAGUCAAGAAGGUUGAUGUUCAAAAAUUGAGAGGUGAUUAUGAAUGGCAUAUGAAGGAGUCUAAAUUGGUUUCAGAUUAUACUUCAAGAUUGCUAGCAGUAGUAAAUGAAAUGAAAAGAUUGGGUGAGACAAUAAGCGAUGAUCAAGUAGUAGAAAAGAUACUUCGCUCUCUUUGGAUGAAAAAUUCAAUUUCAUCAUUGUAGCUAUUGAAGAAUCAAAGGAUUUGAGUACAAUGUCCAUUGAUCAACUUAUGGGUUCUUUACAAGCUCGUGAAGAGAAGCUUCUUAGAAGAACAAGGCGUACGACUGAGAAACUUUUUCAGUCAAAGUUGAAUUUAAAAGACAAGGAAGACAACCUAGAAAAAGGCAAUCGAGAUCAAGGACGUGGUGGUAAUCGUGGAUGUGGUGAUUUCAGAGGUUGUGGUCAAGGAAACUAUAGUUAAAGAAAAUUUGACGAGACUAAGUCAAACUCAAAUUCAUCAAAGGGUCAUGGAAGACAAUAUUAUUUGAGAUCAAAUGGAGAAAGAUGAAAUAAUGACAGGAGGUAUGACAAAAGACAGCUUGAAUGUUAUAAUUGUCAUAAAUUUGACCAUUAUUCAUGGGAAUGCAUAUAUAGAGUAGUUGAAGAAAAUGCAAAUUAUGUUGAGAAAGAUGAAGAAAGUGGUAAUUCAUCAUUGCUUCUAGCAUGUAAAGGGGUGGAAACAAUGCAUAGUAUCUCGAUAGUGGUGCAAGCAAUCAGGCAAAUCAAU
Molecule: long non-coding RNA, 115663 nt
Filed under: Cucumis sativus (cucumber)
Lineage: Eukaryota; Viridiplantae; Streptophyta; Magnoliopsida; Cucurbitales; Cucurbitaceae
Description: long non-coding RNA (CSAT_LNC002220)
Source: RNAcentral